CUGGUGGCUUCUCUCCCUUAGGUGGUUUGCCAACUGGGGUUGGUGGCUUGUAUGAGUCUUCAGCAUUCUCUGCAGGAGGGUGACCAGGGUUGUGACCAUAAUGUGGUGGCUUCUCUCCCUUAGGUGGUUUGCCAACUGGGGUUGGUGGCUUGUGUUCUGGGAGUGGCUUCUCCCCCUUGGGAGGUUUUUCCAAUGGGGUUGGUUUGUGUUCAGGAGGUGGCUUCUCCACUGGAGGCUUGUGUUCAGGAGGUGGCUUCUCCACCGGAGGCUUGUGUUCAGGAGGUGGCUUCUCCACCGGAGGCUUAUGCUCUGGUGGUGGCUUCUCCACCGGAGGCUUAUGCUCUGGUGGUGGCUUCUCGAAUGGGGGAUGCUUAGGGUAAUCAGCAAGUGAGGGGGCGGUGAGAACCACCAGGCCAAGCAAGACCACUAGCAAGUAUGUAGGAGACAUCUUUGGGUUUAGACUCAGAUGGUGCAAAACUAGGAGAAUUGUCUUUUAUAGCGGAUCGCACCCAAUAAUGAAAUGACACGUGUCUUUAUGACCCAUGUGUAAUGGGGUCGAUUUGGGUCCUACAGUGUUGAAAACUUCGACAUCCACUUUUGGCCUUUUGCUUUCUCUACAGCCGCCUUGCUUUUUCCCUCUUUCCUUUUGUUUUCCUCCUGCCCCAUUCUAUCAACUAAACACAAUUAUGUAGUUGUUUAAUUCUUAAAUGAGAUAUUAUCCGUCAAUCGUAUCAUAUUUUAUCAACAGAGAACGGAGUGCAAUGUGGCAAUCCAAAGAAAGAAGAUCCAUAAUGCAGCUGUAAUUUUAUCGUUUACUUUUAUCUCUUGGACCACUGCAUUUUUGUUAAGAGGUGCAAUAAUACACGUCUUUAUCUGCCAUUCAAUGUUUACAGUAAAGAGAGGGCACAAAACUCUUCACUGCUCUGCAUGUGUCCCAAAAAUGCAAUUGGACAAAUUAUGAUUUGCAUGCUAAAAAGAGGCAAAUGAGGUUAAUUCGCACCAUAAUUAUUUUGUUUUCUGGACCCCGGGGCCCUUUGGUUGGUUUGGGGGUCAGAAAAUGAACAUCAUAGGGGGUUUUUCCCUUAUGUGCAUUUGUAUCUGAUGGCUUUAACUCGCCUUGUUACUACAAAGAAAUUGUCACAUAUAGGAACUUAUUCCAGGCUGAGUAUCUCCGCAUAGACCCUAUAAAAGAAGACAAGUCAUAAUGAACAUCUAACCUUUGUUCAAUUUGAUUCAAUGCCCCAUUGUGUCCACCUCACAAAUCUGAAUUAUUAUAUCCAUUGAAUACAUAAAUUAAUGAAGAAAAUAUGAAACCCAAGAUACAUCUCUGCACAACCUCAACCCUGGUUGCUAUGUUUCCCUUCUAUUCACAUGAGGAUAUUGAUUACGGAAUAGGGAAACCUAGCAAGGGUUUACUCGGCUCUGGUUUGAUGCUAAUUGCCAAACUUGCAACAAGCCCUGAGUUUGAAGCUCACAGAAGAUGUUAUACAGGCAGGGAAAAACCUUCAGAGUUCGCUGCCAAAGAUAAUUAUUAAGGAGAUAUCACCAAGAGAAUUCCAAGGAGUCUGAAUCAAAGACAAAUUGGUCGUUCGUGGAGGUUCUUACUUUCUUUUGGGUAUAACUCACUGAGGGCACUGUCUUUUUUAUUUUCAUUUCACAUUUAGAGUUCUGUUCUGGAAACAUAUAAAAGGAGCAUCAGUUUGUUCUUGGGUAACCCAUAGUCGUGAGUGGGUCCAUUUGCAUGCUACUUAGUUGAAAAGUUGGACCAUUUGCUCCGACGCCUACCUCCUGGAUUCCAUGCUCGGAUAAAACAAGAAUAAAAAAAUAUUUAUAAUUUACAAAUGGGGGAAAGAAAAAAAUGUCAACAACAAACUAGGAAAAAAGAGUAGUAAAAUUCAUGUCACAUGCUAGUGAGAGAAGGGGUUGUUACACUCACUCGAAGUUCUUUUCAAAAUAUCGCAUGGUAUUUUAUUUUAUGUGUGAGCGCAGUUGUGAAUGGAACGUGCAAAAGUCCAAAUUGGUGACCUUUAAUAAAUAUUUAAAACAAAAAACGAAAAAAAGGAGGGAAAAGGGAUCAGAAAAGAUAAAACAAUGUGUACAAAAGCUCAAUUAGUUUGCAAAUUACUGUUUGGAUUUUGAUAGUAUUUUAUUUGAUGUAAAAGAGAAUUUAAGAUAUUUCCGAAACAAAAGCAUUAGUUUGCUCCAUGUCAAUUUCGGCAUUUCUCAUAUGUUUCACACAUACACAGAAGAGCAUCGUUUUUUAAAGCAUGCAUUUAUGUUGGAUUAAUUUGGAUUUUGUGGGAACUGGGGCAAGGAUCACAUGGAAGAGAGGUUGACUUUUUUCAGUACUUCAAUGGUUGAGACAGGUGAAGGCCUGAUUGAUACUGAAGCCUGAAAUUGCGACUCCGUCAUUUGUCAAAACAUAUGACAGCUUCCAUGCUCUCGUUUGGUUGCAUUGUUCUGUGGUCAUGCAUACAUGCCACUUAGUGAUCAGUCUGUAACUGUCAAUCAUUGGGCUUUGACUGAACAACAUCAGCCAUGUAUAAAUACUUGCAAAUCAAACGGUCUUCUUCCUCCCAUAAGGAAUUUCGGUUUAAUUAUGAAGCAUGCAUUUGGCUGACCAUCAUAAACCACUUCUUUAAAUUGAUGAAUGAUAGUUUUUCAUUCAUUCUUUCAUUCGUUCAUAUACAGAGUAUAUAUAGAGGGUAAUCAUCAUUCUAAGAAUGGGAAAGAAUGAUACAAGGAAAUAAUGAUAUAAAGAAAUAACAACUAAUAUUCUAAUAUCUCAACUUUCCUAAUAUCUAAACAUUCCUAAUAUCUCAACACUAAAUGAUAUAAAGAAAGAAUGAUAUAAGGAAAGCAUUCCUAAUAUCUCAACACUCCUCCUCAAGUUGGUGCAUAGAUGUCAAACAUGUCCAACUUGUCUAAAAAUUUUGAGAACAGUUGACUUGAGACAUCUUUGGUGAGGAUAUCGGUCAAUUGAUCUUCUGAUCGAAUCUUAGGCAAUUCCACAAUCUUAUCAUCCAACUUUUCCUUAAUGAAAAAUCUAUCCAUCUCGACAUGCUUUGUACGAUCAUGUUGUACUAGAUUAUGAGCAAUGUCACAUGCUGCUUUAUUGUCACAAAACAAUCGGAUUGGUUGCCUAGAUAGGUAACCUAAAUCCUAUAAGAGGAGUCUUAGCCAUAAUGCCUCACAAAGUCCUAAAGUCAUACCUCUAAAUUCCGCUUCUGCACUUGAACGAGCGACGACAUUUUGCUUCUUACUUUUCCAUGUCACAAGAUUACCACCUACAAAGGUAAAGUAACCAGAUGUAGAUCGCCUAUCAUCCACUGCACCGACCCAAACAGCAUUAUACUUCUAUACUCUGAUGAUCAACAUUUUUAGCGAACAAAAUUCCCUUCCUAGGAGCAUUCUUCAAAUACCUCAAAAUACGCAUGACUACAUUCAUAUGUUGCUCUCCAGGAUUAUGCAUGUAUUGACUCACUACACUCAAUGUAUAAGCAAGAUCUAGUCUUGUAUGAGCUAAGUACAUUAAUCUCCCCACAAGUCUCUGGUAUCUUCCCUUAUCGAUUGAUACUUGAUUAGGCUCAACACACAAUUUCAGACCUUCUUCUAUUGGUGUAUUAAUAGGUUGACAUCCCGACAUUCCAGUUUCCUGUAGAAGAUCUAAGGCAUACUUUCUUUGAGACAGAAAAAUUCCUUCACUUGAUCGAGAAACUUCAAUCCCAAGAAAGUAUUUCAGACGACCAAGAUCUUUCAUUUCAAAUUCUCUAGAUAGAUACUUUUGCAAAGCUUUUCUUUCUUCAGGAUCAUUUCCUGUAACUACAUGUCAUCCACAUAUAUCAUAAGUGUCGUAAUCUUACCAUGUUGCUUUUUCAAGAACAAAGUGUGAUUUGAAUUACUUUGAUGAUAGCCAAAAGCUCUCAUUGAUUUUGUGAACCUUCCAAACCAUGCUCUCGGGGAUUGCUUCAACCCAUACAAUGACUUCUUCAAUUCGCACACCUUCUGACAUUGCUUUUCUGACACCAUGCAUCCUGGUGGAAGAUCCAUAUAUACUUCUUCAGAUAAAUCGCCAUGCAGAAAGACAUUUUUUACAUCGAACUAUUGUAAUGGCCAAUCUAGGUUUGCAGCUAAAGACAAUAAUACUCGAACUGUGUUGAUCUUAGCUACAGGUGCAAAUGUCUCUGUGUAGUCAAUUCCAUAAGUUUGAAUGUACCCACUAGUCUUGCUUUAAAUCGUUCAAUACUACCAUCUGCCUUGUACUUCACAGUAUAGAUCCAACGACACCCAACUAGCUUCUUUCCUGGUGGACAUUCUACGAGUUCCCAUGUUUCAUUUUUCUGCAAUGAUUUCAUCUCUUCAUUCAUGGUUGCUUUCCACUUUGGAUCAGCUAAAGCUUCCUGCACACUAUUAGGAAUAGCUACAGUAGAUAAUUGAUUUACAAAUGACUUAUUUGAUUCAGACAAACCAUGGUGUGGACCCGCAUUUUUCACGUGCGCCUCUACUCGAUCGGCGAGACUCGCUUUCUAUUUGUGAAAAAUUAAUUUUAGAAAAGUUGGAGUCGCCACCUAUUUUAUUUUUAUUUUGAAGGGAAAAUAAAACAAGAAAGAAAAACCCUAAAAAGUGACUCCAUAGUUUUGGAAAAAGCAUGUCUUUGGGAAACCUGAGUCUAGGUCCGGGGAUCAUGUUACUUAUUGGGAAGGUACCUCUAGGAGGUAGCACCCCUCUAAGCCUUAUGAAGGUCUCUACUAACUAAAUUAAGGGAAGUGUGGCAAUAAAUCGAUUGAUCAUAGAUACCUAAGUAGACUAGGUGAUUUUAAAGUGUGGCAUGUCAAACACAAUCAAAUUGCAAUAAAGGAGAGUUAGGGCGCGUACCUGAACCGCUUCUCAAGCGCUAUCAUAAAACAUCAAUGGUUAAUUUAAAUAAUAUAUCAUCCAGCAUGUAUUUUAUUAGAAAUAAUCAAACAAUGAAACAUGUAUAUCAGAACACUCAAGCAUUAUUAGACAUAAGCAUUAUUUCACUAUUCACAGAAUUCAGAAAGUAGGUGAUAGAGGACAUACCUGGAUAGCAUAGAUAAUUUGUAAUGUGCUUCCUCAAGUUGUAAGGGGUUAGAUAACAAAUAAUAAAAUAUAGAAAUCCUAGCAUGCUCGUUAUCUAAUUAGCAUAGCAAAAGUGAUCACAGUAUACAGAAUCAUCAAUUAUCACAUACAUCUUGUAUAUAAUUCCUAAAAAAAAUAGAUAGACAUGAUUUCAACAAGUGUCAAAUGUGGCAACAAAAAUAAAUUUUGAAAAGAUUUUCUUAUGUAGGGGUUUCACCAAUUCCCCAAAUUAAUAUACACGAAUUUAGCUUAGAAUUAUCCCAUUUAUUUGGGACUACAAGCUUUGAUUCGUGUUUUUGUUCAAAACCAAAAAUUUUUGUUGAAAAUCAAGAAGGAUGCGAACCGAACAAGAUAUGGUUGCAUAUUAUUUUUAAAUAAAUAAAUAAAUAAAUAAAGGAGAUUUUGAUCCUGAGGACUUUAAUGAGUUUUUUUUUUUAAAAUAGAUUUUUAAAAUGAUUUUUUUGAGAAAAGUAUUUUAUUUUAAAAUAAAAGGGAUUAAUUUGGGAAAAAAAUAAAAUAUAAGAAAUAAAAUACCAAACAAAACAAAAAUGAAACCUCAAAGUAAAAUUUUUUUAGUAAUUAACAAAAAUGAUAAUGGUGAUGGUAGAGGGCAAUCUUCAUGAUUUUCCAAUGGCCUCAGAAAGAAAAUCAAAUUAAAUGAAGGAUCACUAACAGGCAAGACAUUCUAAAUUAGACAAACUAACAAAGUAUCAAUUCAUGAACUAACCGCUAGGAUUUUGAAAGCAUAUAAGCUAAGAUAAGGGUGAUCAGGAACUAAUAUUAAUGAUUUUGAAAUAAAAACUAAAAAAAAGGAUCAAUUCGGGUAAGGAACUAAAAUUAUAAAAGUACCUAAACUAAUUAUGACGAGUUUGACUAAAUUAAACUAAAAACAUGAACUUUCAAACAUAGAAUUAAUUUUACUAAUGAACCAAAGCAAACUAAAAAUAUGUACUUUCAAGCAUAGAAUUAAUUUUAUUGAUGAACUAAACUAUAACAAAUAUCUAAACUAAAUAUAAUGAAUCAAAUUAAAUUAAAGCAACUUAAAAACGCAAACUUUCAAACAUAGAAUCAAUUUUAUCAAUGAAUUAAAACUAUAAAUGUAUUUGAACUAAAUAGAUGAAUCAAACUAAAUCAGAGCAAAAUUAAAAAAAAAAAAGAACUUUCUAACAUGAAAUCAAUUUUAUCAACAAAUAAAUGAAUGAAUAACAAGUAAUUAAAAGAAUAGCUACUACAUGAAUAACUGAAUGAAUAAAAUUCAAAUGUUUUCAAUCUGAAGCAAUCAAUCAAAAUUAAAUAGGGAUCAAAUCAAAAUAAUCGAAAUCGGAAAAACAAUAUGCAAUCUUUCUAAAGGUUUAACCAGACAAUUGAAUUAAAAUUAUGAAUAGAAUAAAUUAAUAAACCAAAUCGAAACCUAAAUUGUACCUAAAAAGAUUAAUUAAUUAAACUAAGAAAUCAAAAUCAAUAACAAAACUAAACUAAGGAGUAAAUUAAGACAAGACUAAUUAAAUUAAACUCACAAACACGUUUUAACUAUCAUAUGGAUUAAAACAAAAUUAGCAUGGACUUAUGAAUUACGAACAAAAAUAAUCAAAACUAUUUUAAAAAACUCACCUCUAUUAUAAGAAAAAAUCUGCCUUUGAUGCGUUGAGGUGGCUCCCCUCUCUGUGUGGAUCUCUCUGCUCCCCAGAAAAAAAAUGUCUCUUCCUCCGUUCUCUUUUGUUUCAGCAAAAUAAUAUAUCCCCUGCUGUGGAUCUCUCUACUCCCAGAAAAUAAUAUAUUCUCUCCGUGUCCUAAAGUGGACCUAGGGUGCCUAAGUGGACCUAGGGUGCCUAAAUGGGCCUAGGGUGCCUAAAUGGGCCAAGUGUAUCUAAAUAGGCUUAGGGUGCCUAAGUGGGCCUAAGUCUAAGUGAGCCUAAGUCUAAAUCAAGACUACCAAGGAUCAUAAUAAGGGGUUAGGCAAUCCCUUAACCAAAGUCUCCAAGGUGGCUAAAAAAAAGUAAGUAGUAUGAGUAGCUAUGGGUCACCAAGGAACUACUGUGGAGCAUUGAAAACGAAUUUAAAGACAUGUGCCAAAGGGACAAAAUUGAGGGUCUACAGAUGGUUAGACACAUAGUUGCUCAUGGGAUAUUUGACUUUGGUAAACAAUUCAGAUUCAUAUGUGGGUUUAGGAAUACCUUUAUUAUGACGGUGUGGUAAUCGUUUCAUGAAUGGAUCAGGUUGCAAAUUAAGAACACCCUCAGCAAACAACGAUUGGUUUGGUAUUUCAGUGAAGACAUCUUCGAACCCAAAUUGUUGACCACUCAUAUCCAACUCACCCGCUUCCUGGUUCACUAGUUCAGAUUGUCCAAAUUCAUCAUUCUCAUAGAUAUGAUAAUCAUAAUCGAGAGUCUGAAUUUCCUUAUGGUACUCCCCCUGAAGUUCAGACUUAGAUGAAAAAUACAUCGAAUAUUCAUGAAACAGCNNNNNNNNNNNNNNNNNNNNNNNNNNNNNNNNNNNNNNNNNNNNNNNNNNNNNNNNNNNNNNNNNNNNNNNNNNNNNNNNNNNNNNNNNNNNNNNNNNNNNNNNNNNNNNNNNNNNNNNNNNNNNNNNNNNNNNNNNNNNNNNNNNNNNNNNNNNNNNNNNNNNNNNNNNNNNNNNNNNNNNNNNNNNNNNNNNNNNNNNNNNNNNNNNNNNNNNNNNNNNNNNNNNNNNNNNNNNNNNNNNNNNNNNNNNNNNNNNNNNNNNNNNNNNNNNNNNNNNNNNNNNNNNNNNNNNNNNNNNNNNNNNNNNNNNNNNNNNNNNNNNNNNNNNNNNNNNNNNNNNNNNNNNNNNNNNNNNNNNNNNNNNNNNNNNNNNNNNNNNNNNNNNNNNNNNNNNNNNNNNNNNNNNNNNNNNNNNNNNNNNNNNNNNNNNNNNNNNNNNNNNNNNNNNNNNNNNNNNNNNNNNNNNNNNNNNNNNNNNNNNNNNNNNNNNNNNNNNNNNNNNNNNNNNNNNNNNNNNNNNNNNNNNNNNNNNNNNNNNNNNNNNNNNNNNNNNNNNNNNNNNNNNNNNNNNNNNNNNNNNNNNNNNNNNNNNNNNNNNNNNNNNNNNNNNNNNNNNNNNNNNNNNNNNNNNNNNNNNNNNNNNNNNNNNNNNNNNNNNNNNNNNNNNNNNNNNNNNNNNNNNNNNNNNNNNNNNNNNNNNNNNNNNNNNNNNNNNNNNNNNNNNNNNNNNNNNNNNNNNNNNNNNNNNNNNNNNNNNNNNNNNNNNNNNNNNNNNNNNNNNNNNNNNNNNNNNNNNNNNNNNNNNNNNNNNNNNNNNNNNNNNNNNNNNNNNNNNNNNNNNNNNNNNNNNNNNNNNNNNNNNNNNNNNNNNNNNNNNNNNNNNNNNNNNNNNNNNNNNNNNNNNNNNNNNNNNNNNNNNNNNNNNNNNNNNNNNNNNNNNNNNNNNNNNNNNNNNNNNNNNNNNNNNNNNNNNNNNNNNNNNNNNNNNNNNNNNNNNNNNNNNNNNNNNNNNNNNNNNNNNNNNNNNNNNNNNNNNNNNNNNNNNNNNNNNNNNNNNNNNNNNNNNNNNNNNNNNNNNNNNNNNNNNNNNNNNNNNNNNNNNNNNNNNNNNNNNNNNNNNNNNNNNNNNNNNNNNNNNNNNNNNNNNNNNNNNNNNNNNNNNNNNNNNNNNNNNNNNNNNNNNNNNNNNNNNNNNNNNNNNNNNNNNNNNNNNNNNNNNNNNNNNNNNNNNNNNNNNNNNNNNNNNNNNNNNNNNNNNNNNNNNNNNNNNNNNNNNNNNNNNNNNNNNNNNNNNNNNNNNNNNNNNNNNNNNNNNNNNNNNNNNNNNNNNNNNNNNNNNNNNNNNNNNNNNNNNNNNNNNNNNNNNNNNNNNNNNNNNNNNNNNNNNNNNNNNNNNNNNNNNNNNNNNNNNNNNNNNNNNNNNNNNNNNNNNNNNNNNNNNNNNNNNNNNNNNNNNNNNNNNNNNNNNNNNNNNNNNNNNNNNNNNNNNNNNNNNNNNNNNNNNNNNNNNNNNNNNAACCAAAGGAAGCAUGUUCCAGACGUCGAUGCCACAACCAAAUUUCAGACUUUUUCUUCUCCUCCUUAGAUCCAUCUGCCAUCAAGGCUUGUUGCAACUUAUUUGAAUCCUUUGAUUGCAAGUCCAAGUAUAGAGUUUCCCCCGCUUAAUACGACAACCAAUCGUCUGUCUUGUUUGAAUGUCCUUAAUCACACAAAAUUCAGGCCAAAAAAUGACAAUACAAGAUAAGGCUGCAGUGAUUUGAGAAACUAACAAAAGAUUGUAAUCUAAAGAUGGAACAACUAAAACAGAAUCCAAAUUCAAAGUAUCAGUAAGAGUUAAGGAUCCUUCCCCAAUGACUGGGGUUGUGUUACCAUUGGCUGUGGAAACAAUUUUUUGUGAGGAAGGUCUAAGGGGUGAAACCUGUCUAGAAUCAAAAGUCAUAUGAUCUGUAGCACCAGAAUCAAUUAUCCAUGCACUAUUAAUAACAGGUGUAAAAGUAUUUAAAAACUUACCACAAUGAUCUGUAGCGGCUACUAAUGCAGAGACUUUCUCAACAACAUUAGUCUUUGUUUUUAUUUCGGUAACAGUUGCAAUCAAGGUUUUCUUGGAAUUCUUCUUCCGUUGAUCACGAUUAUUAUCAUUAAUAACAAAGUGUUGAUAGCCUAAACAUGAUCUAAAGGUCCAUGGUGCAAACCCUCGGUUCCUCAUUGUUUUCCUGGUCAUACCAAGAGUUGUUGCUUUGAAAUUGUGGGAUAUCCAGACUGGUGGGAUCAGUUUUAUUGCAGUGAGUGCAUUUGAAUGUUGACUUAUCAAUAUUAGGGCUUGUCUUCGGAUGGUUGAUUGCUGUUGGACUACCAUAGCGACAAAAUAUCCAGGAUUUCAAUUCCAGGGCUCUGAUACCAUCUUCAAAUUGAUGAAUGAUAGUUUUUCAUUCAUUCUUUCAUGUACAGAGUAUAUAUAGAGGGUAAUCACCAUUCUAAGAAUGGGAAAGAAUGAUACGAGGAAAUAAUGAUAUAAGGAAAUAAUAACUAAUAUCCUAAUAUCUCAACUUUCCUAAUAUCUCAAUAUUCCUAAUAUCUCAACUUUCCUAAUAUCUAAACAUUCAUAAUAUCUCAACACUAAAUGAUACAAGGAAAGAAUGAUAUAAGGAAAACAUUCCUAAUAUCUCAACACCACUUCAUGAUAUAUAUAGUUUCUUACCCUUAAUCAAUGGUUUCUAAGUGAAUUUAUAUAGAAAGAAAUCCAAACUGUAGACAGCAGUAUUGGUAACACUCAAUAUUCUGUAUAUAAUAGAAUAAAUAGCGUCACAGUGAUCGUCGCCUACAAGCAAGGUACAAAUACCACAAAGAGUGACCCACAUAGACAUUCCCCAACAAGAUGUAGUAGUGACUGACACAUAGCCACAAUUAACACGUAGAAAAGGAUAAGACCGGUGCACAGUAGCUCUUAUUUUACAUACUACUUAUGCCAACCAAAGUCACUCAGUUGGGAUGGGAGGGAGAUGGAGGUUUGUGCGGUGGCUUGUGGGGCGGAGUUGAUGGCUUCUUUCCAGGAGCUUCUGGCUUUUUCAUCGGAGCUGAAGGAGGCUCAAUCUUAUGAGGCGGCUUGUACGAGUCUUCUUUGCUCUCGAAAGGAGGGUGGCCAGGGUUGUGACCAUAAUGUGGUGGUUUCUCUCCCUUGGGAGGUUUACCAAUUGGGGUUGGUGGCUUGUGUUCUGGGAGUGGUUUCUCUCCCUUGGGAGGUUUAGUGGGUGACUUGUGUUCUGGAGGUGGCUUCUCCACCGAAGGCUUGUGCUCCGGUGGUGGCUUUUUGGUUGGAGGGGGCUUGGGGUAAUCAGCAAGAGAUGGGGUGGUGAGAACCACCAGUCCAAGGAACAACACUAGCAAGUAUGUGGGAGACAUUUUUGAGUUUGGGCUGAUCAGAUGAUGCAAAACUAAAGCAUUACGUGACCUUUUAUAGCAAGUAGCUCCCAAUACCUACUUGACACGUGUUACUGUGACCCAUAAAUAUUAUGGGGUCUAUUUGUGCCCUACCGGGUUGAAAACUUGGACAAUUGGGCAAGGACCCGCCUGACUAUGGAGGACUACUGAGGUGUGAUCACAGCUUUAGGAUUUUUCUUCCUCUGCAGCCGUCUUGCCGUUGGCAUGAUUUUCUUAAUCUCAAAUAAAGGCAUAGUUAUAGAGUUGUUUAAUCUCUAAAUGGGAUUUUAUAUAUCUUCAGAUAGCCAUUAAUACAUUUGAUGAAGAAAGAAAGACAAGUGCAUACAACAUGUAUACGACUAGCUUUCAUGGAGUUCAUUUAUGAUCAGUUUUCCUGUACAUGUAAACCAAGAUCAUAUAUGUUUUUGUUCCACAACAAUUUUGGAAUCUUGUUUAUCCGUUUUUAUCAUUAUAAUGUCACAUAGGCUGCCAACUUGGGCGCUAAAUUAAAGAUCCAGUUGGGCAAGUUCGUUUCAGAAUUUCAAUGGUGGAUUCAGGAAUUGUUUUAUAAGAUAUGCAAAAUAGUAGAGGGAUGAAUAGUGUUUCAUUAAGAAAAGAGCCCUGUAAAAAUAUUGUUUAAAGGUGCCAUAGAAACUAUAAUCAAUAAAUAACUUUUUUUCCCCAUGGGUGGUGUUUCUUGUGGGGAUCAGUGACUGGUUUGAGUCAACGCCGUGUCUCUUUAGUCCAGAAAUCAACUAUUUUAUGCAUUGAAUACAUCAACAAAGAAAAUAUGAAAGCCAAAUGACACCUCCCCCGCAAAAACUAAACCCUGGUUGCUAACUUUCUAUGUUUCAGUUCCAUUCACACAAGAAUAUUAGUUCAAGUUUGAGAAAAAUGGCGACUUACCUAGUGAUAACUCGGUCUUGGUUUGCGAUUUGACUUUAACGUCAUGGGUUGAAGCCUCCUACAAUCAUCGUGUAUGCUAGUUCAAAGCUCGUGGAAGAAGUUAUACAGGGAGGGAGAAACCUCCACAGCAAGCUCCAAAAGAGAAUUAUCACAUUGAAAGCUCCAGUUGAACACUGGGUGAAAGCCAUAACAAGAUUGGUUUUCUAUCGCUCUUUUAAGUAAUGGAAGAUUAUUAUCUCUGCUUGUCACUACAACCGUGCAUGCUGCUAGAUCUUUCUAGACACUUCAAACAGUGAAACCAAGUAUGAUUCUUUUUCUCUUGAGUGGGUCCACUUGCAUGCCAAUGAACGAGUUGAAAAGUUGGACAAUUGGCCACAGCGCGCACUUACCUUCUGGAACCGAAGGUCAGUGAAGUGGGGUUCCUUUUGGCCCCUUGUGUUUCUGUUCCAACCUACUCCAGGAACCGAAGUUCAGUGAAGUGGGGCUACUUUUGGCCUCUUGUGUUUCUGUUCCAACCAAACAAAAAUGGGAGGGAAAAAUAGCAUUAUGCUUGUGCUAAAGAUCAACGCAUGAUAGCUGAAUAAGGGAGAAAAAGGCAUUGCUAUCUCAAUUUCAUAAACUUGAUAAGUAGUGACAUUAAUAGUCUUCCUCAUAGAUGGAUACAUGGUUUUAUUUUAUUUAUUUAUUUUUAUUUUUUUGUUUUAUGUCAAUGCUAAUGAAUGAAGUGCAUUAGCUUGUUUUGUGACUAGAACUACAAAUGUCCAAAUUGGAGCUUCUCCAAUAUAUUUCUCAGUGAGUUAUUGAUUAGAACUCUUGGAUUGAGUUCCAAGAUUUGAAUCAGACCCCUCUAGCAGCUUCAGGGGUACGUAGCAACCUAUAGCAUAUUAAUGAAGACUUAGGAUUUAGACUUAGGAAUACAAAUUAAUAUGUACCUCAUGCUCUGACUAGCUUCCCUGCGUAUGCACAAAAUGGAGAUGACUCCCAAAAAAAUAGCAGAAUCGCCUUAGUAUGUUUUUGUGGUUAAGAUGAUUCUCCACUUUAUAUAUCCACAUUGGUUCAUUAUGCAAAUUAAUCAACUAAGCUAUUUUUAUUUUUUCUUAAAUGUGAAAUAGGAGCUCCAAAUUAACCUAACCAUUGGCCUGAUUGAAUUGAUUUCACUUGCAUAAUGUUAUAGUAGAAGUCCGUAAUUUGAAUUUUAUUUUUGCAAAAGGUAACGUAAAUGAAGCAUUGUAAUUAAAUUUAUUUGUAAUUACAAACUAAUUUUAUUUUAUUAAGAAUUAAUUUAAUUACUCAUUUAAAAUAAAAAUCAGUUAUACUUUUACCAAGAUGAUAAUAUUCAUAUUUUUCUAGUUAACAUAUAUAAAAUAGUACACUUUUUCAUAUAAAAAAAUAAUUUAUGAUUUAUUAUAAUGUUACUAUUCACAUUUUACUAAAUUGAUGGUACAUGAUAGUGAGAGAAGGGGGUGUCACACUCAGCUAAAGUUCUUUUCAAAAUAUUGCAUGGUGUUUAAUUUUAUGUGUCGGCGCGCGUGUGAAUGGAACCUGCAAAAGUCCAAAUUGGCGUUUCUCCAUUUUCCACAUAGGAUGGUGACGUUAAUAGACAAAGAUACAAUAUCUGUAGACAUUGCUUAAAAAUCGAUGUGAAGUAUUAGAAAUUACAGGGCACUGUACUGGGGGAGCGGCUGCCCCGCCAAAGGAGGAAGAAUGUAGCAAUUUCUUCUGUUAGCCAGGCCUUAGGAUUUAUGCAUGGGAUGCCUAAUAACAAACAGAGAAAAUAUACUUUUGGGGAAGGUAUCCAACAACAGACACCAUCAUUCAGAUGGUGGGAAGGUAUCCAACAGAUGCCAUCAUUCAGAUGGUAACAUAUAUAUACAUUUAUUAGUGAGUUUUUUUAAUACCUAUAAAAAAAAAUAUACACUUUGAUAUUGUGGCUGAAUCCAUUACAUACUCAACUAACCUUGCUCAUUAGGGAUUUGACUUAACAAGGGCAACGUUGCAGUACAAGCUCAAAACUUUAUGCAGGUGACAUUACAUUUGGUAAAGAAGAGGAAAAUAACGAAAGCCAUCCAUAAAAGCAAAAUUCCACAUGGGAUGAAAUUCACAAGCUUCAUUUACGAUAGAGUCGCAUCCAGGCAAUUAAUUCCACAUUAGACCGCCUGUUGACAUGUGUACCAAUCUUUUUUCAAAAAAUAUUUAUAAAUAAUUGAUACUCACAAAAAUAAUUUAAUAUUUAUAAAGGAUAAAAAAAUAUUUUCAAAUCUAUAACAAUUUAUAAAAUAUUAAUAAAAAAUUAUCUCUUAAACUUAGUAUAGUUUUAUCAGAUUAAACUUUUAUUUUGAACAAAUAAUUUUAAUCUAAGUUUUAAAUUCUAAAAUUAUUUCCUUAAAAUAAAAUUUUAAAAUUCAACACUUCAAUUGAAAUUGUCUUUUUAAAAAAUAUCUUCUUAUUUUAAUCCUUAUAAACUAUAGUUGAUUGAAAAUACUAUUGAAGUUCUCUCUUAAAAAAAAGUCUUAUUUUAAUCUUCAUAAAUUGCCCUUGAUUUGAAAAUAAAUUUUCAGUUAUCAUAUUUUAAAUAAUAUCUAUAUUUAAAAUACUCUAUUUAAAAAAAAAUGAACUAAUUUUAAUUAUAUUAUAUUUUAUUUUUUUAUAUAUUUUUAAUGAUAAACCAAACAUAGAAAAUCAUUUUUCUAAAUAUUUUAAAAUUUCUAAGCAACCAAACAUAAUCUUCAAAAUAAAAGGAAAAUAAGGAGGGACAUUUGAGAAAUGGCGAUUAAAAAAAAGUGUACAAAAGCUCAAUUAAUUUUCUUCUAGUCUUUUAUAUAAAAAAGUAAAGGAAUUGAAAAGUAUUGAUAUGUAAAUUAAUAUUUGGAUUUUAAUAGUAUUUUAUUUGUCUUUCUCUAUCUCAUGUAAAAGAGAAUUUAAGAUAUUUCCUAAAGCAAAGCAUUAGUUAUCUGCAAUCAGUGGUGAUCAUGCCCCAUGUCAAUUUCGGACCCAUAUCUUAAAACUGUAUAAUUUGCAUUCAAACAUUACUGAUUUCUCAGAUGUUUCAUACUCCACAGAAGAGCAUUGUUUGUGAAAGCAUGCAUUUAUGUUGGAUUUUGGAUGAUGUGGGAACUGGGGCAAGGAUCAUAUGGAAGAGUGGUCGAUUUUGUUCUGUACUUUAACAUUUGAAAUAGGAGAAGCUCGGGCAUUUGUGGGGCUUAAUUGAUUUUGAAGCCUGAAAUUGCGUUUCUGUCAUUUUGUAAAAAAUAUGGCAGAUUCCAUGCUCUCAUAUGUUUGGUCUGUGGCCAUGUAUAGAUGCCCCUUAGUGACCAGUUUGUAACUGUCAAUCAUAGUGUUUUGACUCUGGCUCAACAACAUCAGCCAUUGACGGAUUUUCAUACUUGCAAAUCAAAUAGUCUUCUUCCUCCCUUAGGAAUUUCGGUUUAAAUGUUAUUAAGCAUACAUUUGGCUGACAAUUAUUAACCACUUCAUGAUAUGGUUUCUUACCCUUAAUCAAUGGUUUCUAAGUGAAUAUAUGCAGAAGGAAAUCUGAACUGUAGACAGCAGUAUUGAUAACUCUCAAUAUUCUUUAUAUAAGAGAAUAAACAACGUCAUAGUGAUCGUCGCCUACAAGAAAGGUACAUUUCCCAACAAGAUGUAGUUGUGACUGGUACAUGGACGCAAUUAACUCGUACAAAAGAAUAAGACCAGUGCACGGCAGCUCUUAUUUUACAUGCUAAUUAUGCUAACCAAAGUCACUCAGUUGGGAUGGGAGGGAGAUGGAGGUUUGUGCGGUGGCUUGUGGGGCGGAGUUGGUGGCUUCUUUUCAGGAGCUUGUGGCUUUUUCGGAGCUGAAGGAGGCUCAAUCUUAUGAGGCGGCUUGUACGAGUCUUCUUUACUCUCGACAGGAGGGUGGCCAGGGUUGUGACCAUAAUGUGGUGGCUUCUCUCCCUUAGGUGGCUUGCCAACUGGGGUUGGUGGCUUGUGUUCAGGAAGUGGUUUCUCUCCCUUGGGAGGUUUACCAAUUGGGGUUGGUGGCUUGUGUUCUGGGAGUGGUUUCUCUCCCUUGGGAGGUUUAGUGGGUGACUUGUGUUCUGGAGGUGGCUUCUCCACCGGAGGCUUGUGCUCCGGUGGUGGCUUCUCCACCGGAGGCUUGUGCUCCGGUGGUGGCUUCUUGAUUGGAGGGGGCUUGGGGUAAUCAGCAAGAGAUGGGAUGGUGAGAACCACCACUCCAAGGAACAACACUAGCAAGUAUGUGGGAGACAUUUCUGAGUUUGAGCUGAUCAGAUGAUGCAAAACUAGAAGAAUUACGGGACCUUUUAUAGCAAGUAUCUCCCAAUACCCACAUGACACGUGUUACUAUGACCAUAAAUAUUAUAGGGUCCAUUUGUGCCCUACCGGGUUGAAAACUUGGACGCUUGGCCGAGGACACACCUGACUAUGGAGGACUAUUGACGUGUGAUCACAGCUUUUGGAUUUUUCUUCCUGUGCAGCUGUCUAGCGGUUGGCAUUAUUUUCUUAAUCUUAAAUAAAGGCAUAGUUAUAGAGUUGUUUAAUCUCUAAAUGGGAUUUUAUAUAUCUUCAGAUAGCCAUUAAUAUAUUUGAUGAAGAAAGACAAGUGCAUACAACAUGUAUACGGCUUGCUUCAAUCGAGUACAUUUAUGAUCAGUUUUCCUGUGCAAGUAAACCAGUUUUUUGUUCCACAACUAUUUUGGAAUCUUGUUUAUCAGUUUCUAUCAUUAUAAUGUCACAUAGGCUGCAAACUUGGGCACCCAAAGAUCUAGGUGGGCAAAUUUGUUUCAGACUUUCAAUGGUGGAUUCAGUAAUUGUUAAAAGGUGUUUCUUCAUUAAGGAAAGAGUCCGGUAAAAAUAUUGUUAAAAGGUGUCAUAGAAACUAUAAUAAAUAAAUAACUUCUUUUCCCCAUGGGUGGUGUUUCUUCUGGGGAUCAGUGACUGGUUAGGGUCACCCAAAAUGAGUCCAGAUUAAAAUUGGUUCGAGUCAAAGCAGUCUCUUUUGUCCAGAAAUCAACUAUUUUGCGCAUUGAAUGAAUCGAUAAAGAAAAAAUGAAAGCCAAAUCACACCUCCCCUGCAAAACCUAAACCCCGGUUGCUAACUUUCUAUGUUUCAGUCCUAUUCAUAUAGGAAUAUUGGUUCAAGUUUGAGAAAAAUGGCAACUUACCUAGGGUUUACUUGGUUUUGGUUUGCGACUAUUUACGCAACCAACCAUGAGUUUGACUUUAACGUCAUGGGUUGAAGCCUCCUACAAUCAUGUAUGAUAGUUCAAAGCUCGUGGAAGAAAUUAUACAGGAAGGAAGAAACCUCCAAAGCUAGCUCCAAAAGAGAAUUAUCACAUCGAUAGCUCCAGAGAUUCCCAAGGGAACUGAAUCAAAGACAAGUUCCUCACUUUUUCUUCUUUUGAGGCCAAAUAUGAACCAAGGAUCACACGACCUCAUUCAACUUCAUAAGUUUGAUUUCAUGCAGUUGAACACUGGGUGAAGGCCAUGACAAGAAUUGAUUAAAAAAUUCUACCACUCUUUUAAGUAAUGGAAGAUUAUUAUCUCUGAUUGGCACCACAACAGCACAUGCUGCUAGAUCUUUCUAGACACUCCAUGCAAUGAAAGCACAAUGGAUCUUGUAAUGAUAGAAACUAAGCCAUGCUACAGUACUAGAUGAGGGGGUAAAACUAGUAGACAUCUUUCUAGACACUCCAUGCAAUGAAAGCACAAUGGAUCUUGUAAUGAUAGAAACUAAGCCAUGCUACAGUACUAGAUGAGGUGGUAAAACUAGUAGACAUGGCUGGCAGUUGAUUACUACUCAAAAAGUACUCUUUUAUAGCUUGAAACUAACUGUUUUAAACACUUUUGAGUAGUAGUUAAUACCUUUUAACUUAAUUGGCACAUUAAGGAACCUAGCAAGGGUUACUAAUCAACAUUUGGCAAGUUUUGAUGUUUUUGGUAGCUAUUUGAUCAUUGAAACAAGCCAAGAAUGAGGGGGAAUUUUGUGAAGUCCAUGGCAAUGCAAGUUAAAGCUCAAAUACAUGAAGAAUCCAAGCUUUGGAGCACUUCAUAGCCCUUUGCCAAGCCAAUCAAAGAUGCAAGGAAGAAAACCAAAGGAAGAAAUCCAACAAUCAGCAUUUUGGCAUGGCUAUGUGAAAUUUCGCACACCAUGCGAAACCACAAGAGGCAGCCAAAGAAUUUCGCAUGGUAUGCGAAAUCUUCUUGUGCACUGACUCUGUUAGAUUUUUAUCUUCAGAUAUUUUGUGUAAUUUCCUAGUUUCUCCUUGUAACCAACUUAGAUAUUUUCUUUUAUAUCUUUUUUUAUAUUUUUUAGGUAACAUCAUAUAUAAGAGGAGAGACAUAAGGAGGAUAUGGAUGUUUUUCAUAGAACACUUGUAAAUUUUUGGUAGUAAGAAAUAUACAAAGCUUUUUGCUCUGCCUUACCUUCUCAAGGGAUGAGUGGCUAGGUUUUCUUGGAGUGAGGGAAGCUAGGUGAAGGACCUGAAUGCAAAGGUGGGAGUUUUCCUUACUUUAAAUGAAAGUAGUUGUUAAACAUUAAUGGUUUUUAUUUUAAGGUUUAGCUUUAAAUCCCUGAAAAACACCUUGAAUGGCCAAUACUUGGUAAGCUUUUUAGAUUCUAUGGAUGCUUAUUGCUAGAUCCAUGGAUGUCUAUUAGUUAUCAUUUACGAGCCAUUGGAAGGUGAUUCAAGGUGAGGGUCUUUAGUGUUUGAAGCCAUUAAUGGGAAGCAAUUACCAUUUUUUCAUGAAUCCUUUGGAUCAAAUCUUAAUUGCUAAAUAUAAAACCGGUUUCGAGAGAUAACCACCAUCCUUUAUGUUAUUAUCCCCAACGCGAGGAGAAGAUCCGAAAUCUUCCUUUUUAUCUAAGGAACCCGAUCCUAGUGACCUAAAGCUCCAAGAUACCUUUUCUUUGUAGUUAACUUCAUUUAUUGUUUUUGCUUAACUUAAAAUCAAUCUUUGCAACCACAAUUCCAUUUUCUUUAAAAGCUAAUUUUUAUAAGGAAAAACACCAUUUUAUUUCCUUCACUAAGUCAACUGUACGAUGAAAACCCAUCCCUGUGGACGAUCCUAGAGCCACUAUACUAUGUUAGCUAUGCUACCCUAGUGUGAGGUGAUUUAGGUUUUAUAAAUUUUUUUGAUAACACCCAUCUGAGCCAGAAUCAAAUGGCACGACUGAACCAGGGACGAAUCAAAUGACGCCGCUACCAAGGAUGGUGCCAAAGUACAUUGACAUGACUUUUGGUGAACACUUGUGAUCUUCACCACAAGUUUGGUGAUUUUUCUUUUACUAAUUUUUUUUAUUUUAGCUUAUCUUUUAUUUAGUUUUUAGUUAACCUUAAAUUUUUCCUAGAAUUGUAUUUCUUUUGUUUUCUUUGUUUUUGUUUCAGUGAUCUUUAGUUGUGCAUGCCCUAUUGGAUAAGAGAUAUUGAGGGAAUACUUGUGAAGAUUGAAACUCCUCGAGAAACUGAGUUAGAAGUGUGCUUGAACAUCAUGGAUGUUCCACCUGAAGACCAGAAUAGCCAACAUGGUUAAGAGGAUAAUUUCAACACAUACCGAUCCAUGAGGAACCGCAUACAUCCACCUUGUAUGAGUGCACCGUCAGGCAUAAUGCCUCCCACUGAGCAGCUAGUAAUCUGACCUCACAUUGUGCCACUCCUACCUACUUUCCAUGGGAUGGAGAGUGAGAAUCCCUACUCGCAUAUUAAGGAAUUCGAGGAGGUUUGUAAUACAUUCCAAGAAGGAGGAGCUUCAAUUGACUUGAUGAGGCUCAAGCUAUUUCCUUUCACUUUGAAGGAUAAGGCCAAGAUUUGGCUUAAUUCUUUAAGGCCAAGAAGUAUCCAAACUUGGAUUGAUUUGUAAGCCGAGUUUCUUAAGAAGUUCUUCCCUACCCAUAGGACCAAUGGUUUGAAAAGGCAAAAUUUGAACUUCUCAGUUAAAGAGAAUGAGAAAUUCUAUGAGUGUUGGGAGAGCUACAUGGAAGCUAUUAACGUUUGUCCUCACCAUGGCUUUGACACAUGGCUCUUAGUGAGCUAUUUUUACAAUGGUAUGUCUUCUUCAAUGAAGCAACUCCUAGAAACUAUGUGUGGAGGAGACUUCAUGAGUAAGAAUCCGGAGGAAGCCAUGGACUUUUUGAGUUAUGUGGCUGAAGUUUCAAGAGGAUGGGAUGAACCAAAUGCUAGAGAGGUGGGAAGAAUGAAGUCUCAACCUAAUGCUAAGGGUGAGAUGUAUGUUUUGAAUGAAGACAUUGACAUGAAAGCAAAGGUUGCAGCUAUGGCAAGGAGAUUGGAAGAGCUAGAAAUGAAGAACAUACAAAAAGUGCAAGCCAUUUCUGAGACAUCAAUGAAAGCUAUGCCUUGUUCCAUUUGUCAAUCUUAUAAGCACCUAGUGGAGGAGUGUCCUACAAUUCCAGCAGUGAGAGAGAUGUUUGGUGAUCAAGCAAAUGUUAUUGAUCAAUUCAAGCCUAAUAACAAUGCUUCAUAUGGCAACACCUACAAUUCAAAUUGGAGGAACCAUUCAAAUUUCUCUUGGAAACGAAAGCCACCUCAAUACACACAACCUACUCAAGCACCUUAGCAAUCCUCGAAUCUUGAACAAGCUAUUGUGAACCUUAGCAAGGUUGUGGGAGACUUUGUGGGAGAUCAGAAGUCCAUCAAUGCUCAACUGAAUCGGAGAAUUGACAGUGUGGAGAGUACAUUGAACAAAAGGAUGGAUGAGAUGUAAAAUGAUCUGUCUCAAAAGAUAGACAAUGUCCAAUACGUAAUCUCAAGGCUUACCAACCUCAACACAGUGUAAGAGAAAGGAAAGUUUCCUUCUCAACCUCAUCAAAAUCCUAAGGGUAUCCAUGAAGUAGAGGCUCAAGAGGGAGAAUCUUCAAAGGUGAGGGAAGUCAAAGUAGUUAUCACCUUGAAGAGUGGUAAAGAGGUUGAUCAACCCACAUCCAAGCCAAAGCAUAAUGAAGAGAGUGUAGCAGAAAAAGAAAAGAGAGGAAAAUAAAGGAAUUAGAAUAGAGAAAAAUACAAAGAAAGAUGACCAUGAGUCUAGUGUGGAUGAAGAGCCCGAGAGGAUGGUGAUCAAGGAAGAUAUGAUGAAGAAACACAUGCCUCCACCUUUCCCCUAAGCUUUGCAUGACAAAAAAAGAACCAAUAAUACAUCAGAAAAUUUUGAAGUAUUGAGGCAAGUGAAGGUCAAUAUCCCUUUGCUAGACAUGAUCAAACAAGUGUCGACAUAUGAAAAAUUCUUGAAGGACUUGUGCACUGUAAAGAGAGGGUUGAAUGUGAACAAGAAAGCUUUAUUGACCGAGCAAGUGAGUUCCAUCAUACAGUGCAAGUCCUAGUGAAGUACAAAGAUCCGGGUUGCCGUACCAUCUCAGUGAGUAUUGGAAGGACUUGUGUGGAGAAAGCUUUGUUGGACUUGGGAGCAAGUGUGAAUUUGCUAUCCUACUCUGUCUAUAAGCAGUUGGGAUUUGGAGAGUUGAAGCCAAUAUCCAUCACUCUAUCUCUAGCGGAUAGAUCAAUGAAGAUUCCAAGAGGGAUGAUCGAAGAUGUCCUGGUUCAAGUUAACAAAUUCUACUAUCCAGUAGAUUUUGUUGUUCUUGAUAUGGAUCCGGUUGUCAAAUGAACUAAUUAUGUUCCUAUCAUACUUGGAAGACCCUUCCUAGCUACAUCAAAUGCAAUCAUCAAUUGUAGGAAUGGAGUCAUGCAACUCACAUUUGUCAACAUGACAUUAGAGCUCAACAUCUUCCAUUUGUACAAGAAGCAUAUCCAUCAGGAGGAAAAAGAAGGUCUAGAGGAAGUGUGAAUGAUUGACACUUUAGUGGAAGAGCAUUGUGAUCGAGAAUGCAAAAAGAUUUAGUUGAGAAUUUUGGGGAUCUUGAUGAAAGGUUACUUGAACCCUCAGAUUUGCUUGCUACCCUACUCCAUUGGAAGAGAAGAGAAGAAAUUCUACCCUUAUUCAAUGAGGAGGAGACGCAAAGAGCUGCAAAGGAGAAACCCCCAAAACUUAUUCUUAAGCCACUACCCACAGAGUUGAAGUAUGUAUACUUGGAAGAAGACAAGAAGUGCCCUAUUGUUAUAUCUUCAACUCUUACCAUUCAUCAGGAGGAUUGUCUACUUGAAGUCCUUAGAAGAUGUAAGAAGACAAUAAGGUGGCUAAUUUCUUAUUUGAAAGGGAUCAGCCCUUUAGUCUGCACCCAUCAUAUUUACAUGGAGGAUGAAGCUAAGCUAAUUCAUCAACCUCAGAGAAGGUUGAACCCUCACAUGCAAGAGGUGGUUCGAGCUGAAGUUCUGAAGCUACUUCAGACCAGUAUUAUUUACCCCAUAUCAAAUAGCCCAUGGGUGAGUCCUACUCAAGUUGCGCCAAAGAAGUCUGGGAUCAUGGUGGUGCAAAAUGAUAAGGGAGAAGAUGUCUCUACACGCCUCACUACAGGUUGGAGGGUGUGUAUCAAUUACAGGAGGUUGAAUGCAGUGAUAAGAAAGGACCAUUUCUCAUUGCCCUUUAUUGAUCAGGUGCUUGAGAGGGUCUCUGGGCUUUUUUUUUUAUUGUUUCUUGGAUGGCUACUCCGGGUACUUUCAGAUAGAAAUUGAUGUUGAAAACCAAGAUAAGACCAUUUUCACAUGCCCAUUUGGAACCUAUGCAUAAAGGAGAAUGCCUUUCGGCUUAUGCAAUGCACCCGCAACUUUCCAAAGAUGCAUGUUAAGCAUUUUCAGUGAUAUGGUGGAGCGUAUUAUGGAAGUCUUUAUGGAUGAUAUCACCAUUUAUGGAAGUGCAUUUGAUGAAUGCUUGGUCAACUUAGAAGCUGUUCUGAACCGAUACAUUGAGAAAGACUUAGUGCUUAACUGGGAGAAGUGCCAUUUCAUGGUACACCAAGGGAUUGUCCUUGGGCACAUUAUCUCCAAGCAAGGCAUUGAAGUUGACAAAGCAAAGGUUGAACUCAUUGUUAAGUUGCCAUCCUCAACAAAUGUCAAAGGAGUAAGGCAAUUCUUUGGCCAUGUCGGGUUCUAUAGGAGGUUUAUCAAGGAUUUCUCUAAGCUUGCAAGGCCUCUUUGUGAAAUAUUGGUGAAUGAUGUUAAAUUCAUAUGGGAUGAUGGAUUUGAAAGGAGUUUUGAAGAAUUGAAGCUAUUUUUGACAACCGUACCAAUAGUGAGGGCUCCCAACUGGCAACUGCCCUUUGAAGUAAUGUGUGAUGUCAAUGAUUUUGCUAUAGGAUUUUUUCUUGGGCAAAGAGAAAAUGGAAAACCUUAUGUGAUCUACUAUGCGAGGAAGGCAUUGAAUGAGGCACAAAGAAACUACACAACCACCGAGAAAGAAUUGUUAGCUGUAGUUUUUGCCUUGGAUAAGUUUCGCGCUUACUUGGUGGGGUCCUUCAUCAUGGUUUUUACUGAUCACUUUGCUUUGAAGUAUCUGUUGACUAAGCAAGAUGCUAAAGCAAGGCUGAUUAGAUGGAUUCUCUUACUUCAAGAGUUCAAUCUCCAUAUCAAAGAUAAGAAAGGAGUGGAGAAUGUGGUAGCAGACCACAUUUCAAGGCUAGCUAUCGCACAUAAUUCCCAUGCUUUGCCCAUUAAUGACGAUUUUCUAGAGGGGUCUCUCAUGUUGGUGGAAGUUGUCCCUUGGUACGCUCACAUUGCUAACUACCUGGUCACGGGAAAAGUUCCAAGUGAGUGGAAAGCACAAGAUAAGAAGCACUUCUUUGCAAAAAUUCAUGCCUACUAUUGGGAAGAGCCAUUUCUAUUCAAGUAUUGUAUGGAUCAGAUAAUAAGGAAGUGCGUUCCUGAAGAAGAGCAACAGGGGAUCCUUAGUCAUUACCAUGAAAAUGCAUGUGGAGGCCACUUUGCUUAUCAAAAGACAGCCAUGAGGGUGUUGCAAUCGGGUUUCUGUUGGCCAUCACUUUUCAAAGAUGCCCACACCAUGUGCAAGAGUUGUGAUCGAUGCCAGAGGCUUGGGAAGUUGACACGCAGGAACAUGAUGCCUUUGAACCCCACUUUAAUAGUUGAUAUUUUUUAUGUUUGGGGCACUAACUUCAUGGGACCUUUCCCUAUGUCUUUUGGCUACUCUUACAUCUUGGUAGGAGUAGAUUAUGUUUCUAAGUGGGUUGAGGCAGUCCCAUGCAAACACAAUGACCAUAGAGUGGUUCUCAAGUUUCUUAAAGAGAAUAUCUUCUCAAGAUUUGGGGUGCCCAAAGCCAUAAUUAGUGAUGGGGGUACUCAUUUUUGCAACAAGCCUUUUGAAACUCUCCUAGCCAAGUAUGGGGUGAAGCAUAAGGUAGCUACACCUUACCACCCUCAAACUCAUGGACAAGUUGAGUUAGCAAACAGGGAGAUUAAAAACAUAUUGAUGAAGGUGGUGAACACAAACAGAAAAGAUUGGUCAGUCAAGCUUCUUAAUUCACUAUGGGCAUAUAGAACAACUUACAAGACCAUUCUCGGGAUGUCUCCUUAUCGCCUAGUUUAUGGCAAAGCAUGCCAUCUCCCUGUGGAAUUGGAAUACAAAGCUUGGUGGGCAAUCAAGAAGCUCAACAUGGAUUUGAGCAGAGCUGGGUUGAAGAGGUUCUUAGACCUUAAUGAGAUGGAGAAAUUGAGAAAUGAUGCCUACAUCAAUUCAAAAAUUGCAAAAGAAAAAUUGAAGAGGUGGCAUGAUCAGUUGAUUUCCCGCAAGGAUUUUCAAAAUGGACAAAGAGUCUUACUUUAUGACUCUAAACUCCACAUCUUUCCGGGCAAGCUGAAAUCAAGGUGGAUAGGUCAUUUUACCAUUCACCAAGUGCAUUCAAAUGGAGUAGUGGAACUACUCAACUCCAACAAUAUCGAGAACUUCAAAGUGAAUGGCCACCGUCUCAAGCCCUUUGUGGAGUCUUUUUCUCACAACAAGGAGAAAUUCAUCCUCCUUGAUCCACAUCAAGCUUAACAAGACCAAUUUUCUUGAUGGACUUAGUCUUUCUAAAGACUAUCGAGUCCAUAACUUUUUGUUUUAUUUUUUAUUUGAGAUUUUUUCGGUAUUGUUACUUGUUUUGUUUUUUAUUUUUCGUUUUAAUUUUAUUUGGUUUGAUUUAACUUAGGUUUUUGAUGAUCAAUUACAGGGGGGAUUUCAAAUAGAGGAAAAACCAAGAUAAUUCGCACACCCUACGAAAAUUUCGCAAGGCAUGCGAAAUUUAUGGCUUAUUUUGCAUGGGGUGAAAAUUUUCGUACAUCUUACGAACCAAUUUCGAACACUUUGCGAAAAUAAACCAACCCUGCGAAAUCAUUUCGAUUACUCUACGAAAUUUUCGUAGAGCAUGCGAAAAAUUUAGCACACCAAACACCAUUUCGCAUACUAUGCAAAAACCUAAGGGGUCUGCGAAACCAUUUCGCACCUCCAAAUCCAUUUCGCACAUUGUGCGAAAACCAAGAGGCGCUGUGCGAAAAUGAAAAGUCGCCCUGUCAUCCCUUUUUAAACCCCUCGAGCCCUAAAAUCUCCAUUUCGCAAGCACCCCUGUCCUUGCGAAUCCCUCAUUUUCCUCUACUACCUUGCAACCUCGUCCCUUUCCAUUUGAUAUUGUGCCCCGCGCACAUCUCAUUUCAGAGACUCGCACUCCGCGCCCCCUCAAAGCAUGGACUCGAGACCCACCUUCCAUUUCCGACGUGGCACGGACCCAAGGAGCCCUUUCUGCCCCUUCACUAAGACACACACCAAGGCAGAAAGCCUCCUUUGCUCAAGUGCCUAGUGAUUCUCCAUCUUAGGCCUCAGAGGCCUCGGAGGCCCCGUGGAUUCCACCUUCCGAGGGUAGAGCAGCCAUUGGUCCUUCCUCUUCUACUCCUUAGCGUAGAUACGAGACGAGGAGACCACCUACUACACAAGGGGCGACUACUUCGAGCCUUGAGAAUUCAGUACGAUGCCUUCCUGCCAAGAGGGUCAAGACUUCAGGUCCAAGUGAGUCAUCCAGAGCUUCAUAGCCUAAGCCUCCUGUAGAUUCCAAGGUUCCUACUGACAUAUCACCGGAGUCUAUUAUCAGAAGCCCGAUGCUCAUAGCACCGCCCAUUGAGGGCAACUCAGAUUAUAGAGCGAGAUCUUUCCACUUGGAGCUAUAUUUUGAUCAGGAGGCCAUACGACAGCAGCCUGAGCUCCGAGACUCUUAUGGCUUACUGCAGAGGUACCAUCUUGAGGAACUUAUGACUCCUCGUGAGUUUUUUUAUCCCAGAGUAGCACUAAACUUUUACCAGUCCAUGACUACUCGUGGCGUCCCGAGUCCUACCACGAUUCACUUCACCAUUGAUAGACGUCAUGGUAUCCUCAAGGCCAGACAUAUUACAGAGGCUCUACAAAUUCCUUUCGAGCUAGAGGAUCCAUCUGUUUUUCGCUAAUGGUCCCCAGUAUCUCAGAGGGACAUGGUCCGUAUUUUAUCUAGGGGAACAUCUACAGAUUCGAUCUUUCUACGGAAGGAGCUUCGACCUGGGAUGCUCCUCUUAGAUGUGGUGCUAUGCUCCAACCUCUUUCCCUUACAACAUUCGGUACAUAGGUGAUGAGCUAUUUUGGACGCUUUAUUCCGUAUAUCAGAGGGCUUCUACUUUGGCCCGCACCACUUGAUCAUGGUCUCCCUCAUCCACUUUGAGGAGAAGGUUCAUAGGAAGAAGCUUCAGAGGGUGGACACCAUUCCAUUACUAUUCCUGAGGUUACUUUGCCAGGUCUUGGAGUACAUGGGCUUUCCUACUGAGCCUCGGCUCGAGCUUUGCCGCCUUUGUCGAGAGUGAUCCACUCUCGACAAAUGGAAUUAGUUGGCGGGCUAUUCUGCACCUCCAGGAGCCCCUCCCAUGGUAGCACCUCCAAUGUCCCCACAGGCAAAGUAGGGCGAGCUCCCGGCAAAGACUGUACCACCAAUGCCCACACUUGAGGCUAUUUCUGCUGCUCUGCCUAUGACUCCUACUGUUCCACCAGUUGGUCCUUUUACAUCCGAGCCUUCCAUCACCAUCUCGGCUUCGGAGUUUCGCGCCCUUGUGCAUACCUUUCAGACACUCACCACCACACAUACUCCUCUCUUCUAGCAAAUGGUUGAGAUGUGUGCCCAUCAGGACCGGAAGACUACUAUACUCUGCCAAAUUCAGCAGCACCUAAGACUUUUGCCUCAACCUCAACCUAACCAUCCCAUAUCAUCAGAGCCUCUAGCUCCAACUGAGGAUACUAUUCCACCUGAGAACACUACCACAGUAGAGGUCCGGUUUCCACCACCUUAAGAGGCCACCACAGCUACAUCAGAGGAUGUGUCAUCUCCACUUGAGGCUCCCACUACUUGAUCAUAGGACAUAUCUUUAUCUUAUUGUAUUUACAUAUUAUAUUACUAGAGAUUUGUCCUUGUUUUGAUACUUUAUAUUCUGGGAUUGGAUGUAUUGCCUGAUGAUAUCUCAAUUGUACUUUCUCAUAUUAAUAUAUAGACAUCAAUUUUUUUUAGUAUACUUAGCAUUUUUCUAUUUCCUCUACUCAUUACUCUUUUGUUUUUUUUUACUCAUGUGGUUUCUCUUAUACAACUCAGACUCCAUUUCACUCAGGAGGUACCACUUCCUCCCUUUAUUUUCAAUUGCUCUUGAAAUAUUGAGUGCAAUGUUGAUCUUGGUUGGGGGGAGAGUUGAGGAAGGAAGUUUUGUUAAUAAUGCUAGGUUAAUUUGUUAAUUUAGUUACUUUCUGCUUAAUUUUAAAAGUUUUCACUCUACUUUCCAUGGUUAUUAAGGAAAAAUUCUCAAAAUGAAAUGGGAGAAAUCGAAUUCUUGCAUUUUUACUUGAAUCUUAGAAUUUGUAUCAUGCUUAUUAAAGUUGAUGAAUUAUUGAAACUCCUAUUGAAUUCAACCUUAUUUUUUCCACUUUAAUCUUACCACACACGGUGCACAUUAGGUUCCAGUUAUAAGAUAAAAAACUAUCUCACCCCCUAAACUUAGAAAAAUUUACACUUGGUACCUUUGACAUCGUUUUAAUAGUGUUGGGACACCUUAUAAAAGGCCAAUGAGCCUUUAAAAAAAAAAAAAAAAAAAAAAAGAGAAAGAACAAAGUAUUGCACUUGCCUUGAAACCUGAGCAAGAUCCGAGGGGUAUACAGUGAAAGUCUUUAAAACCUGGUGCCCUAAGCCUUGAUUGGUUGGGAGUCACCGACCUCAAUGCUCGUUAUAAGGGUGAAUAGGUGGAGUUUAACAUAUUGUAGGUGCUUGGGUAUUGAAUUUCAAUCUCAAAAGUCCGGGAAAAAAUCUAAGGAGUUAGUGGUCAAAAGAUCCUUAAAGCUUGAUGCCCUAAACCUUGAUUGGUUGAGAGUCAUUGAUGGAUCCCCGCUACAUGGACAUUUUAGAAAACAAUACCUUUAGCAUUGCACGCCUACAAUGAAAAAAAAAUGUGAAAUAAAAGAGGUGCGUUCUUAGCCUAUUGGAGGUUGGUCAGUUUGCUAAAGUUUGAGAAAUCUAGGUUGGGGGGAGAGAAUAGUCCGACAUACUAUAAUAAAAAACUAAUAACCUUAACACUUAGAUUUUUGUGGAAGAGUAAGGAUUGGACCUUUAGGGGUGGAAAUUCUUUUGAUGCUUAAAUUUGCAUAAUGCCUACUCUUUAUAAAUUAUGAUUAGGCAAGAGAUUUGAUGACUCUUGUUCAAAGUUGGGUUUUUCCUCUUUGAUGUUCCAUGAGAGAGUAUAAUCCUCAUCAUGCCACUUGAAAUCUUUUUGGAGUGAUUAACAUGAUUUUGUAAAUUAUUUUACUGUCUAUUUUUCUUUAUCUCUCUUUUAUUGCUAAUGGACUAGCAAUAUGUCAGUUGGGGGGAGUGAUUACUACUCAAAAAGUACUCUUUUAUAGCUUGAAACUAACUGUUUUAAACACUUUUGAGUAGGUGUUAAUACAUUUUAACUCAAUUGGCACAUUAAGGAACCUAACAAGGGUUACUAAUAAGUUUUUGGCAAGUUUUGGUGUUUUUGGUAGCUAUUUGAUCAUUGAAACAAGCCAAGAAUGAGGGAGAAUUUUGUGAAGUCCAUAGCAAUGCAAGUUAAAGCUCAAAUACAUGAAGAAUCCAAGCUUUGAAGCACUUCAUAGCCCUUUGCGAAGCCAAUCAGAGAUGCAAGGAAGAAAACCAGAGGAAAAAAUCCAACAACCAGCAUUUUCGCAUGGCUGUGCGAAAUUUUGCACACCAUGCGAAACCACAAGAAGUAGCCAAAGAAUUUUGCACACCAUGCGAAAUUUCGCAUGGUAUACGAAAUCUUCCUAUGCACCAACUCCGUUAUAUUUUUAUCUUCAGAUAUUUUGUGUAAUUUCCUAGUUUCUCCUUGUAACCAACCUAGAUAUUUUCUUUUAUAUCUUUUUUUUAUAUUUUUUAGGUAACAUCAUAUAUAGGGGGAGAGACAUAAGGAGGAUAUGGAUGUUUUUCAUAAAACACUUUUAAUUUUCUGGUAGUAAGAAAUAUACAAAGUUUUUUGCUCUGCCUUACCUUCUCAUUUUGUUUUCACCUAUCUUUCUAGCCAAACAACCUCUGAGAAUGAUUUCUCAGGGGAUGAGUAGUUAGGUUUUACGUUUCUUGGAGUGAGAGAAGCUAGGUGAAAGACCCAAAUGCUAAGGUGGGAGUUGUCCUUGCUUUAAAUGAAAGUAGUUGUUAAAUAUUAAUGGUUUUUAUUUUAAGGUUUAGCUUUAAAUCCCUUAAAAACACCUUGAAUGGCCAAUACUUGGUAAGCUUUUCGGAUUCUAUGGAUGCUUAUUGCUAGAUCCAUGGAUGUCAUUAGUUAUCAUUUAUGAGCCAUUGGAAGGUGGUUCAAGAUGAGAGUCUUUAGUGUUUGAAGCCAUUAAUGGGAAACAAUUACCAUUUUUUCAUGAAUCCUUUGGAUAAAAUCUUAAUUGCUAAAUAUAAAACUGGUUCGGGAGAUAACCAUCCUUUAUGUUAUUAUGCCCAAUGCAAGGAGAAGAUUUCGAAUCUUCUCAUUUGUCUAAGGAACCCGAUCCUAGUGACCUAAAGCUCCUAGAGACCUUUUCUUUGUAGUUAACUUCAUUUAUUGUUUUUGCUUAACUUAAAAUCAAUCUUUGCAACCACAAUUCCAUUUUCUUUAAAAGCUAAUUUUUAUAAGGAAAAGCACCAUUUUAUUUCCUUCACUAAGUCAACUGUAUGAUGAAAACCCAUCCCUGUGGACGAUCUUAGAGCCACUAUACUAUGUUAUCUAUGCUAUCCUAGUGUGAGGUGAUUUAGGUUUUAUAAAUUUUGUUGAUAACACCCGUCUGAGCCAGAAUCAAAUGGAACCACUGAACCAGGGACAAAUCAACAGCCUAUAUGGGAGGGACACAAGUUUAAUUGAUUUGCAUUUCAGCGUUAUAGAUAAGUAUGUUUUGGAAGAUUUGUUCUGGAAAUACUGCACCAAGUACGAUUCUUUUUCUCUUGAGUGAGUCCAUUUGCAUGCCAAUUAACGAGUUGAAAAGUAGGAGCACCUACCUCGUGCUCAUGGAACCGAAUGUCAGUGAAGUGGGGCUCCUUUUAGCCUCUUGUGUUUCUGUUCCAACCAAGGCGGCGUAGGGAAAAACAACAAUAUGUCUGUGCUAAAUAUCAACGCAUGAUAGAUGUUUUUUUUUUUUUUUUUGGUAUGUCAAGGCUAACGAAUGAAAUGCAUUAGCUUGUUUUGUGACUAUAACUGCAAAUGUCCAAAUUGGAGUAUCUCCAUUUCUCACUUCGGAUGGUUAACUUUAUAAACAAGAUAUAGGAAACAUGUGAACAUCUUGAGGAACAAUUCAAAUUAUUCAUUAGAAGUCCUGGGUUAAGUUCCAAGAUUUAAAUCAGACCCUUCUAGCAGCUUCAAGGGUACUUAGCAACCUAUAACAUAUUAAUGAAGAUUUAGGAUUUAGACUCCGGAAUACAAAUAAAUAUGUAUCUCAUGCUUUGACUAGCUUCCCUACAUAUGCAUAAAAUGGAGAUGACCCAAAAAAAAUAGCAGAAUCUAGCUUCCCUACAUAUGCACAAAAUGGAGAUGACCCAAAAAAUAGCAUAAUCGCCUUAGUUUCUGUGGUUAAGGUGAUUCUCCGCUUAAUAUCCACAUUGACUCAUUAUGCAAAAUCAACUGAGCUAAUUUUAUUUAUUUAUUUAAUGUCAAAUAGGAACUCCUAAUUAACUGAUUACUGUCGAAAAGUGCUAUUUUGUAGACCUAAUUAUAAGGGUUUUAAGCACCUUUGAGUAGUAAUCAUAUUCAUUUAACCUAAUUAAUUCAUUAAGCUCCUUAGUAAUUAGUUCUAACCAUUUUUAGUGGCAAGUUUACAUGUUUUUCAUCAGCUUAUGAACCAAUUCAAGCAUGCCAAUUGAUGGAGGAGCUACUUGGGCGAGUUAAGCAAGGAUUUUGGACGUUUACAGGCUUGAAUUUCAAGUGGAAACACGAGCACAAGCAAUGGGAACACCAUUUCGCAAGGGGAGGCAAUUCACCUUGCCAAAUGACCAAUUUCGCAAGGGGAUUUUCCUCAUGGUGCAAAAUUUGGUCAUUUCGCACCAUGAAGAAACCACCUUGCAAAAUUUCGCAAGGUGGAUUUAGGCACCUUGCGAAAUGCCAAAUUUCACAAGGUGGCUUUUCACCUUGCGAAAUUUGGACCUUUCAUCUUCCCCCCUUGCGAAAUGCCUUUGAAAUCCCCUGUUUUGAGACGCUGUUGAUGAUAUUCCACUGCCGGUUCUCCAAGAUAUUUUGCUUGACUUUUAGCUUUAUAAAUACCUAUUUUACCCUUGUAAUCAACCAAUGAAAAGGUUGCUUUUGUAAUAGCUCUUGUAAUUUAGCUUUUUAUUGUCUUUAAAUAGAGGUGAAGAGCCUCAGACACGAUCAUCUUGUAACCUGUAACUUUAUAAGUUAUAAGAGCACUUUUGUUCAUACGCUUCUUUUCUCUUUUCUUUCUCAUUUUCUUAGUAGCCAAACAUCCUUGGAGGAUGAAAUCCCCAAGGAUGAGAGGCUAAAACCUUUUAGUUUCUUGAAGUAAUGGAUGCCAUGUGAAGCUCCCGUGUCAGGAUGGAGAUUUCCAAGCCAUAAAUGUAAGUAGCUGAGCGUCAUAAAUGUUUUCAUUCAAAGUAAAGCUUUUAAUCCCUCUGACUUGCUUUGAAUGGCCAAUACUUGAUAACCUUUUGGUCUCAAUGGAUUCUUAUUGUUAGAUCCACUGACGUUCAUUAGUUAUCUCCUACGAGCCAUUGUAUUGCAAGUCGAGGAGAUGACCUAUACCAAUAAAAGAGCAUUUAUGAGGUUCAACUACCCUUUUUGUAAGUUUUCAAGGACUAAAACUCAGUUGUUAAACUCAUACCGGUUCGAGAAGUAAGCAUCACCUUAGUUGCUUCCCCAACUCGAGGUGAAAAGUCCCAAAAUCUCCAUUUUUACACAGUGAGUUAAGCAUGGCUAUCCAAAGCUUUAAGAAACUUCUUUUUCCAUCUUUUAACCUAUUUUCAUGUUAGUUUAGUUUACAACACCUUCAUCUUUUUAUGUUUUCAUCUUAACCUAAUUUUUAUUAAGAAAAGUUCACUCCAUCCUCCGAACUUCACCAGUUAAAGUAAAAACCCUUCCCAGUGUUCGAUCCUAGAGCCACUAUGCUAUAGUAGCUUUGCUACUUUAGUGUAAGGACCUUAGGUAUAAAUUUUGUUGAUACCCUUACAUGCCAAGCUACCAAGAGUCGGGUUAUCAUUAACCUAACCAUUGGCCUGUGUAAAUUGAUUUCACAUGCACAAUGUUGUAGUAGAAGUCCAUAUUUUGAAUUUUAUUUUUGUAAAGGUAAGGAAAAUGAAGCAUUGUGUAAUUAUAAAAAUAACUUCAUUGGAAUUCACAAGGUUCACCCAAAAUGGAGCUACAUCUGUAUUCUAUCCUACAGUAGACUAUAUAGAUUGUACAAUAGUAAAUUGCAAAUACAAUUAAUAAGUCUUGUGCUUCCUUACUAAUAAUCCUUUGACAUGAACAUUGCAGCACUAAGGUCCUCUUGGGAAGACACCUUGCACCCAUGAGAGCACUAAGAGGAAGCAAGGCAGAGUCAUGGGUGCAAUGUCAUGACUUGUUGUUGCACCAAGAGAGGCUUGGUGAUGCCAUGGUGUUGCAGUAGCAAGAAUGUUGCCUUGGCAGGGACACGAUCUAGGGAUAGAUGCCAAGAAAGGCUUAGCACUCACAUGAGUUGCACAAAGAUGAAUGUAAUAGAGCAUCAGAGAGACGUCUUGGCAAGUAAAUGAAUGGAUCCAAGAGACAACAACAUGAGGAGUUUCAAAUGGAUAAGGAAUGACUCAAAGACAUUUGAAAGCUACAAGUUGGAUUCUAAUUACGAUUGCAAUUUGAGUUUGAGUAGGAGUUUAGAUUUUGAUUGUAAUUGUAGUAUGAGUUGGACUAGGAUUGCUUAUCCUUAGUCAAUAUAGGAGCGGUUCGUGUCACCCUAUGAAAAGAGUUUGAGUAGGGACUAGGAUUGCUUACUCCUAGUCAAAUAUGGAGUAGGUGGUGCCACACCUAUAAAAAAAAGGGACAACAUGAGAGAGAGAGAGAGAGAGAAAGAGAGAGUGAAUUCACUAAAGAUAUUGUGGGAGUUUUGCUUUGUUACGUCUUGUAUUAUUACUUAGAAUAGGAAUAAAAUACAAGUUGGGGCUAGAGCCCCAUAAUUAAUCUCGUGUGCCUUUGUGGUUAUUCUUUAUUUGUCAUCUCGUGUGGAUUGGAUUAGGUUGACUUAGAGGGCUUCUAAGCACCACCUUUGUGGGUUAUUAUUUAUUUUCCAUCUCUUGUGGAUUAGAUUAGGUUGACUUAGAGGGCUUCUGAGCACCACCUUUGUGGGUUAUUAUUUAUUUUCCAUCUAUUGUGGAUUAGAUUAGGUUGACUUAGAGGGCUUUUAAGCACCACAUUUGUGGGUUAUUCUUUAUUUUCCAUAUCGUGUGGGUUGGAUUAGGUUGACAAGGAGAAAAAUUAUGUGGGAAAUUUGUGUUGGGACACUUACCAUAACCAAGUAAAAUCUACCAAGUCCUUUGUAAUAUCUUCAACAAAUAUUUUAGACUAGUUCUUUCAGUUAGUGUAAAGGAGGAAGAAGUGGUAUUGAUUCUAGAAAUAGGGUGUGUGUAUUUGAACUACAAUCCUUAUGAUCCUUAGGUCUCUAAACCUUCGUGAUGGGCUCCCUGACAUUUCAUAGGUUGUGCUACACAUGCGUUUGAAAUUUAGAGUGCGUUUGACAGUGAUUCCGGGAAGUGUUUUUGGCCUUUCUUACACUUGAAAAUUUUUAUUUUUCAAGUAUUAGAAAUGCUACAAACACUUUUGAAAAUUACUGUCAAACACACUCUUAGGAGCGCACAUAUAUAGUAGAAAACUAGAAAUUGUGGUUUUUUUAGGAUUUACUGUAAUGUCAUUAGGAGGGUAGUAAGUUGAAAUUGAGUAUGAACAAAUAUUUCUUUCUUUGGGAUGUUCUUCUAGUAGGUGCUGAUGAAACUGUUCUUUCUACUGCCAAUGUCACAUAUCAGCCAGAAAUUGAAAAUUUCAGUCAAGGUGUCCUCUGUUUUAGUGGUGAGGAAAGCUAGAAAUUUUAAGGUGAAGUUUUGUUAAAAACCUUAAGUAGCUGGGAUAUCAGGCCUGUUUUGCUUGAAAAAAAAAGUUGCAAGAUAACUCAUAUGCCAAACAGGUUCUGAUAUUGUGAAUCUAUCGGCAGACAUCAGUAAUCUCAUCUUCUGAGAUGGAUGUUGGGGGUGCAUGUGGUGGUGGAGGGGCAAGGUUUCAUUUGGUUUAUUUUGUUGAUGGAUAUUGUCUAGCCACCUGCGCCAAGUUUGAGGGGUGGUGGGUUGUGAUGACCCUACAAUUACUAUUAAUUUCUUCAUCUUUUACCGAUUAAAGUGUCCGAACAGUCGAAGUUACCCUUAUGCAUGUCAACUUGAUCACUUACCUCUUCAAUGGAGUUUAUGCUGGUUCAUUUAGGAACUGAUUUUUAUUGUUAUGUAUUAUAUGCUGAUGUUUAGGUCUCUCCAUCAUCACUAUAUACAAAAAUUCUAGGUUGAUACUAUAGGUUGAGAUUUAUUUUUUAAAUAAAAAAUAAUAAAAAUAAAAAUUAUGGUGAUGUUUAGUUGUUUUAUGGAAAAUUUUAACAAGUAAAAGUUAUUUUUGGGCAAGUUUUCAAACAAAAAGAAAAGUAAAAGUUGUUUUGACAAAAACAUAUAGAAAAAAAAAUCAUAGAAAAUAAAUAAUUUCCCCAUAUUCUAACUUUUUUGAAUUUUUCUCAAUGGGCAAAGGAAUAUCAAAUCAAGUUUGAGUAGGAUUUCUUAAUUUUUAAAAUAACUUACAAUUAAAAAAUUUUGGUGUUUUCAUUUUUGGACAAUUUUUUAUUAAGCAAAUGGACUCUGAGUCAUGCAAGAGAUAUGGUUCAUUAACCGGUCGAACAAUUUUUUUAAAUUAAUUUAAAAGUCAAAUACAUAAUCAAUUUCACAAAAUUUAUAAACAAAAAUAGGUUUAGAGAAGAUCUACACAUAAUUUUACUUUUCUAAUUUUAUUUUAUUUUAUUUUUUGUUGGAAAAUAGUCUUCAAAUCAUGUAAGAUUUAAUAGGUUAAAUUUGUUAACAAUAAAUUUUAAAUUAUAAAAUAUAAUCUGGAACUCAAAAAUCAAUUCAAGUAAUGCUAAAAAAAAAUCAAAUUUGGUAUAGAAUGACUUUGUAAAUUUUUUUACAAAACAAAUGAAUUUUAAAUCAAGUGAGAUUUAAUGCAUUAGAUUUUUAUCAAAUAUAGUAAUUUUAAAAAUAAAUUUGGAACUCAACAAUAGACACAAUAAAUACCAAAAAAUAAUGAACCAAAAUUGGUUUGGAAUAACUCCACAACCUUUUUUUUUUUUUUUUGGUGCACACGAAUUUUCUUACUAGGUAUAUUGCUUUCAAAUUGAGAAAGAUUUACCAUUUAGAUUUUUUUUUAAUGAGUUUAAUGGUAUUUUAAAAUAAUUCAAAAUUUAAAAAAUUGACUAAUUAAUAUUAUAAAUUGAUAAACCAAGACUAUUUCAAAAUGCAUUGGGGGCUAAGGGGGUUGAAAAUAGGGACAAUGGGAUGGGUUUGGGACAUGACACUCAUAUCUCAUUUCCAUUCCAAUUACACAGUUAUCUCCCAUCCUUAUCCCAAACUUGUGUUGGAGCAAGUUGAUUUGUUCCCAUCUUUGUUGACGAAAUGACUAAUAACCUCAUCCCCUCCUUAUCUUAGAUGUACAUUUUGUCAAAUUUGAUCAGGUAUGAUUGAUCCAAGCCCUAACCCUAAUUGGUAAUGAGUGAAUACUACACCUAAUUGCAUUCUUCUUUCAUUGCAAAAUAAUGAGAUUAUAAUAAUCUAGCAAAUAAGAAAAAAUAGUAUGGAAGUUCAAAUUAACACCAUAACUAUCAAUAAUUUUAAGCUUAUAGAUGACUUAAAUGAUUAAAAACUAAUGCAAAAUCCUAAAAAAAAUAAAAAUCAUAUAAAGAAUUCACAAGAGAACAGAAUGAACAAAAACCAAAUAUGAACAUGGGUCAACAUUAGUUAUGGAUUUGGAUUCCUUUCAAGGCCAAUCUUUGAACCAAGACUUCAUCAAAUCAACUACUUCAAAGGCUUUUGUGUUCUUCUUGGGUUGUGCUCUCAAACAAAGACUUCGAGGUGAUGUUCUAGAUGAUUGAAUUACACAUAUUUAGGGUGGAGAGAUUGGAGAAGCUUGAAGAUGCCAACGAUGGGUACAAUUGAGUGGUCAAUAAGAACAAUGUAGCCUAUGACUAGUUUGAUGUCAUGGUACAAGAGUUUUAGGCAUUGAGGUUAAAGCAAGAGCAACAUGGAAUUGAUUUCGGAGUCUUUCAGUUAGUGUAAAGGAGGAAGAAGUGGUGUUGAUUCUAGAAAUAGGGUUUUAAGUGGUGCGUGAUUACUACUCAAAAAGUGCUAUUUGAUAGCCUUUAAUUAAUCCUUUUUAACACUUUUGAGUAGUAGUUUAGGCCUUUUAACUCAAUUGGCAUGUUAAGGAUCCUUUAAAGCAAUUUUGAUCACUUUGUGCAAGUUUUGGUGUUUUUGUUAGUAUUUUGAUCACCAAAGCAAGUCAAGAAUGAGGAGAACUAUGAGGAAUCAUGGGCAAAGCUUAGAAUUCAAUUGCCAAGAGUGAAUCCGGAUUGCAAGGAGAAAAAGCAAAGAGAAUCUGUCAUGAAGCCUAUUCUUGAUGACAGUCGUAGCAGCCACUUUUGGAGCACUUUCUGAAGUCCAAAUGAUGCAAGCUAUAUACCAUUUCAAAGAUCAGGAAGUCAACAAUCCAAUGCUUCAAACGGUGCGCGAUUCGGAGUUGAAACGAAGAAGUUGCAGCCAUUACAAGCCAGUCACUCUAAAGUGUUGCGGAAUCAGCCUUUUGUUGCGAGAAUUUCGCAGCACUUUUGUACAGUAAGGUGUUUCUCCUUCUGACGAUGCACGAACCAUGCCGCGAGAGGGAAGCUAGGAACUUCAAGAUGGAAGCCAACUUUGCAGCCUGGUGAAGAUAGCUUGGUCUUGCGAAAUAAUUUCGCAGCCCUCUUGGGUGUCUGCGAAAUUUCGCAGGCACCACUUUUUUCCUGCGAAAUGGCUCCGGAAGCCUCCCGAAGCUUGCUACCGACAUUGGGAGAUAUUUUCCAUUAGAUUUUUGUUGUCUAAAUUCCAAAAUACUCCUUGUAAACCACCAAUUACAUGAUUCCUUAGUUUUUAAGUUAGUAAAAAGACCAAAUAUCUAUGUAAUAAUUAGUUUUAUAUUAGUUUGCUAUAAAUACCUCUCGGGAGCAUGUUCUCAGAGAGGAGUUCCUUCUGUAACCAUUUUGGUAAGCAAGUAAAGUCUUUUCUUUCUACUGCCUUACCUUCUCACUUUGUAUUUUCAUUUUAUUUCUAAGUUAUGAAUUCUCUGAGGAGCUUUCCCCAGAGAAUGAGUAACUAAACCUCCAAUUCCUUGGAGCUAAGGUUGCCGGGGAAGGUUCCAAGUGCAAGAAUGCAAAGCUCUGUGGUUUUAGCUAGUAAUGAAGAGGAAGUGAAAUCCUUUAGUGAUUUCAAUGUUUUUAGUUAACUUAAAACACCUUGGAGUCACCUGGGCCAACACUUGGUAAGGCAAGUGAUUUCCAACCGUGGAAAUGCACUAGUUUACCCCUUGCGAGCCUCUGGUAGGUGACUUCAAGGUAGGAUUUUCUGGAAUUACCAACACUUGGUAAGCUUUUGGACUCCUAGGAGACAUCCAUUAGUUAUCUCUUGCGAGUUUGUGAAGGGGAAUCCAAGGUUAAAGAUCACCUUGAAUGGUAAGUGCUCGUGAGAGGCAUGAACCAUUGCAAGUUGUAUCAGUGAGAGAAUUAAAGUGAAAUCUAAUUGAAGGAGUCUCUGUACAUCACCGGUUAGAGAAUUGACUAUAAGUUGAAUCUCUAAUGCGAGGAAAUGAACCAUCUGACCGGAGCUAUGUCUUUUGCAUGAGGAACCACCCCAGUGAACCUAAAUCUCCAAGGAAUGCUUUUCUUCCUAAAUUAUUCCAAACUUCUGUUAAGUUAGUUAGUUUAAGUCUAAACCUUUACCAAUCAAACUUUGUGUUUUAUUUCUUAAGCUAACCGUGAAAUGAAACAAAACCAAUUCACUUGGAAUUGGUAUCCUUGAUUGCUUGCAAAUCAUUCCCAGUGAACGAUCCUUAGAGCCACUAUACUAUAGUAGCUUUGUAUUUGCUACCCUAGUGUAUGGUGUUAUAGGUAUAAAUUUUGUUGAUCACUUCCUCAAUCAAGGAACACCAGCUGAACACAAAUCAGCUGAGACACCAAUUGGGCAUGAGUCAAAUGGCGCCGUUGCCGGGGAAUGAGUGUCAAGAUCAUUGUGAUACCAUUUUUGAGCACUUGUGAUUUUCAUCACAAGUUGGUAAAGUUUCUUUCACUUUACUAAUUUUCAUUCUCUCUUUGUUUAUUUACAAUCUAAGUUUAUCUUUUUAAAAUUUAGUCUAGUUUAAUUUUGCUAUUGUAGCCUUGUUUCUCUUGUUGUCCUCUGUUCUUGUUGUCCUCUGUUUUCAUUUUAGUUGCAGCUGAAUACUAGUUGUGUAUGCCAAAGUGGAUACGAGACAUUGGAGGUAGGCUUAUUAAGUGUGAUACACCUCAGAGAGGAGAAUUGGAAGUAAUCUUGAAUAUCAUGGAGGCUGCACCUGAAGAUCAGCAUAGUCACCAAGGUCGUCAAGACAAUCUCAAUGAAUUCAGAUCAAUGAGGGACCGUAUGCAUCCACCUCGUAUGAGUGCACCAUCAUGUAUAGUGCCCCCUACAGAGCAACUAGUGAUCAGACCAUAUCUUGUUCCACUUCUACCAACUUUCCAUGGGAUGGAAAGUGAGAAUCCGUAUGCACACAUCAAGGAAUUUGAAGAUGUUUGUAAUACAUUCCAAGAGGGAGGAGCUUCAAUUGAUUUGAUGAGGCUUAAGUUAUUUCCUUUUAAUUUAAAGGAUAAGGCCAAAAUUUGGCUUAAUUCUUUAAGGCCAAGGAGUAUCCGCUCUUGGACUGAUUUACAAGCUGAAUUCCUCAAGAAAUUUUUUCCUACUCAUAGAACAAAUGGCUUGAAAAGGCAAAUUUCAAACUUCUCAGCUAAAGAGAAUGAGAAAUUCUAUGAGUGUUGGGAAAGAUACAUGGAAGCUAUAAAUGCUUGUCCUCACCAUGGCUUUGAUACUUGGCUACUGGUGAGUUAUUUUUAUGAUGGUAUGUCCUCCUCAAUGAAGCAACUCCUCGAGAAAAUGUGUGGAGAAGAUUUCAUGAGCAAAAAUCCAGAGGAAGCUAUGGAUUUCUUGAGCUAUGUAGCUGAUGUUUCAAGGGGAUGGGAUGAACCAACUAAAGGAGAAGUGGGAAAGAUGAAGUCUCAGUUGAAUGCUUACAAUGCAAAGGCUGGGAUGUAUACUUUAAAAGAGGAUGAUGACAUGAAAGCAAAGUUGGCAGCUAUGACAAGAAGAUUGGAGGAGCUGGAGCUGAAAAGAAUGCAUGAAGUGCAAGCUGUUGCUGAAGCACCAGUGCAAGUGAAGUUGUGUCCCAAUUGUCAAUCGUUUGAACAUUUGGUAGAGGAAUGCCCUGCAAUUUCAGCUGAAAGGGAAAUGUAUAGAGAUCAAGCAAAUGUUGUUGGACAAUUCAGGCCCAAUAACAAUGCUCCUUAUGGAAAUACCUACAAUUCAAGUUGGAGGAAUCAUCCAAAUUUUUCAUGGAAGGCCAGAGCAACUCAAUACCAACAGCCGGAUCCACCAUCUCAACAAUCUUCAAGUAUUGAACAAAUAAUAGCUAAUCUCAGCAAGGUAGUGGGAGAUUUUGUGGGAAAGCAAGAAGCCACCAAUGCUCGAGUGGAUCAAAGAAUGGACAGAGUGGAUCAAAGAAUGGACAGAAUGGAGAGUAUGUUGAACAAAAGAAUGGAUGGAAUGCAAAAUGAUAUGAAUCAAAAAUUUGAUAACAUCCAAUAUUCAAUUUCAAGGCUUACAAAUUUGAAUACACUGCAAGAAAAGGGAAGAUUUCCUUCUCAACCUAACCAAAAUCCCAAAGGUGUCCAUGAAGUGGAAAGCCAUGAGGGAGAAUCAUCACAGGUGAAAGAUGUGAAAGCUUUGAUCACUCUAAGGAGUGGUAAGAAAAUUGAGCAGCCAACACCCAAGCCACAUGUUGAGAAAGAAGAAGAGAUGAAGAAAGGGAAGGAAAUGGAAGAUAAAGGCAGUGAGAUCAGUGAAGAAAAGAAGGACUCUGAUGCAACAAUGAAAGUAAUUCCAGAGAAGGAGCUUCUGAAGGAAGAAAUGCUGAAGAAAUCAACUUUUCCACCUUUUCCUCAAGCAUUACAGGGGAAAAAGGGGGUUAGAAAUGCAGCUGAAAUCCUAGAAGUAUUGAGGCAAGUGAAAGUUAAUAUUCCACUGCUGGAUAUGAUCAAACAAGUUCCAACGUAUGCAAAAUUCCUAAAGGACUUGUGUACUAUCAAAAGAGGGUUGACUGUAAACAAGAAAGCCUUCUUGACUGAGCAAGUAAGUGCAAUCUUACAGUGUAAGUCUCCUUUGAAGUACAAAGACCCUGGAAGUCCUACCAUUUCAGUCAUGAUUGGAGGAAAGGUAGUGGAGAAAGCCUUGCUAGACUUGGGAGCAAGUGUGAAUUUGCUUCCAUAUUCUGUCUACAAGCAACUGGGACUUGGAGAGUUGAAGCCAACAGCAAUCACUUUGUCUCUGGCAGAUAGAUCAGUGAAAAUUCCAAGAGGGGUAAUUGAGGAUGUAUUGGUUCAAGUAGAUAAUUUCUACUAUCCUGUAGAUUUUGUUGUUCUUGAUACAGAUCCUACUGUAAAGGAAGCUAAUUUAGUUCCUAUCAUCCUUGGAAGGCCAUUUCUUGCAACUUCAAAUGCAAUCAUCAACUGUAGAAAUGGGCUUAUGCAACUCACUUUUGGUAACAUGACACUGGAUCUAAAUAUUUUCUAUAUGUCUAAAAAGCAAAUCACUCCAGAAGAAGAAGAGGGUCCAGAAGAGCUAUGUAUUAUUGAUACUUUGGUGGAGGAGCACUGCAAUCAACAUAUGCAAGAUAAGUUGAAUGAAAGUUUUGUGGAUAUUGAGGAAGGUUUUUCUGAAUCUCCUAAUGGGCUUGCUACUCUACAAAGUUGGAGAAAGAUAGAAGGAAUUCUACCUUUGUUCAAUGAAGAAGAGGAGGCAGCUGUUGAAAAAGAAAUUCCAAAACUCAAUCUGAAGCCUUUACCUAUGGAGCUGAAAUAUACAUAUCUUGAAGAAAAUAAUCAAUGUCCUGUCGUAAUAUCUUCAUCUCAAACCAAGUCUCAAGUGAAGGAUGCAAGCUUCAAAUGGGAUCCGGGCAAACUGAAUCAGGAAGGGCAAAAAGUUUUGAUGUAUGACACAAGACUCCAUAUCUUUCCUGGGAAGCUCAAGUCAAGGUGGAUUGGUCCAUUUGUUAUUCACCGAGUAUAUUCCAAUGGAGUGGUGGACUUAUUGAAUUCCAAUGGCAAGGACAGCUUUAGAGUCAAUGGAUAUCGUCUUAAGCCGUUCAUGGAGUCAUUCAAAUCAGAAAAGGAGGCAAUCAACCUCCUUGAACCUCAAAAAGCCUAAGUGAAAUGGGUUUGCUGGACGUGGUUUUACCACAGUCCAAAAAUUUUUGUAAAUUUUGUAAAUUUUCAAGUUGUUUCCAUGCUUUUAAUCUUAGUUUUUGAUUUUAAAUCAUGUUUUUAGGUGUGUUUUAAUCGUUUUAUAUGAUCCCAGGCGGAAGAAAUUUCAAGGGGAUUGAAAAGAAAAAAAUCGGGUCGAAAUUGGAGCCGAAACAGAGCAAAAACAGGGGAAAAACAGAGCUCUGCGAAAUUUCGCAGGGUGAAGGAAACUUCUGCGAAAUUGGCAUUUUGCUGCCAAACCAUUCCGCAGCACUGUAGAAGCCUCUGCGAGUGUAUUUCGCAAUUGCGAAAGUGGAUUUGGCACACGAGUGCCACUUCGCAGCACAGUGACAUCAAUUUCGCAGCUGCGAAACUCACUGCGAAGUUGCUGCGAAAAUGGCAAGUUGCUGCGAAAUUGGCGUUUUGUUGCGAAACGUAAUCUGACCCCUGGGCUUCCGUUUUUCCUAUUUAUACCUGUCAAAAGUGCUGCGAAAAAGGUUUCAAAAAUUAGAGCACCAUUCUCGCAGCCCUUUCAUCUUCUUCGCCAAGCCACGCCGUCCGUUUCUCCGGUCGUCUUCUCCGUUUAGCAGCGCCGGCCAAAGAUCGAUAGCCCAAAAAUGGCACGAACGCGAGGGGCAAAGUCUUCAUCCCCUUCGAACCGCAAAAGGAGUCUGCGAAAGGAGCCAAGUUCAGGCUCUGUUCCAGAACCUGCUCCAAAGCCUUCGCCGUCGAGACCACAACCUUCUCCAGUGAAGCCGGCGCCACCAAAGCCGCCGGCAAGGCGAUAUUUAACCAGGUCAGGUGGUCAGCCAUUGAAGAAGAAAGCCAGAGUUGAGAGCUCUGAACCAAUCGAUUUGACUGAGCAAUCCCCUGAGAAAUCACCAAAUCCUUCACCGGUACAAAUUCCAGUGCCAUCACCGGUUCCCUCGCCAAUUCCCUCACCAGAAGCAACUCCAAUUCCAUCGCCGGUACCAUCUCCGGCACCCCAAGAAAAAGCUCAGGAGCCUCAAGCGCCAAUUCCAGAGCCCCAAAUUGCAGCUGAAGCACCUCUGGAAGAAGUGAUCCGAAGGCCAAUGCUGCCUCAGCCCCCAAUCGAAGGAAACCUGGAUUGCCGAACUCGGGCAUUCCAUUCUGAGCUUUGCUUCGAUUUAACAGCAUUCAGAGUGAGGCCAGAGCUUGCCCAAUCCUUCCAACUGCUGAGGAGAUAUCAUAUGGAGCAUCUGCUAGCUCCAAGGGAUUUUUUCUAUCCCCGGGUAGUCACGGAUUUCUACCAAACCAUGACAACCAAAGAAGUAAGAAAUCCAACUCUGAUUCAUUUCAUAAUUGAUGGAAGGCAUGGUAUUUUGGGAGCAAGACAUAUUGCUGAAGCCCUGCAAAUUCCUUUUGAGCCAACUCAAUUCGACAAUUUUAAAGCUUGGACAAAUCCUACUGAGUUAGAGAUGGUUAGCACACUAACCAGAGGAGCUGCAAAUCGAUCGCAUUUGUUGAGGGGGGAGCUACCUCCAGUUAUGUUUUUGAUUGAUGCCUUUUUGAGGCAUAAUAUCUAUCCCCUGCAGCAUUGGACCCAAAGAAGGGGAAUUCUCCUAGAAGCCUUGUACAAAAUGUCUGAAGGAUUCUUCUUUGGGCCUCAUCAUCUGAUCAUGGCAGCCCUUCUAUACUUUGAGGAGAAGGUUCACAAGAAGAAGCUUCAAAGAGCAGAUUGCAUUCCACUCCUCUUCCCAAGGCUGCUAUGCCAAGUUUUGGAGCAUCUCGGAUACCCCUCUGAGCCUCAGCAGGAAAGAAAGAGAAUAUGCCGUGAGCCUUUUACCCUUGAUAAAUGGAAUAAUAUGACGGCCUACAAAAUUGAUCAGCCUGGGCAGCCUCAGCCAGCAGCAAGGAGAGUCUCCCCAAGACAUAUACCUGAAGGUAUAACACUUGCUACUCCUGCCAUCCCUCGAGCUCCACCAGCUGCACCUGCUCCAUCACAGCCAUCCACAUCAGCUGAGCCGAGGAUGGCCAUCCCUAUAUCCGAAUAUCGAGAGCUGUGCCGUGCAUUGGAGACUCUUACAGCUUCUCAGAGCAAUCUUGCUCAGGAGUUGGCAGCCAUUAAAGCAUGCCAGGAGCAGAUGUUAGCCUCUCAGACUCAACAAGCUGCCAUCCUAAGGCAGCUUCAAGUCCAUUUCGAUCUGCCACAAGCUGUAGAGCCCUCUAUUCCUACUCCACCAGAGCCACACUCUCAGCCUUCAGAGUCUCAUCCUCCAGAACCCGAAGCACCAGCUGAUCCACCUACUGAGGAGGCAGAUCCUUCUGCCUAGCACCAUCACCCCCCUCAUCAGACAUUAUAUAUAUAUUUGCUGUUUAUGUUUUUAUGCAUGUUUGUUUUGUUUUAGUUGAAAAGAAAUCCCAGUAUUUUGGUACUAUAUAUGGGAUUCCUUGUGUUACUUGUCUUUAGUAUUGUAAUCACAUGAACUCAAAGUAAUACAAGUUGACUAUUUCUUGUUAAAAGUUAGCAUUAAAGUUUCCUUAUUUCCUUUUCUCACAUAUUCUAUUCUUUUUGAAACAUGUGGUUUUCCCCAAUCAAUAUUCGAAUUUGAUAUCAGCAUGGAGGUACCACUUCCUCCCUUUUAUUACAGUCACUCAAAUCACAUUGAGGACAAUGCUCAGUUCGGUUGGGGGGUAUGAGGAAGGAAGUAUUCUAAACCUUUUUGGUAUUGCAAUUAUAUUGGUUAAUUAGUUGUAGAUUUUACUUUUUACUAGUGUUACUCUAUUCUCCAUGAAUUUUGAGGAAAAAUUUUCAAAUUAAACCAAGAGAAAUUGAACUGUUGUUUUUCACUUGACUUAGAGUAUGGAUUAUGCUUACUAAAGUGGUUCAAUUGUUGAAACUUCUACUGAAAUUGAAUUGAGUUCUUCCACUUUAAGCUAUCCACACACUGUGCACAUUAGUUUCCGAUUAUAAGAUGAAAAGCUAUUUCCCUCUUGACUUAGUAUAUUUUUGGGACUUGGUAUAUUUGACCUCAUUUGAUAAAAAUUGAAACACCCUGCAAAAGGCCAAUGAGCCUUUGAAAUAAAGAAAGUUGUUUGCUUGCCUUGAAACCCGAGCAAGGUCUGAGGGGUAUAUGGUGAAAAUCUUUAAAGCCUGGUGCCCUAAGCCUUAAUUGGUUGGGAGUCACCGACCUCAAUGCUCGUUACAAGGGUGAAUAGGUAGAGUUAGCAUAUGGUAGAUGCUUGGGUAUUAGAAAUUCAUUCUUAAAAGUCCGGGGAAAAAUCCGAGGAGUUAGUGGUUGAAAGAUCCUUAAAACUUGGUGCCCUAAACCUUAAUUGGUUGGGAGUCAUCGAUGGACCCCCAUUACAUGGACAAGUCAGAAAGAGUACCCCAUAAAGCUACCUUAAAAAAAAAAAAAAAAAAAAAAAAAAAAAAAAAGAUGAAAGUGUGUUCUUUUCUUAUUGAUUUUGGUCAGUUUGCUAAAGUGUUGAAAAGAGAUAGGUUGGGGGGUGAGAUUAGUAGCAUAUUAUUCUCGGAACCUAAGGAACCAAUACACAUAGAUUUUUGUGGAAGAUUGAAGUUUAGUUCUUAGAAAAUGAAAUGAUUUUAAAACUUCAGUUUGCAUAAUGCACUCCCUUGAUUGACAGUGUUUAGCAUAGGUGUUAUGACUCUUGUUGAGAUUUGGGUUUGUAUUUCUUUAAUGAUUCAUGUGAGAAAUAGAUCAUCAUGCCACUUGAGAAUUAUUUUCCUUUUAGCAUGAUGUUGUAAAUUUUAGAUUAGUUUGCUAUUUAUUUUUUAUUUUCUCUCCUAUAUUGCUAAGGGACUAGCAAUAUGUCGGUUGGGGGGAGUGAUUACUACUCAAAAAGUGCUAUUUGAUAGCCUUUAAUUAAUCCUUUUUAACACUUUUGAGUAGUAGUUUAGGCCUUUUAACUCAAUUGGCAUGUUAAGGAUCCUUUAAAGCAAUUUUGAUCACUUUGUGCAAGUUUUGGUGUUUUUGUUAGUAUUUUGAUCACCAAAGCAAGUCAAGAAUGAGGAGAACUAUGAGGAAUCAUGGGCAAAGCUUAGAAUUCAAUUGCCAAGAGUGAAUCCGGAUUGCAAGGAGAAAAAGCAAAGAGAAUCUGUCAUGAAGCCUAUUCUUGAUGACAGUCGUAGCAGCCACUUUUGGAGCACUUUCUGAAGUCCAAAUGAUGCAAGCUAUAUACCAUUUCAAAGCUCAGGAAGUCAACAAUCCAAUGCUUCAAACGGUGCGCGAUUCGGAGUUGAAACGAAGAAGUUGCAGCCAUUACAAGCCAGUCACUCUAAAGUGUUGCGGAAUCAGCCUUUUGUUGCGAGAAUUUCGCAGCACUUUUGUACAGUAAGGUGUUUCUCCUUCUGACGAUGCACGAACCAUGCCGCGAGAGGGAAGCUAGGAACUUCAAGAUGGAAGCCAACUUUGCAGCCUGGUGAAGAUAGCUUGGUCUUGCGAAAUAAUUUCGCAGCCCUCUUGGGUGUCUGCGAAAUUUCGCAGGCACCACUUUUUUCCUGCGAAAUGGCUCCGGAAGCCUCCCGAAGCUUGCUACCGACAUUGGGAGAUAUUUUCCAUUAGAUUUUUGUUGUCUAAAUUCCAAAAUACUCCUUGUAAACCACCAAUUACAUGAUUCCUUAGUUUUUAAGUUAGUAAAAAGACCAAAUAUCUAUGUAAUAAUUAGUUUUAUAUUAGUUUGCUAUAAAUACCUCUCGGGAGCAUGUUCUCAGAGAGGAGUUCCUUCUGUAACCAUUUUGGUAAGCAAGUAAAGUCUUUUCUUUCUACUGCCUUACCUUCUCACUUUGUAUUUUCAUUUUAUUUCUAAGUUAUGAAUUCUCUGAGGAGCUUUCCCCAGAGAAUGAGUAACUAAACCUCCAAUUCCUUGGAGCUAAGGUUGCCGGGGAAGGUUCCAAGUGCAAGAAUGCAAAGCUCUGUGGUUUUAGCUAGUAAUGAAGAGGAAGUGAAAUCCUUUAGUGAUUUCAAUGUUUUUAGUUAACUUAAAACACCUUGGAGUCACCUGGGCCAACACUUGGUAAGGCAAGUGAUUUCCAACCGUGGAAAUGCACUAGUUUACCCCUUGCGAGCCUCUGGUAGGUGACUUCAAGGUAGGAUUUUCUGGAAUUACCAACACUUGGUAAGCUUUUGGACUCCUAGGAGACAUCCAUUAGUUAUCUCUUGCGAGUUUGUGAAGGGGAAUCCAAGGUUAAAGAUCACCUUGAAUGGUAAGUGCUCGUGAGAGGCAUGAACCAUUGCAAGUUGUAUCAGUGAGAGAAUUAAAGUGAAAUCUAAUUGAAGGAGUCUCUGUACAUCACCGGUUAGAGAAUUGACUAUAAGUUGAAUCUCUAAUGCGAGGAAAUGAACCAUCUGACCGGAGCUAUGUCUUUUGCAUGAGGAACCACCCCAGUGAACCUAAAUCUCCAAGGAAUGCUUUUCUUCCUAAAUUAUUCCAAACUUCUGUUAAGUUAGUUAGUUUAAGUCUAAACCUUUACCAAUCAAACUUUGUGUUUUAUUCCUUAAGCUAACCGUGAAAUGAAACAAAACCAAUUCACUUGGAAUUGGUAUCCUUGAUUGCUUGCAAAUCAUUCCCAGUGAACGAUCCUUAGAGCCACUAUACUAUAGUAGCUUUGUAUUUGCUACCCUAGUGUAUGGUGUUAUAGGUAUAAAUUUUGUUGAUCACUUCCUCAAUCAAGGAACACCAGCUGAACACAAAUCAGCUGAGACACCAAUUGGGCAUGAGUCAGUGCGUUAGAGGAUCAAGAAGAAGAAAAAGAAGGAACUGUUGGAAUUAGUAUGAGUGUGAAGAGAAAAGUAUAUAAAUAAGGGGAAGUAAAAGCAAAGUUCAAAAAGCUAUAUUUUUUUAUUGUUGGUGUAUGGUUGCAUGAUUAUCCCUAUAAAUAAUAGGAGUUUUUUGGUAUUCUACUAGUAGUUGAAGCAUAAUUUCAUAAAUUAAUAUUUAGAGCGGGGUGGGGUGAGUUGUGACAAAAUUCAUACCCGUCCCAAACCUUGGUUCAGAUUUUUAAAAUAUUCUCAAACUUAUCAUAUACCCAACUUUUAUAUUUCAUACUUGUCCUAAUAGAGGCACGUUAGGCCGGGUUACUUGAGUAACCUACAUAAUUGUCAUCCCUAGUUGAAAUACACUUUUUGGCAGUGGCCACCAACUGAGCUAGAAGCUUGAUUGAUUGACCUACAAGAUUAGUUCUCAUCAUUUUAAAAAAAGUUCUGGCUUUGGUUGUGAGUGCAAUUGAAUCUAAACUGGCAUUUGCUUAAUGCAUCUACUUCAAUCCUAAACUUCUUACUUCUUAAGCCUCAAUUGUUGUUAGGAUUUUGGAAAACCCAUUUCCUUAAAUUGUAAAUUUAAGAUAAAAUAAAAUAAAAGUGAGACAUUUCUUGAUUGAAUAUUGUUAAAGGUCCCUUGGCAUUAAGACUUGGUUGAAGCCUUGGAAGAUUAGUGGAACUCUCAACAUGUGUUUGAAUCUUGAGGAGAGUGGAUGUAAGCCAAAAUUUUGUCAAACCAUUAUACAAAUUGAGUUUGAAUCCUCAUUUCUUGAUUUCUUAUUUAUUUGCUUUUUCUUAUUAUUACUUGAAUUGUCAUUUGCAUUCAUUAAUGUUAAAAUUGGUUAUAAUUAACCAACACUAAUUCUCUUUCCCCUUCCCUUUCUUGGGUGUAAACCUAGGUUGGAUUAACUAGAUAAAUCUAUUAAGAUGGUAAAAGAAUAAUUAUUCUUAACAUACAUAAGAUCAUCUUCAAUCAAAUGACUCAUUGGCUAAUAUGUUGAAUUUGCUUAUUACUUGCAACUCAAAAUUGUGUUCUAGUUGUGUCAAGUCCCCAGUGUAUGGACAUUAAAUUUGUAGUACGUGAUGAGUAAUUAGAUGGUCCAACUCCAAGAAAGUGAUUGAAAAGUAGUUCAAGAAAGGUGCAAAAGGGAAUUGUUUUGGUAUUUUCGUUUUUAUUCUUGAAGGUGGCAGAGCUAAAAUUUGAGAAAUCAAGCAAAACAUACUGAAAUUACAUUGAAAGAAAGAAGAUGGGAGUUAAUGUCUUGCAGUACAUGAUAAGGACUUCAUGCAUGUAGUGUGACCCAUGUCUUGGACUGAUGCCAACUCACGGUUACACUUAUACCCUUGGUUCUCUCUUUACUACCUUGGCUAACCUAGAUCAGGCUAUGAGAUAGGCUCCUCACCACACCAUUACUUGCCCAUUAAUUAGAGACAUUUUCAAGCAAUGAGGUAACAUGGUGACACCAAGAGGGUCUAUUCCUCGCCCGGAACAAGUCUAGACUUGGUCUCAAAAAAAUGGAGAAAAAUGAGGUGUCGUUAUGUAGAAAUACAACAACCAUGCCUUCCUCAUUACUUAGAUUCAGAAUGUGAAGGUGAAAUUGAGAAACAGAAACUCUUGAAACCAAAAUGAAAAUUGAUACUUUUACGAAGAAUUACAACAACAUUAGAGGAAGACUACAUUCUUCCUCUUUAUUCCUACAUUUCUACACUACUUCUACUCCACUCCAUAUUUCUACAUACAUCUUUAAUCAGUCUUCCCUCCUUUAUAUAGAGCCAUCUUCACACAAAUUUCGCAAGGUAGAAAAGAGGAAUGAAACUUGGAGCAAGGUUCGACUACUGGUUGUAGCUUGUCAAGGCUGGAAGUGAACUUUUCUUGGCUUUCUGGGCAUGGGUAGUAACUUGUGGGUUCCUGUUUGGCAUAAAAAUGGCUAGAACAUGUGGCACUAUCUUGUUGGAUGAUGUGUCAAGCAUGUGGCAGCCAUCUAGUGGCGAUUAUGUCAAUUUUGGGAUGGAGAGUUGGCAUCCAAUUGCAAAGAAAUAUGACGUCUACCAACAUGCAAUGUAAACCUAUGUAGAUCAUAUGAAGAUAGAGAGGAAAAAUAUAGAAAUGGAUAUAUACCUAGAACUAGCUUUUUAUUAAAUGAAACGGAGAGACAACAAUGAAGGAAAAUAAAAUUUUUUGGCUUAUAUCAAAGAGUUCACAUUGUGUUACCCUAGGUUUUCUUAAAACUUACUUUUAUGAUAACAAAAAAGAAAAAACCAUUAUUGUUUAAUCCUUUGUUUUAAACGCAUGUAAGGUGUAAUUAAGUUAGUUCAAUGCAUUAAUUUAAGAAACUUGACCUAUCAAAAGUACAAAAUUAGAUGAAAUCCAUUUCAAUGGUUAAAAUGAUCAAAAUCAAACUUUUUCUAAGUAUUUUUUAAAAGCAUCAAUAGUGAAAGACAAUUUUAUAUUUAGUCGGAGUUUGGACAAAACUGAAAAACACACAAAAUCCAAGCGACCAUCUCUAGCUUGGAUGGUCGCUUGAUCCCACCUAGAGAUGUGCAUGAGUAAAAGGAUUUGAAAAUGGAAAUUGACUAUGUAGUCGAUCAAUUAACUUUGCAACAUCAUAUGCAAUCCUAAUUGCUAGUCAUCUAAUCAAUUAGGUAGUCAAUCAACAGGCCAAAAAUAUGUUUAUAAUGACUAUUUUGUACAAAAACCACCUGUAUAGUUAAAUAUAAUGCAUUUCAUUUAUAAAUCUUCUAAUUCUUGAAUAACGAUCCUAUCAUCCUUUGAAAGUUUUUAUUACACUUUUUUUACUUUUGUUCUAAAACUUACACAUCACCCUUAAUUGUACCAUGAGAACCUAGCUAUUUUUUAUUUUUUUUUUUGUAAUUCAUCAAAGUUAGCUUUUGUAUUCAUUGUUGUAUUAUUUUUAGUAUAACUUAGAAAGCUAGUGUUUUCAAGUGAGUAAAAUUAACUUGUAAAUAUUGUAAAGAUUCAUCGACAUGUAUCUUAAACUAAGUGUACAAGUUAAAACAUUUGCUAGUAGAUUUUCUCAAAAUUUAGAAUAGAGCUUGAGACUAUUGAAAUAGGUGGGGUUGCACCAAACCACAUCACAUCGUUGUUUGCACCUUUUUUCACUCUCUUUUACUUAGUUGCUCUAUAUUUGUUGUCUAGUAAUAUCCUAUAGGCUUGAUGGGUUAGGGAGCAUCCCUUUGUGAAAAAAUUUUAUUCAAUCCUUAGUUGUAUCACGCAUAUAUAAAAUGCCUCAUUGUUUUAAUGGUAUUCAGUCGUGGCAUCACAGAUAUGGGCAUCUAAAUUUUAAAAGUUUGAAACUUUUAUCUAAAGAAAAUAUGGUGCUUUGCCUUUUUGUAAAGCAUGUUGAUGAAAUCCAUGAGAAUUGUGUACUUGGGAAGCAACACCGAGAUGACUUUUUUUUUUUUUUUAUAAUAUUGUUUGUCCAAAUUCCCUACAAAUUAGGCCACCAGAUGUUCAUAAUUCUCCCUUCUUGAAUUUGAAAACUCGGACAAUUGGACAAUGCGACACCUAAGUCCGGUUUCUAAAUGCUAAAGUGAAAGGGUAGGUAUGGACCAUUGAAAUGUGAUCACAACUUUUCUCUGUAGCCAUGUUGUCUCUUUUUUCUUUUGCAUGAUUUUCUUACCUUAACAGAAUCAUAGACUUGUUUAGUCUCUAAAUGGGAUUAAUUUCAUCCAGCUUUAAGCUACUAUAUUAUAUCUAGGUGGAGGACUUUUAAGAGUGCAACCGACAUAGAGCACAUGGAAGUGGGUAUAUGGGACAUGAAAUUUCUUCUUAUAAAGAUUGCAUGAUUUUUAUAUUAGAGUUGUUGAGGCGCUAUGUAUUUAGCUUGUUUUGCAGUUAAAUUAAUUGGAUAAGUAGACAUUGGCGUUUCUAAAUCUACUGUGAAGUGCUUCAUGUACGUGUGAAGUAUUAGAAAUUUCUUUCUUGGCAACUUGUUUUUCUUUGCGGUCUACUGAUAGGUUUGACUAAAAUUAUAUUCCCUGUCAUGCUAAUUAAUUUUCACGUGCAUGCUCAAAAGAAAAGUAUGACCUUAGUGCACCAAAAUCACUUUGAUUAAUUUGUGAUAGGUUUUUGUGCAUCAUGACAUUAGCCUUAUUCAUUUAGAUAAUGUUUAGUUUUUAGAAAGUAUUAAGAAAAGGAAAAUAAAUAUUAAGAAAAAUAUUCUUAUAUUUGAUUGUAUUAUGAAAAAUAUCAUAAAAAAAUCAAAUAUAAUUUAAAUUAAUUAAUAAUUUAUACAUUUUCAAAUUAUUUAAUCUUUAUAUUGAAGAUAUAAUAUAAAUGAAAUGAGUUUUAAGUAUUAUAUAAAAGUGAUUUAUUGAUCUUACAUAUAUAUAUUUCUUUUUUUUUUCCUUCUAUUUUUUCUCUUUAUUUUAUUUUCCUUAUGUUUUCCUCAACAUUUUCCGGAACCAAACAUAGCCUUAGGAAAUCCACAAUUACCUUCAACUGAGUAGAUUCUGUUGUUUUAGCAAUGUUAGGCUGCUAACUUGUGUUGGUACGAACCUAUUAAGCCUAAAGAUGUAAUUAGUUAGGAUAUUCUUUUCCCUCUAGUCUUGUAGCUCCACGUGUACAGUUGGUUAGGACCUCAUUGUAUAUAAUGCUUGCCCUGUUAUUGUAGAAGACAACAAAGAUAAAUAAUAUUAACAUUUUUCCUCUCAUCUCUCUCUGUUUCCCUCUGUUUUCAUCUCCUCUCUCAUCUUGGUAUCAGAGCCUCCAUGGCUUCUUUCAAAGAAACCUCCGAAUCACCUUCUGCUAGCAUUGUUAAUGUGCAAAACCCAUUAUCUCAAUCAAACAACCUUCCUUCACCAGUAGCCACACCCUCUUUUUCUUUCUCGUCUAUGAAUCAACCUCUCACAGUGAAGCUGGAUAAUGGGAACUACCUCAUAUGGAAGAAUUAGCUUCUAAAUGUCAUCAUUGCUAACGGACUCGAUGAUUUCAUUGACGGAUCUCGACCCUGCCCUCCUCGAUUUCUCGAUCUGCAACAACAAACCCUCAAUCCAGAGUACUCAGCUUGGCAGAGAUACAAUCGACUUCUGAUGAGUUGGCUGUACGCAUCCUUGUCCAAAGAUAUAAUGGCUCAGAUUGUUGGGUAUUCAACAGCUAUGGAGAUUUGGAAUGCCCUUAAUCAGAUUUACUCUGCCUCUUCUAUGGCGCGGUUUACUGAGCUUCGCACCAAGCUUCAAACGCUCAAGAAAGAUGGACUCUCAGUUGGUGAAUAUAUUCAAAGGCUCAAAUCCAUUUGCAAUAGUCUUGCAGCAAUAGGAGAACCAGUUUCUGAGAAAGACCAUCUUAUCUAUUUGUUCAAUGGAUUAGAUUGUGAGUAUUAUUCUUUUGUUACCUCCAUUCAAAAUCGAUCUGACCAACCAACUAUUGACAAAAUCCAUAGCCUAUUGCUUAGCUAUGACUUCCGGCUUGAACAACAAAACUCUGUUUCUCUCCAUUCUGCCCAAGUCCAUAUGGCUCAUCUGAACAAGAAACCUUAUAAAUCAACUCCUCAACCUACAUUCAAUCAUAUUCACAUUCAACCUAGAUACUCUUCUCCACCUUUUAAGCCAACCACUAGUCAAUAUCAACCCAACAUUUUGGGCAAACCACAACCACAACCAUGACAGCCUCAACCUCAAUGGAAACCACAUUUUUCAAUCUAAAAUCAAAAGCCUCAGCGCCAAAUUUGUGGUAAAUUUGGACACACUGCUCUUAUUUGCUUCCAUCACACAAAUUUGAACUAUUCACCCCAACCUUCUCCUAAAUCUUUCAAUACUGUUCUCACCACAAAUUCCCAGCUCCCUAAUCCUCCAAAAUUUUCUUACCCUACAAUGGCUCAUCCUGCUGCUACGCAUAACACGGUUCCCGAUACAAAUUGGUACAUGGACUCAGGUGCUACACAUCACUUUACUCUGGACAUCAACGUGCUUGACACUGUGACACCAUUUAGUGGUUCAGAACAGGUGACAGUUGGGAAUGGUAAGCAACUCUGUAUCUCACAUCUUGGUACUGCAAAACUACCAUCUUCGUAUUCUCCUCCUGUUCUACAUCAGGUAUAUCACACUCCAAAAAUUUCAAAUAAUCUUAUUAGUGUUAAAAAAUUGUGUUCUGAUAAUAAAGUUUUUGUUGAAUUUUAUGCCACUCAUUUUCUUGUCAAGGAUCAGGUUUCGAAGAGAGUUCUCCUUUAGGGUCAACUUGAUAAUGGCUUAUACAAAGUUCAGUCGUCAUGCUCUCCUUCUGCUGUUUCCUUUCCUCCUCAAGUUUUCAUAGCCAACAUCAAGUAUCCAAAUCUGUGGCACAAGAGACUAGGCCACCCAGCUUUAUCUGUUGUUAAUCAAAUCUUGGAUUCUUGUAACAUUGCUCGAACACAGAAAAUUUGUUUUAAUUUUUUAAAUUCUUGUCAAUUAGCAAAGAGCCACAGGCUUCCUUUUUCUCUGUCUCCAUCCAUUGCAGAAAAACCUUUUGAGUUAAUUCAUACAGACCUAUGGGGUCUUUCGCUCGUUCGCUCUAUUUCUGGUGCUCUUUAUUUUUUACUUUUCAUUGAUGAUCAUACUCGUUUUACUUGGUUUUAUUUGCUCAAAACAAAAGAUGAAGCAUAUCCUACUUUUCUCAAGUUUCAAGCUCUCAUUGAAAAUCAAUUUAAUACCAAGAUUAAGGCUGUCCAAUCUGAUUGGGGAGGUGAGUUUCGAUCUCUCUCCAUACCGUUUUCAAAUAUGGGCAUUGUCUAUUGUUUAUCGUGUCCAUACACCUCACAACAGAAUGGGCGAGUUGAGCGAAAAAAUCGCCAUGCGAUUGUCCUUUCUUGCUUGCUCUAUGCCCUUAUCUUAUUGGCCUUAUGCCUUUCAAACUGCCACUUACCUUAUUAAUCGUCUCUCUACCCCUGUGCUGCAUCAUCAAUCCUCUUACUUCGCACUCUAUCACAAACUCCCAACUUAUACUCAUCUUAAGGUCUUUGGUUCCUCUUGUUUUCCGUAUUUGCACCCUUAUAAUACCCAUAAACUCCAAUACAGGUCACUAGAGUGUGCUUUUCUUGGUUACAGUUCACACCACAAAGGUUAUCUAUGUCUUGACAUUCAUUCUAGCAGGGUGUAUAUUUCUCGCCAUGUGAUUUUUAAUGAAGAUUCUUUUCCAUUCAAGAAUUUGAAAUCUUCUCUCUCUCAGUCUAUUUCUUCUUCCUCUUCUUUAUAAGUUCCUCUGUUCAUUCUCUUGCCUCCCCUUUCCCCAUCUCCUCUUAUUUCUUCAUCUAUACCUCAUUCUUUUCCCUCUUCUUCUUCUACCUCUAGUACUUGUUCCCCUCUCGUUGCUCCUACCUCUCUUCCUUCCUCUUCACACUCUGUGUCUCCAUCUAUUCCACCUCCUUCUCCACCUUCUCCGAGUGUGGACCUGCUUGCACCUUGUGUGAAUACAAAUUUACAUACUUCUUCUCGCACUCACAAUAUUCAUCCUAUGGUGACUAGAUCUAAGGUUUGUAUCUAUAAACCUAAGUUGUUGUUGAGUGUCUCCAUAGGUUCUCUCACUAAGCCUACUUCCUUUCUUCAAGCUAUUAAAGAUCCUUCAUGGAAGCAAUCCAUGGAAUUCGAGUUUGCUACCCUUCAACACAACAAGACCUGGCAUUUGGUUCCUUCACCUUCCUCAGGCGAAGUAAUCGGUUGUAAAUGGGUCUAUAAGCUAAAGCUUCAGCCUGAUGGCUAAAUUGAGAGAUACAGCCUGCUUAGUAGCUAAGGGUAUCAUCAAAUUGAAGUAUGGACUACUUCGAAACAUUCAGCCUGAUNNNNNNNNNNNNNNNNNNNNNNNNNNNNNNNNNNNNNNNNNNNNNNNNNNNNNNNNNNNNNNNNNNNNNNNNNNNNNNNNNNNNNNNNNNNNNNNNNNNNAGCUUCAGCCUGAUGGCUAAAUUGAGAGAUACAAGGCCUGCUUAGUAGCUAAGGGUUAUCAUCAAAUUGAAGGUAUUGACUACUUCGAAACAUUCAGCCUGAUUGUCAAGCUUUCUACUAUCUGUAUUGUGCUCAGUCUUACUUUUUCCCAGAAUUGGUGUAUUAGACAGCUGGAUGUUCAUAAUGCCUUCUUACAUGGUGACUUAGCUAAAGACGUUUUCAUGGAACAACUGCCUGGAUUUGUUGAUCCUCUCUAUCCUACUCAUGUCUGCAAGUUGGAUAAGUCUCUCUACUGUCUUAAAUAGUCACCUCGGGCUUGGUAUACUAAGCUGAGUACUUCUCGCUACACUUGGGAUUUGUUACUUCUAAGAAUGACUCUUCCUUAUUUAUUUGUCAUUCGUCUCAUGGGUUACUUCUUGUUCUUGUCUAUGUGGAUGAUAUAAUCGUCAUUGGGAGCCACUCUCCUCAGGUUACUCACCUUAUCCAACAGUUGCAUCAUUAGCUUUCUUUAAAGGAUCUUGGUCCUUUACAUUAUUUUCUGGGCUUGGAGGUUCAUCACACCCCUACUGGUAUUCACCUCAGCCAAGCAAAGUAUAUCACUGAUCUCCUUACCCGGGCGGCUAUGUUGGAUGCCAAGCCAUGUCCCACUCCUAUGUCCUCCAACACAUAUCUCUCUUUUCAUGAUGGAGUGGCUCUUGAAAAUGGUUCAGAUUAUCGAAGUUUUGUUGGUGCCCUUUAGUAUUGUACCAUGACACGCCCAGAUAUAGCUUUUGCAAUAAAUAAAGUGUGUCAAUUCAUGCACCAUCCCUCUAAUGUUCACUGGCAGGCUAUAAAACGUAUUCUCCGGUACUUAAAGGGCACAUCUCAUUUUGGUCUCUUCCUACAGCCUUCCUAUGACUUCAACAUCACUUGCUAUACAAAUGCCGACUGGGCUUCCUGUCCUGAUGACAAGUGUAGCACCAGUGGCUACUGCCUCUUUCUUGCCUCUAAUCUGGUUUCUUGGUCAUCUUCCAAACAAAAAGUGGUCUCCCGCUCCAGCGCCGAAUCAGAGUACCGAGGGGUAGCAAAUGGGGCUGCUGAAAUUGCUUGGACUGAAUCUCUUCUUUGUGAACUUUCCAUUACUCCCCCUCCCCUCAUUCUCUGUGACAAUAUCAGUGCCACGUACUUAGCUGCCAAUCCUAUUUUGCAUGCCCGCACCAAACAUGUGGAAAUCGACUAUCACUUUGUCACGGAACGUGUUCUUCAAUGCUCUCUUUUUGUCCAGUUUACACCUUCUGAUGAUCAACUUGCUGAUUGCAUGACCAAGCCUCUCUCCACCCAACGUUUCAUCACUCUACGCUCCAAGCUCACUGUUCUCACUAGACCAAUGAGCUUGAGGGGGGAUGUUAAGCCUAAAGAUGUAAUUAGUUAGGAUAUUCUUUUCCCUCUAGUCUUGUAGCUCCACGUGUACAGUUGGUUAGGACCUCAUUGUAUAUAAUGCCUGCCCUGUUAUUGUAGAAGACAACAGAGAUAAAUAAUAUUAACAUUUUUCCUCUCAUCUCUCUCUCUGUUUCCCUCUGUUUUCAUCUCCUCUCUCAUCUGAACCAAAUGAUCCAUGUUAACCUUGGCUUGGUUUGAUUUGGCUCUAUCUUAGAGAGCUCAAGGAUCACGUCAACUCUGGUUUCUACUAUUCAGGUCCAUUCCCAUAUGAACUGGUUCAAAUUUGAGAAAAUGGUAACAGACCUUUAGUGAUGUUGGUUUGGAGCCAGUUGCCAAACCCGCCCUGAGCUUUACCACUAAUGUCAAGGGAGAAAGCCAUUUGAACAAAAACAAUAGCUUCAAGGGACUGAAUCGUGGAUGAAAUCUGAUCCACAUUUCUUCUCAUUUUGGAAACAAAUGAGAACUUAACUAAGAAGAUUCUACGGCCUCAUAGUGCUUUUCCUGAUCUAAGGUUGGUUCGUUUCCCAAACUGUGAGAUGCACGUGCCAGACUUCAGAACUCUCACGCUCAGGAGUGUAUCCACGUGGUGGACAUAAGAUGGUGGCUUAAGAUCUGGUGUCGGUGGCUUUACUUUACUAGGAGAGUAGUGUGUCUUCAUCUCAUUCACUGCCGGAGGGUGGCGUAAGCAGUGACGCUAAGGUGGGGCACAGUCAAUAUCAUUUGCAUUUGACCAUUAUAGUUUUCUCCCGGCUUUAAAGUAACCUUAUCGUGAUAAAGGAUUACUAGCACUAGUUCAGAUGAUAGUCAUGUUAAAUUCGGACCAUGUUUGUGUCACAUUAUCAGCAACCAUGUGUUUAUGGUUCAUGCUUUCUGCAACUAAAAUUGAUAUAUAACCAGGUGAACUUCAAUCUAAAUUCUGAAAGUACUCAUGUGAUAGAUGGUGCCCGUCUGCAGAGUCCAUCAAUUGAAAAAUGGAGUGAGUGUAUCUAUAAGAGGGAAGGCUUGGAAAAUGUUCAGUUUUCUGGGAAUUCAACAAGGAUCUAAAAUAGAUUGUUUUCUUUGCUGAUUUCAAUGGUUGAAAUUUGAGAAGAUUGUGUCCACAUAACACAACUAUUACUGGUCCUUCUGUUGCAAUUUAUCCUCUAAAGCUCUAGCAUGUCUUCCAAUUCCCACUUCCCUGUUACUCCAGGAAAGCUAUUUCUGUCAUUGUGAAGAAGAAAAGAGAAUGUACAUAUCGAUGCUUUUAAGUGACUGGAGCAUUUAUAUCAGGUGGUCUGCAGCCAUAUAUGCCACUUUGUGAAGAUUGGAACAGUCAAUCACUAGGCUAUAUAUUAGUGUGGCCCAGCCACUUUAAUCAAGGACAAGUCUUCAUACUUAAAGUCAAAUUCUGCCUUUAGUCUCAUUAUAAAUUUCUGUUUAAAUAUUAAGCAAACAUUUGUUUAAUGCGAUUAAGACAGUACUAACUCAAUACCUGUUCUAUUUUUGGAUGCAAAUGCUUGAUGGUUUCAUCAUUGGAUGGGAUAAAGGUGCAUUCAUGAUUAGGAAUACUAGUAGUUAUAUUUUAAUUCUCUUUUUUCUCAAUGAGACUUGUUGGCACAAUUUUGCUGUUGAGAAACCUACCUCUCCAUGGAAAAUAAGUUGUGAUUGAUAGUACUGGAUAUAUUCAAGAAAUCUAAAUAUAGAUAGCACAAAAUAUUAUCGACAUAAAUAGCAUUAACAGCGUACGUAUGUCUCAGUGCUCAUCAGCUAUAAGCAUGGGGCAAACACUUACUAUGAGCAACUUACGUCAAAAUUCCAGAAUAGGACAUAGAAGUGACAGAUAUAGAACAUUGCAUAUGAGUCACAAGAAAGGAAAUUACGGGUGCAUAGCAGCUCUUAUUUUACAUACUACUACUCAUACUGAUCAAAGUCACUCAGUUGGGAUGGGUGGGAGUAGGAGGUUUGUGGGGUGGCUUGUGCGGAGGAGUUGGCAGCUUCUUUCCAGGACCUGGUUGCUUCUCUGCUGGAGUUGAAGGAGGCUUAAUCUUCCGAGGUGGCUUGUAUGAGUCUUCAGCAUUCUCAGCUGGAGGGUGACCAGGGUUGUGACCAUAAUGUGGUGGCUUCUCUCCCUUAGGUGGUUUGCCAACUGGGGUUGGUGGCUUGUAUGAGUCUUCAGCAUUCUCAGCAGGAGGGUGACCAGGGUUGUGACCAUAAUGUGGUGGCUUCUCUCCCUUAGGUGGUUUGCCAACUGGGGUUGGUGGCUUGUGUUCUGGGAGUGGCUUCUCCCCCUUGGGAGGUUUUUCCAAUGGGGUUGGUUUGUGUUCAGGAGGUGGCUUCUCCACUGGAGGCUUGUGUUCAGGAGGUGGCUUCUCCACCGGAGGCUUGUGUUCAGGUGGUGGCUUCUCCACCGGAGGCUUAUGCUCUGGUGGUGGCUUCUCGAAUGGGGGAUGCUUAGGAUAAUCAGCAAGUGAGGGGGCGGUGAGAACCACCAGGCCAAGCAACACCACUAGCAAAUAUGUAGGAGACAUCUUUGGGUUUGGGCUCAGAUGGUGCAAAACUAGGAGAAUUGGCUAGCCUUUUAUAGCGGAUCGUACCCAAUAAUGAAAUGACACGUGUCAUUAUGACCCAUGUGUAAUGGGGUCGAUUUGGGUCCUACAGUGUUGAAAACUUCGACAUCCACUUUUGGCCUUUUGCUUUCUCUACAGCCGCCUUGCUUUUUCCCUCUUUCCUUUUGUUUUCCUCCUGCCCCAUUCUAUCAACUAAACACAAUUAUGUAGUUGUUUAAUUCUUAAAUGAGAUAUUAUCCGUCAAUCGUAUUAUAUUUUAUCAAGAGAGAACGGAGUGCAAUGUGGCUGUAAUUUUAUCGUUUAGUUUUAUCUCUUGGACCACUGCAUUUUUGUUAAGAGGUGCAAUAAUACACGUCUUUAUCUGCCAUUCAAUAUUUACAGUAAAGAGAGGGCACAAAACUCUUCACUUCGCACCAUAAUUAUUUUGUUUUCUGGACACCCCGGGGCCCUUUGGUUGGUUUGGGGGUCAGAAAGUGAACAUCAUAGGGGGUUUUUCCCUUAUGUGCAUUUGUAUCUGAUGGCUUUAACUCGCCUUGUUACUACAAAGAAACUGUCACAGAUAGGAACUUAUUCCAGGCUGAGUAUCUCCUCAUAGACCCUAUAAAAGAAGACAAGUCAUAAUGAACAUCUAACCUUUGUUCAAUUUGAUUCAAUGCCCCCAUUGUGUCCAUCUCACAAAUCUGAAUUAUUAUAUCCAUUGAAUACAUAAAUUAAUGAAGAAAAUAUGAAACCCAAGAUACAUCUCUGCACAACCUCAACCCUGGUUGCUAUGUUUCCCUUCUAUUCACAUGAUUUGAUGCUAAUUGCCAAACUUGCAACAAGCCCUGAGUUUGACACCUAGUAUCGAUGGGCGAAUUUAAAGUCUCCUCCAAACAUAUAUUCCACAGCUUGAAGCUCACAGAAGAUGUUACAGGCAGGGAAAAACCUUCAGAGUUCGCUACCAAAGAUAAUUAUUAAGGAGAUAUCACAAAGAGAAUUCCAAGGGGUCUGAAUCAAAGACAAAUUGGUCGUUCGUGGGGGUUCUUACUUUCUUUUGGGUAUAACUCACUGAGGGCACUGUCUUUGUUAUUUGCAUUUCACAUUUAGAGUUCUGUUCUGGAAACAUAUAAAAGGAGCAUCAUUUUGUUCUUGGGUAACCCAUAGUCGUGAGUGGGUCCAUUUGCAUGCUACUUAGUUGAAAAGUUGGACCAUUUGCUCCGACGCCUACCUCCCGGAUUCCAUGCUCGGAUAAAACAAGAAUAAAAAAAAUAUUUAUAAUUUACAAAUGGGGGAAAGAAAAAAAUGUCAACAACAAACCAGGAAAAAAGAGUAGUAAAAUUCAUGUCACAUGCUAGUGAGAGAAGGGGUUGUUACACUCACUCGAAGUUCUUUCCAAAAUAUCGCAUGGUAUUUUAUUUUAUGUGUCAGCGCAGUUGUGAAUGGAACGUGCAAAAGUCCAAAUUGGCGUUUUUCCUUUUCCCGUGUAGGAUGGCGACCUUUAAUAAAUAUUUAAAACAAAAAACGAAAAAAAGGAGGGAAAAGGGAUCAGAAAAGAUAAAACAAUGUGUACAAGAGCUCAAUUAGUUUGCAAAUUACUGUUUGGAUUUUGAUAGUAUUUUAUUUGUCCAUCUAUAUUUGAUGGAAAAGAGAAUUUAAGAUAUUUCUGAAACAAAAGCAUUAGUGUAAAACUAAAUUAAGGUAUAAUUAAGUUAGUUCAAUGCAUUAAUUUAAGAAACUUGAUCUAUCCAAAGUACAAAAUUAGAUGAAAUCCAUUUCAAUGGUUAAAAUGAUCAAAAUCAAACUUUUUCUAAGUAUUUUUUAAAAGCAUCAAUAUUAAAAGACAAUUUUAUAUUUAGUCGGAGUUUGGACAAAACCAAAAAGCACACAAAAUCCAAGCGACCAUCUCUAGCUUGGAUAGUCACUUGAUCCCACCUAGAGAUGUGCAUGAGUAAAAGGAUUUGAAAAUGGAAAUUGACUAAAUAUUUAGUUGAUCAAUUAAAUUUGCAAUGUCAUAUGCAAUCCUAAUAGCUAGUCAUCUAAUCAAUUAGGUAGUCAAUCAAGUGUUUGUAAUGACUAUUUUGUACAAAAAACCACAUGUAUAGUUAAAUAUAAUGCAUUUCAUUUAUAAAUCUUCUAAUUCUUGAAUAACGAUCCUAUCAUCCUUUGAAAAUUUUUAUUACACCUUUUUUACUUUUGUUCUAAAACUUACAUAUCACCCUUAAUUGUACCAUGAGAACCUAGCUAUUUUUUUUUUUUUUGUAAUUCAUCAAAGUUAGCUUUUGUAUUCAUUGUUGUAUUAUUUUUAGUAUAACUUAGAAAGCUAGUGUUUUCAAGUGAGUAAAAUUAACUUGUAAAUAUUGUAAAGAUUCAUUGAUAUGUAUCUUAAACUAAGUGUACAAAUUAAAACAUUUGCUAGUAGAUUUUCUCAAAAUUUAGAAUAGAGCUUGAGGCUAUUGAAAUAGGUGGGGUUACACCAAACCACAUCACAUCGUUGUUUGCACCUUUUUUCACUCUCUUUUACUUAGUUUCUCUAUAUUUGUUGUCUAGUAAUAUCCUAUAGGCUUGAUGGGUUAGGGAGCAUCCCUUUGUGAAAAAAUUUCAUUCAAUUCUUAGUUGUAUUACGCAUAUAUAAAAUGCCUCAUUGUUUUAAUGGUAUUCAGUCGUGGCAUCACAGAUAUGGGCAUCUAAAUUUUAAAAGUUUGAAACUUUUGUAAAGCAUGUUGAUAAAAUCCAUGAGAGUUGUGUACUUGGGAAGCAACAUCGAGGUGACUUUAUUUUUUUUUCCUUUUAUAAUGCCACACCUAAGUCCGGUUUCUAAAUGCUAAAGUGAAAGGGUAGGUAUGGACCAUUGAAAUGUGAUCACAACUUUUGGCCUUUUCCUUUCUCUGCAGCCAUGUUGUCUCUUUUUUCUUUUGCAUGAUUUUCUUACCAAAACAGAAUCAUAGACUUGUUUAGUCUCUAAGCUACUAUAUUAUAUCUCGGUGGACUUUUAAGAGUGCAACCGACAUAGAGCACAUGCAAGUGGGCAUAUGGGACAUGAAAUUUCUUCUUACAAAGAUUGCAUGAUUUUUAUAUUAGAGUUGUUCACGUGCAAUGUAUUUAGCUUGUUUUGCAGUUAAAUUAAUUGGAUAAGUAAACAUUGGCAUUUCUAAAUCGACUGUGAAGUGCUUCAUGUACGUGUAAAGUAUUAGAAAUUUCUUUCUUGGCAACUUGUUUUUUCCUUGCCAUCUACUGGUAGGUUUGACUAAAAUUAUAUUCCCUGUCAUGCUAAUUAAUUUUCAUGUGCAUGCUCAAAAGAAGAGUAUGACCUUAGUGCACCAAAAUCACUUUGAUUAAUUUGUGAUAGGUUUUUUUGCAUCAUUUAGAUAAUGUUUAGUUCUAAGAAAAAUUUAUAUAAAAAUGGUUUAUUUAUCUUACAUAUAUAUAUAUAUAUAUAUAUUUUUUUUUUUUUCAUUUUUUUUUCUUCUAUUUUAUUUAUUUAUUUUAUUUUCCUUAUGUUUUCCUCACAUUUUCCGGAACUAAACAUAGUCUUACGAAAUCAACAAUUGCCUUCAACUGAGUAGAUUCUGUUGUUUUAGCAAUGUUAGGCUGCUAACUUGUGGUGGUACGAACCAAAUGACCCAUGUUAAUCUUGGCUUGGUUUGAUUUGGCUCUAUCUCAGAGAGCUAAAGGAUCACGUCAACUCUGGUUUCUACUAUUCAGGUCCAUUCCCAGAUGAACUGGUUCAAAUUUGAGAAAAUGGUAACAGACCUUUAGUGAUGUUGGUUUGGAGCCAGUUGCCAAACCCGCCCUGAGCUUUACCACUAAUGUCAAGGGAGAAAGCCAUUUGAACAAAAACAAUAGCUUCAAGAGACUGAAUCGUGGAUGAAAUCUGAUCCACAUUUCUUCUCAUUUUGGGAAAAAAUGAGAACUUAACUACAAAGAUUCUACUGCCUCAUUCAUAGUGCUUUUCCUGAUCCAAGGUUGGUUCGUUUCCCAAAUUGUGAGGUGCACGUGCCACUCUCACGCUCAGGAGUGUAUCCACGUGGUGGACAUCAGAUGGUGGCUUAAUAUCUGGUGUCGGUGGCUUUACUUUACUAGGAGAGUAGUGUGUCUUCAUCUCAUUCACUGCCGGAGGGUGGCGUAAGCAGUGACGCUAAGGUGGGGCACAGUCAAUAUCAUUUGCAUUUGACCAUUAUAGUUUUCUCCCGGCUUGAAAGUAACCUUAUCGUGAUAAAGGAUUACUAGCACUAGUUCAGAUGACCGUCAUGUUAAUUCGGACCAUGUUUGUGUCACAUUAUCAGCAACCAUGUGUUUAUGGUUCAUGCUAUCUGCAACUAAACUUGAUAUAUAACCAGGUGAACUUCAAUCAAAAUUCUGGAAGUACUCUUGUGAUAGAUGGUGCCUGUCUGCAGAGUCCAUCAAUUGAAAAAUGGAGUGAGUGUAUCUAUAAGAGGGAAGGCUUGGCAAAUGUUCAGUUUUCUGGGAAUUCAACAAGGAUCUAAAAUAGAUUGUUUUCUUUGCCGACUUCAAUGGUUGAAAUUUGAGAAGAUUGUGUCCACAUAUCACAACUAUUACUGGUCCUUCUGUUGCAAUUUAUCCUGUAAGGCUCUAACAUGUCUUCCAAUUCCCACUUCCCUGUUACUCCAGGAAAGCUAUUUCUGUCAUUGUGAAGAAGAAAAGAGAAUGUACAUAUCGAUGCUUUUAAGUGACUGGAGCAUUCAUAUCAGGUGGUCUGCAGCCAUAUAUGCCACUUUGUGAAGGUUGGAACAGUCAAUCACUAGGCUAUAUAUUGGUGUGGCCCAGCCACUUCAAUCAAGGACAAGUCUUCAUACUUAAAGUCAAAUUCUGCCUUUAGUCUCAUUAUAAAUUGCUGUUUAAAUAUUAAGCAAACUUUUGUUUAAUGCGAUUAAGACAGUACUAACUCAAUACUUGUUCUAUUUUUGGAUGCAAAUGCUUGAUGGUUUCAUCAUUGGAUGGGAUAAAGGUGCAUUCAUGAUUAUGAAUACUUGUAGUUAUAUUUUCAUUCUCUUUUUUCUCAAUGAGACUUGUUGGCACAAUGUUGCUGUUCAGAAACCUACCUCUCCAUGGAAAAUAAGUUGCGAUUGAUAGUACUGGAUAUGUUCAAGAAAGCUAAAUAUAGAUAGCACAAAAUAUUAUCGAUAUAAAUAGCAUUAACAGCGUACGUAUGUCUCAAUGCUCAUCAGCUAUAAGCAUGGGACAAACACUUACUAUGAGCAACUUACGUCAAAAUUCCAGAAUAGGACAUAGAAGUGACAGAUCUAUAUAUAUAGAACACUGCAUAUGAGUCACAAGAAAGGAAAUUACGGGUGCAUAGCAGCUCUUAUUUUACAUACUACUACUCAUACUGAUCAAAGUCACUCAGUUGGGAUGGGUGGGAGUAGGAGGUUUGUGGGGUGGCUUGUGCGGAGGAGUUGGCAGCUUCUUUCCAGGACCUGGUUGCUUCUCUGCUGGAGUUGAAGGAGGCUUAAUCUUCCGAGGUGGCUUGUAUGAGUCUUCAGCAUUCUCAGCUGGAGGGUGACCAGGGUUGUGACCAUAAUGUGGUGGCUUCUCUCCCUUAGGUGGUUUGCCAACUGGGGUUGGUGGCUUGUAUGAGUCUUCAGCAUUCUCAGCAGGAGGGUGACCAGGGUUGUGACCAUAAUGUGGUGGCUUCUCUCCCUUAGGUGGUUUGCCAACUGGGGUUGGUGGCUUGUGUUCUGGGAGUGGCUUCUCCCCCUUGGGAGGUUUUUCCAAUGGGGUUGGUUUGUGUUCAGGAGGUGGCUUCUCCACUGGAGGCUUGUGUUCAGGAGGUGGCUUCUCCACCGGUGGCUUGUGUUCAGGAGGUGGCUUCUCCACCGGAGGCUUAUGCUCUGGUGGUGGCUUCUCCACCGGAGGCUUAUGCUCUGGUGGUGGCUUCUUGAAUGGGGGAUGCUGAGGGUAAUCAGCAAGUGAGGGGGCGGUGAGAACCACCAGGCCAAGCAACACCACUAGCAAAUAUGUAGGAGACAUCUUUGGGUUUGGGCUCAGAUGGUGCAAAACUAGGAGAAUUGGCUAGCCUUUUAUAGCGGAUCGUACUCAAUAAUGAAAUGACACGUGUCAUUAUGACCCAUGUGUAAUGGGGUCGAUUUGGGUCCUACAGUGUUGAAAACUUCGACAUCCAGUUUUGGCCUUUUGCUUUCUCUACAGCCGCCUUGCUUUUUCCCUCUUUCCUUUUGUUUUCCUCCUGCCCCAUUCUAUCAACUAAACACAAUUAUGUAGUUGUUUAAUUCUUAAAUGAGAUAUUAUCGGUCAAUCGUAUUAUAUUUUAUCAAGAGAGAACGGAGUGCAAUGCAGCUGUAAUUUUAUCGUUUACUUUUAUCUCUUGGACCACUGCAUUUUUGUUAAGAGGUGCAAUAAUACACGUCUUUAUCUGCCAUUCAAUGUUUACAGUAAAGAGAGGGCACAAAACUCUUCACUGCUCUGCAUGUGUCCCAAAAAUGCGAUUGGACAAAUUAUGAUUUGCAUGCUAAAAAGAGGCAAAUGAGGUUAAUUCGCACCAUAAUUAUUUGGUUUUCUGGACACCAUAAAAAGAUGUUAUACAGGCAGGGAAAAACCUUCAGAGUUAGCUACCAAAGAUAAUUAUCAAGCAGAUAUCACCAAGAGAAUUCCAUAGAGUCUGAAUCAAAGACAGAUUGCUCGCUCGUGGGGGUUCUUACUUUCUUUUGGGUAUAACUCACUGAGGUCACUGUCUUUUUUAUUUGCAUUUCACAGUUAGAGUUCUGCUCUGGAAGGUUUGUUCUGGAAACAUAUAAAAGGAGCAUCAUUUUGUUCUUGGGUAACCCAUAGUCGUGAGUGGGUCCAUUUGCAUGCUACUUAGUUGAAAAGUUGGACAAUUUGCUCCGACGCCUACCUCCUGGAUUCCAUGCUCGGUAAAACAAGAAUAAAAAAAAAUAUAUAAUUUACAAAUGGGGGAAAGAAAAAAUGUCGGAAAAAAUAGUAAAAUUCAUGUCACAUGCUAGUGAGAGAAGGGGUUGUUACACUCACUCGAAGUUCUUUUCAAAAUAUCGAAUGGUAUUUUACUUUAUGUGUCAGCGCAGUUGUGAAUGGAACGUGCAAAAGUCCAAAUUGGCGUUUUUAUUUUUCCCAUGUAGGAUGGUGACCUUUAAUAAAUAUUUAAAACAAAAGACGAAAAAAAAAAGGAGGGAAAAGGGAUCACAAAAGAUAAAAUAAUGUUUACAAAAGCUCAAUUAGUUUGCAAAUUACUGUUUGGAUUUUGAUAGUAUUUUAUUUGUCGUUCUAUAUUUGAUGUAAAAGAGAAUUUAAGAUAUUUCCGAAGCAAAAGCAUUAGUUUGCUCUGUGAUGUCCCACAUCGAAUAGGGGAGAAAGUUUCUGGCGCUAUAUAUGUAGAGGCUCCUCUUAACCAAGUAGAUGCGUUUUAAAACCAUGAGGGCCCCCUUAGGUCCAAAGCGGACAAUAUCUACAUGAUUGGGUGUAAGUCAUUACAAAUGGUAUCAGAGCCGAUCCCCGACCCCGGUGUGGGGGUUUGUUUGGCCCUGUAAGGGGUGUUUGUCUGUUUGACCCCACAAUCCCAUGGGACACAACGAGGACGUUGUGUCUGCAUGGGGGGGCGUUUGUGAUGUCCCACAUCGGAUAGGGGAGAAAGUUCCUAGUGCUAUAUAUGUAGAUGUUUCUCUUAACCAAGUAGAUGCAUUUUAAAAUUGUGAGGGCCUCUUUGGGCCCAAAGCGGACAAUAUCUACAUGGUUGAGUGUAAGUCAUUACAUGCUCCAUGUCAAUUUCAGCAUUUCUCAUAUGUUUCACACAUACACAGAAGAGCAUCGUUUUUUAAAGCAUGCAUUUAUGUUGGAUUAAUUUGGAUUUUGUGGGAACUGGGGCAAGGAUCACAUGGAAGAGAGGUUGACUUUUUUCAGUACUUCAAUGGUUGAAAUAUGUGAAGGCUUGAUUGAUACUAAAGCUUGAAAUUGCGACUCUGUCAUUUGUAAAAAAAUAUGACAGCUUCCAUGCUCUCGUUUGGUUGCAUUGUCCGGUCGAGAGGUGCAAAAAGCAUUCUCUCUCUUCUAAUAGUCUUUUCGUUUAAAUCAAGGGAUUUGCCUUCCCGGUCGAGGUCCAAUAGAGGGUAACGGUCACCUACUAAACAUUAAAUGCUCCAACAACUAGUGAACUGAUCGACCCCAGCUCGACUAGUUGAGGUUACUUUUUGGUUUUCUUGUCUCCCGAGGUUAGAAACCUAUAAAUAGAGAGCUUCACUUCAUUUAUGAGUAAGAGAACACCUAAAUUUAUUUGUUUACCUACUUGUUUUUGCCAUAAAAGCUCUCAUUUCUUUUCUUGGUGUAUUAAAUCUCCAUUUGCAUAUCCUUUAGUGCACCUUUGUGAUUCAUUCUAGCCUUGAGUUGUAUUUAAGCCUUUGUUGAGCUAGGUUGAGAGUUUCAUACUUGUUUAUUGAGUGUUAAAGCCUUCAAGUGAGUUAAAACUUGAAGAGAUUGUGUAAGAGCCCAUUGGAGUCGGAAUCCAAGUGUAAAGGUGAUUAAAAGCUUGGUUGAAGCUUCAAGUUAGUGGAACUCUCACUCGGUUAUGAGCUUGAGAAGAGUGGACAUAGACAAGGCAGUGUCGAACCACUAUAAAAUCUGAGUUUGAUUUCUCUAACCUUAUCUCUUUAUAUUUGCUUCUCUUGUGCUUAAAUUUUUUGUGUUUAAAAAGAAUUUUUAAAAACUCAAUUCACCCCCUUCUUGGGAGUUUUUCUCUUUUAAGAUCAGCUUUUAUUUUCUCAAUUGGUAUCAGAACUAUGCCUCUUGUUUAAGACUUAAUCGUCUAAGAGGAAAUGGCUAAUCCAUCAAGUUCAUCUCACAUUGAAAGUUUUGCAACCAAUAGACUUCUUUUUUUUUUUUUGCGGGAACUGAUUAUCCCUAUUGGAAAACUAAAAUGACUUGGUUUUUACAAUCAAUUGAUUUAGAUGUAUGAGAUGCCAUUGAAGAUGACCUAACUUUUCCUUCAAAACUAGUUGAUGGAGUCAUGGUUCCAAAACCUAAGCAAGAAUGGGAUGAGCGUGAUUGAAGAAAUUUUCAAUUAAAUGCUAAAGUCGUUUAUACUUUGCAAUGCUCUAUGGACAGAAAUGAAUAUAAUAGAAUAUGUCAAUGCAAAUCGGUUAAAGAAAUUUGGAGAUUGCUUGAAAUAACUCAUAAAGGAACAAAUCAAGUUAAAGAGUCAAAAAUCAAUUUACUUGUUCAUAGAUAUGAAUUGUUUUUUAUGAAAGAUAAUGAAACUAUUGUUAAGAUGAUCACUAGGUUCACCAACAUUGUUAAUGGUCUUAAAGCCUUGGGAAAGACCUACAAGGAAUCCGAAAACGUGAUGAAGAUCUUGAGGUCACUUCCAUCAAAGUGGCAUACCAAGGUCACCGCAAUUUAAGAAGCAAAAGACUUGAUCAAGCUACCUUUGGAGGAGUUCAUAGGGUCAUUGAUGACAUAUGAAAUCAAUUUGGCAAAGAAGUAACAAAAAGGUGAAGACAAAAAGAAGAAGAACAUAACUCUCAAAGCUACAACUAAGGAAGAAGAAGUUGAAGAAGAAAAACAAAUUGAAGAAGAUGAAGAUUUAGCCCUCAUCACAAGAAAGUUCAACAAAUUCAUGAGGGGUGAAAGGUUUAGAAGAAGAAGGUUCACUUCUAGAAGAGACUUUUCUAAAAAGGAAUCUUCAUCUAAUGGUGACAAAAAGAGAUGGGAAGAGAAAAGAGACUUGGUGUGUUUCAAGUGCAAGAAACCGGGACACAUUAAAUAUGAUUGUCCUCUCUACAAAAGUGAAGUCAAGAGGAAAAAGAAUAAGGCAAUGAUGGCCACUUAGAGUGAAAGUGAAGAUGAAUCAUCCGAAGAAGAAAAUGAGAAAGAAGUGGCAAACAUGUGUUUCAUGGCAAUAGAUGAACUUGAUGAGGUAAAAUCUAACCUUAGUGAUUAAGAUAUACAUGAUGCAUUUGAAGAAUUGUAUGAGGAUUUUUAAAAACUUAGUUUGAAAAAUAUUUCUCUUAAAAAGAAAGUUCAACAACUUGACAAAGAACUUAGAGAAGUAAAAGAAAAAUUUUCAAAUGUUAAAGUUUCUAAAACUCAUCUUGAAAAAGAAAAUGAGAUUCUAAGAAAGAAAAAUGAAUAGUUGAACUCCUCUCUUUCAAUCUUUUCUUCUAGACAAAAAUCUUUUGAAAUGAUUCUAACUAGCUAAAAAUGUGUUUUUGACAAACAAGGGUUAAGAUUUAAAUCUUCAAAAAAUCAAAAGUAUUUUAAAAACUAUUUUGUAAAGGAAUCCACAAGUGCAAGUCCUUCCACUACUUGCAACUUUUGUGGAAGAGAAUGGCACAUUAGUAGUACGCCCUUUAAGAAAUGGUUCUCAAAAGAAUUUAAAUGCAAAAACUAAAAAAGAUUUGGAUUGAGAAAUCCAAGGUCACUAACCCUCAAGGACCCAAAAAGAUAUAGGUACCUAAAUCAACUUGAGUUUUAUGUUGUAAGGUUCAAAGAAUGAUAAGUGGUUCUUAGAUAAUGGUUGCUCAAGACACAUGACCGGAGAUGAAUCCAAGUUUGCUUUUCUUAAAAAGAAAAAUGGAGGAUAUGUUACCUUUGGAGACAAUGCAAAAGAAAGGAUGAUUGGUCAAGGCAACAUUGGUAAUGGCACAUCCUCUCUCAUUGAAAGUGUUUUAUUAGUAGAUGGUUUCAAACAUAACCUUUUAAGCAUUAGUCAAUUUUGCGACAAAGGUUUUUAAGUGAUUUUUUAAGCAUCUCAUUGCAUCAUCAAGGAUAUUCAAAAUGAUAAAACCAUUUUCAUGGGCCAUAGAUGUGAUAAUGUUUAUGCUAUAAAUAUUUCAAAAUAUGAUGGCCAUGAUAGAUGUUUUUCAAGCAUGCAUGAUCAAAGUUGGUUGUGCCAUAGGAGAUUGAGACAUGCUAACAUAGACCUCAUUUCCCAACUCAACAAAGAUGAACUUGUUAGAGGCCUUCCCAAAAUAAUUUUUUAAAAAGAUAAAGUUUGUGAAGCUUGUCAAGUGGGAAAGUAAAUCAAAAACUCUUUUAAAAACAAAAACUUCAUUUCCACAUCUAGGCCACUUGAGUUGUUGCAUAUGGAUUUAUUUGGUCCCUCUAGGACACCAAGUCUUAGAGGAAAUUCUUAUGCAUAUGCUAUUGUGGACGACUUCUCUAGAUACACAUGAGUCUUGUUUUUUAGUCAAAAGAAUAAAGUUUUUUAUGAGUUUUCAAAGUUUUGCAAUAAGAUUCAAAAUGAAAAAGGUUUUUCAAUUACUUAUAUAAGAAGUGAUCAUGGGAGAGAAUUCGAAAAUAUUGAUUUUGAAGAGUAUUGCAAUGAGCAUGGAAUUGACCACAAUUUUUUGGCUCUUAGAACUCCUCAACAAAAUGGGGUAGUUGAAAGGAAAAAUAGAACUCUUCAAAAAAUGACAAGAACCAUACUAAAUGAAAACAACUUACCAAAAUAUUUUUAGGCCAAAACGGUUAACACUUCUUGUUAUGUUUUAAAUAGAGUAUUAUUGAGGCUCAUACUUAAGAAAACUCCCUAUGAGCUUUGGAAAAACAAAAAACCCAACAUUAGUUAUUCCAAAGUCUUUGGAUGCAAUAUUUUAUAAUAAACACCAAAGACAAUCUUGGAAAAUUUGAUGCAAAAUUGGAUGUUGGAAUUUUCCUUGGUUACUCAACUUCAAGUAAAGCUUUUCGAGUUUUAACAAAAGAACCAUGGUUGUAGAGGAGUCCAUCCAUGUUAUUUUUUAUGAAUCUCCAAGAAAGAGAGAGGAUUGAUGAUGAUUUAGGUUUGAAGACCUCUAUAGGAAGAUUGCAAAUCGAAGAUAGAAGACAACAAGAAGAAAAUGGAGAGAAUCCAAAGAAAGAAGGAUCACCAUUGGCACUACCCCCUCAUCAACAAGCGCAAGGUGAAUCAAGUCAAGAGCUUCCUAAAGAAUGGAAGUUUGUCAUCAAUCACCCACAAGAUCAAAUUAUAGGCAAUCCAUCUAGUGGGGUAAGAACUAGAUCCUCUCUUAGAAAUAUUUGCAAUAAUCUAGCUUUUAUCUCUCAAAUUGAGCCUAAAAAUAUAAAUGAUGUUUUAGAUGAUGAAAAUUGGAUAAUUGCAAUGCAAGAAGAGUUAAAUCCAUUUGAAAGAAGUGGAGUAUGGGAAUUAGUACCAAGACCUUCAAAUCAAAGUGUUAUUGGAACUAGAUGGAUCUUUAGAAAUAAAAUGGAUGAAAAUAGCAUAAUUGUUAGAAAUAAAGCAAGAUUGGUAGCCCAAGGUUUUAAUCAAGAAGAAAUGAUAGAUUAUGAAGAAACCUUUGCCCCCGUAGCUAGGUUGGAAGCCAUUAGGAUGCUACUUGCCUUUGCAUGUUUUAAAGACUUUGUUUUAUAUCAAAUGGAUGUGAAAAGUGCUUUUUUAAAUGGUUUUAUAAAUGAAGAAGUAUAUGUUGAACAACCACCCGGUUUUCAAAGUUUCAACUUUCCUAACCAUGUUUUUAAACUUAAAAAGACACUUUAUGGUUUGAAACAAGCACCUAGAUCAUGGUAUGAAAAAUUGAGUAAAUUUCUUUUGAAAAAAAUGUUUUAAAAUGGGAAAAAUUGACACAACUCUUUUUAUAAAAACCAAAGAAAAUGAUAUGCUCUUAGUUCAAAUAUAUAUUGAUGAUAUCAUUUUUGGUGCUACUAAUGUCUCUCUUUAUGAAGAAUUUUCUAAGUGCAUGCAUAGUGAGUUUGAAAUGAGCAUGAUAGGAGAACUCAACUUCUUCCUUGGACUUCAAAUCAAGCAACUAAAGGAAUGAACCUUCAUCAAUCAAGCAAAGUAUAUAAGAGAUCUUCUCAAAAGGUUCAACAUGGAAGAAGCCAAAACAAUGAAGACUCUAAUGAGCUCAUCCAUUAAGCUUGAUAAGGAUGAGAAAGGUAAAUCCAUUGACUCUAUUAUGUAUAGAGGCAUGAUAGGUUCUUUGCUCUAUUUGACCACUAGUAGACCUUACAUUAUGUAUAGUGUGUGUUUGUGUACUAGAUUUCAAUCUUGUCUUAAAAAAUCUCACUUAAGUGUCGUGAAAAGAAUCCUCAAAUAUUUGAAAGGGACAAUGGACAUAGGCUUAUGGUAUCCUAAGAGUGAUAACUUUGAAUUAAUUGGUUUUUUGGAUGCUGAUUUUGUCAGUUGUAGGGUUGAAAAAUAAAACACUAGUGGCACUUUUCAUUUCUUAAGACACUUACUUGUCUCAUGGCAUAAUAAGAAGCAAAAUUUGGUAGCUUUGUCAACAGCAGAAGCUAAAUACAUAGCAACUGGUUUAUGUUGUGCACAAAUCCUUUGGAUGAAAUAAACACUUAGUGAUUUUGAUUUAUCUUUUGAGCAUAUUCCUAUUAAAUGUGAUAAUAGUAGUGCCAUAAGUAUAUCAAAAAAUCUCGUGCAACACUCUAGGACUAAGCAUAUAGAGAUUAGACAUAAUUUUCUUAGAUAUCAUACACAAAAGGAUGAUAUAACACUUGAAUUUGUAAGCAUAAAAGACCAACUUGCCGAUAUCUUUACAAAACCUCUAAGAACAUUUUGUUGAUAUUAGAGGACAAUUAGGAGUGAUUUCUUUAUGAUCUAAUGUGAUGAAUUCUUGAUGAAUAUACUUUUUGAUUGCAUGAAUUUCAUGUCAUAUAUGCAUCAUAUAGAAAUAUACUUAGAUAAUGGUCAAAUUUCGACCAAAAAUCAAAAUUCCCAUGGCAUUAGGCAUAAAAAUUUUGGAAUUUCAACUGAAAAUGGUAGGAGGAGGAUCACAAAAUGAGAAAGUAUGCAAAAAUUGAAAAAUCAAAACGUUGACCAAGCGGUCAAUCGGACUAGACCGAUCGACUAGUUUGUCGAGAUUUAGGAUUUUUAAGAGACUCCAACGCUUCAAUUUUUGCACCGUUCUCCUCUAUUUCUUCACGGUUUCUCUGAUUUUGUCUUUUAGAGACUAAUUUGAGUGCGUUUUGGAUCAAUUGAAGCAUUUUGGAUUGGAUUUUAGGAAGAUUGAAAGUUAAGGUUUCGGAUUUGGGUCGCCUUCUCUUCCUCUCGCGUGUCACAAUCAGCUUUAGCAUUGUUCUCUUUCCAUUUUCACACACCUAGGGUUUCAGUUGUGAGCAUCUCUCUCUCUUUACCAACCACUACUCCCUUGCUUCUUCCAUAUGGCUCCUAGGCGAGAGUCCGCUACUUCUAGGGCACAAGGCAAGCACCCAACUGAGUCGUCUCAGUCAAAGGCACGUCGAAAAGUGAGAUUUGACAUUGCCUUGUUCAGUUCCAUGGAGGACUACCAACUAUACAAGCAACACUUUGCUUAGAGACGAGUAGUUCCCAAGAGAAAUAUUAAUUUUCCUCAACUUCAGCAUUUCGAAUUUAAGGGUCUAUUUACUAGGAUGGUUGGUUGUCUAUUGUCACAAUUUCGGAGCCGGUUUUCCUGACCUUAGUGCGAGUUUUUUACUCGAGGGCGACUUAUGGCAUGGGUGGCAUGAUCAUUUCUACUGUUGGAGGAGUUGAGAUCUGUCUGGACCCAGAGAGCAUCUGCCAUAUUUUCGAUAUUGCUCUGGUUGGACUCAAAGUAUACAAGUCCAAAAUGUGGCCCAUUGUGCCAGGAUUUGAGCUUAGAGAGGUCAUUCAGAGGAUUUGUGAACUUCCAGACGCCCAGGAGAUGGGCAAACCAUUGCCACACAGUUUGACGGUCAUCAACAGGGUGCUACACCAUAUAUUGUGCUCUAUCUUUCUACCACGAAGUGGACAUUGAGAUGAGGUCUCUUAUUAUGAGGCAUUCCUUAUUGACUCCAUUCUAACGGAGAGACGAAUUCAUCUACUAUGUCAUCAUUCACUAAGCCUCCUCACAGUGACAUACCACCUCAUCAGGCACCUCUUGCUCCUGACCAUGCUCCAUUGAUGGAUUUAUUUACUCAUAUUAGCUCUCUAGGCACUCGCAUGAAGGAGUUUGUUGUAGUUAGUGAUACAUGGUUCUACUCCAUAGAGGAUCGCAUGGAUCAGUAUCAGACUGGCUUCACGUCACAGUUUGAGUAUCUCCAAUAGAGGAUUGAGCAUAUUGAGGAUCACUUGAGCAUGAGAAGAUGAUGGCUUUUCUAUGCUCUGUGUUUCCACCUCCACCUCGUCAACCUUGAUUUCUUAGAGACCCAUUGUUUUCAUUUUGUAAUGUUGCCAAAAGGGGGAGAUAUUUAGGAUCUAGGACUCUAUAGGAGACUUACAUGCAUAUCAUUUUCAUAUCAUUGUUUGGAUCGUACAUAUUGGAUAGUGAUACUUUUUACUUAUAUAUGAUAUGCCUAUAUGUUUCAUGUCUUACAUUGUUUCUUAUUGCAAAUUAUCUCUAACAUGUCUUGAUUAUCUUUUUUUUAACUUCAUAAAUUUUGAUUGUUAACCCAUGAUUGGUUUGAGGGGAAGAUUCUUCUUCUCCUAGAUAACCAAGGUUUGUCAUCAUAAAAAAAUUGGAGAUUGUUAGCCCAAGGGUUCUCCUAAUCAUGUUUUGAUGAUAACAAACCAUGCUUAAGUUACUAAUUGGUUUGAAUUAUAAAGAAUUUCAAGUGUUAAUUUGAAAAUUCAUCAAAGAACCUAAUGGAUGCAAGAUCAAGAUUUUUGGAAGACCUUUAAUCAUAAGAAACAUAUGUAAGAUGAAUGCAUGGGUGCACUUAAGAUUUGCAUAUCAUUUCAUGCAUAUUUGGAAAACACGGUUUAUGCUUUAAAGUUACAUUUCCAUCAAAAUUUGAGAUCCAUCAAAUGAACCUUAGGAAAAAUGUUUUAAAAUUGGCAUAUAAUUUUACCUAAAGACCUUGCCUAAGUGUUAGAAGCAAAAGGACAAAAAAAAUAUAGGUUUUCUGGUCAAAAAUGGUGAACCAGUCAAGGCAUUGUCUAAAUCAGCUCAAUCGGCCAAGGUACCGGUCGAUCGGUUUCCCUUUCCCUGUCGAGAUCUAGUCAAGAGGUACAAAAAUCACAAUCUCUGUCUCUUUCUCUCUUUGUCUAUCUUCCAGUAGUCUUUCCUUCCCGGUCGAGGGAUUUGCCUUCCCGAUUGAGGUCCGAUUGAGAGUAAUAGUCACUUGCCAAAUAUUAAAUGCUCCAACAGUUAGUGAACUGGUCGACCCCCACCUUGCCCAGUUGAGGUUACUUUUUGGUUUUCUUGGCUCCCGAUGUUAGAAACCUAUAAAUAGAGAGUUCCACUUCAUUUAUGAGCAAGAGAACACUUGCAUUUAUUUGUUUACCUACUUGUUCUUGCCUUAAAAGCUCUCAUUUCUUUUCUUGGUGCAUUAAAUCUCCAUUUUGAUAUCCUUUAGUGCACCUUUGUGAUUCAUCUUAGCCUUGAGUUGUAUUUGAGCCCUUUUUUUAGCUAGGUUGAGAGUUUCAUACUUGUUAAUUGAGUGUUAAAGCCUUCAAGUGAGUUGAAACUUGUAGAGAUUAUGUGAGAGUCGAUUGGAGCCGAAAUCCAAGUGUAAAGGUGAUUAGAAGCUUGGUUGAAGCUUCAAGUUAGUGGAAUCCUCACUCAAUUAGGAGCUUGAGGAGAGUGGACGUAGCCAAGGAAGUGUCGAACCACUAUAAAAUUUGAGUUUGAUUUCUCUAACAUUGUCUCUUUAUAUUUGUUUAUCUUGUGCUUAAAUUUAUUGUGUUUAAAAAGAAUUUUUAAAUACCCAAUUCACCCCCCUCUUGGGUGUUUUUCUCUUUUAAAAUUAGCCUUUAUUUUCUCACAAACUAUUGUAGUAUAGUGGUUUUUAGGUGUCAUCCAUUAGGAUGAAUUGUUCUCGGUAAUUAAGGCGUGAAUGAGAGGAGAAUUAAUGAUUGUGAUUAAGUAAAAUUGAUUUGAAAAUUCAUGGUGAAAAAUCAAUUUAACAAUGGUUUCUAAUUGAGAAAAACAAUGAAAUGUGAAAUAAAAUAAAAUUAAUAGGAAAUGAAAUUCUCGAAGUUAGAAUUUUCUAAAAAACAAAUUCCAUGGUGAAUGGAUGUUGAGAUCUAAUUUUCAUCAAGUUAGAUUGAAAACCGAAAUUUUCAUAUAAACUGAUUUUUUAUUUAGUUUUAGGUCUAGAUUUAAUUUCCCUUAAAAUUAGGUUAUUUAAUCCAAGAAAUCAAUUCAAAUCAUAUAUUCAAUUCAUCUUAAAUUAUCUUCCAAUUAUUCACACAAUGCAACUAUUCAAUCUCAUCAAAUCUAGCUUUUAAGAAUUUAAUGAAUCUACCUAGUUUGCAUUGUAAUAGUCAUCCAUGACAAUUUGAAGAGAAAAAUAAUUCAAUUAAUCAAUCACUUGGAUCAAAUUACCUUUGCAAUUAAAGUUCAUUUCUCUAAUUCACCACAGAUUUUGUCUCUAGAUCCUCCUUUCUCAAAGAAAAAUGAGAUUUAGCCACACAUGAUUGGAGAUUUGGUCUCAUAAGGCAUGUUUAGCUAGUGAUAAAAUGAGAGAAAAUAAAGAAAAAUAGAGAAUUCGAUUAAGAAAGAAAAUCUAAAAAAUUCUACAAUUAGAAAUGUCCAAAAAGCUUUUUCAUGAGAAAAUCAAGUUUCUAUUUAUAGGCCAAGGUCAAGUGGACACUUGACAUCAUCUAAGAGGUCUUCCGGAAGCUUCUUCAUCAAGAAAUCUGGAGUUUAAUAAUAAAAUGGUCAUUUCACAAGAGCUCAAACAAUUUCGCAUGAUUAUGUGAAAUAAAAAAUGCAACAACAGCAAUUUACAUCUUCUUGGAGCAUUUCGCAUGACUGUGUGAAAUUUUCACAUGAUCAUGUGGAAUCGACUUGACAACUCUCAUUUAGCCUACAACAUAAUUCCACCUUUUGGUCCAUUUUUCAUAGUCAUGCGAAAUGGAAAUAUUUGAUUUUUAAGUUUUCUUUUGUCAUUUCUUUCAUUUCCUUCUCUUGAUUCCACUUCAACUACCUCCGAAUCCUGGUCCAAACCAAUUGCAUUACUUCUUUCAUUAUGCAUUUGGAUCAUCAUCAACAUUAUUUGUUCUCUUCAAUUUGAUUCAUCUCUUUUGUCACCAAUUUAUCAAAAUCAUACCUUGAAAUGACUCCAAAACUUCAUAAAACUUGUUAGUAACUCUUGCAAGGGCAACAACAUAUUAAUUAAGUGUUUUAGGCAUAGUUACUACUCAAAAGAUGCGAAACUCAUGAUAAUUAUUAUAUAAAAUAUGCUCUUUUUGAGUAGUAAUCAACUUUCUUGCAUAAGCAGACCUUUUAGGGUGGAGUACUAAAGACCAAUAUGCUUGUCCUUGUUGUAAUAAAGAAACUUGCUCUUAUUGAUUGCACCAUGGGAGAAAAUUUUGCUACAUGAGUUAUCAUCAAUUUCUUCCCACCAAUCAUAGAUUUAGACGUGACAAGAGGCCUCUUAAUGGCAAGGAGGAACUGACACUCACACUUAUACAAUUAUCGGGCAUUGAUGUGUUGCAACAAUUAGAAUAACUUACACCAAUUAUGUUGGGGAAGUCACAAAAGGCAAACAUGAAAACUAAAAGGAAAAAAGAAAAAUGUUACAUAUCACCACAACUGGAAAGAAAAAAGUAUUUACUUUCAUUUGCCAUAUUGGAAAGCACUUAUUUUACAUCAUAAUAAUUUAGACAUAAUGCAUAUUGAGAAAAAUGUGUGACAAUAUAAUUGAGACAUUGUUCAGUAUUGACGAAGAAACAAGGACAACCUAAAUAGUCAUCUCGAUUUACAAGCUCUAACUAUUAGAAAUGAGAUUCACCCAAUAGAAAGCAGGACCAAAUUUAUUUUGCUUGCAACAUGCUACUCACUCACCCCAAAUGAGAUUAAGGAAUUUUGCAAGUUUUUGAAAUCAAUAAAGGUCCCCAAUGGCUAUUCUUUCAAUAUCUCUCGUUAUGUGCAACUCAAUGAAAGGAAGAUAUAUGAGCUCAAAUUGUAUGAUUGUCAUGUCCUAAUGCAACAACUUCUCUCACUUGUAGUUCGUGGAGUUCUACAUAAGAAUGUUUGUGGAGUUAUCAUAGAAUUGCGUAAUUUUUUCAAGCAAUUGUGCUCAAAGGUGUUAGAAACAAAUCACUUACACCAACUUGAGAACAAUAUUAUUGUCAUACUAUGUAAAAUGGAGCAAAUAUUUCUUCCAUCAUUCUUUGAUAUUAUGGUGCAUUUACUUGUGCAUCUAGUAAGGCAAAGGUUGCAAGACUUGUGCAAUAUUGUUGGAUGUACCUAAUUGAACGAUAUUGUUAUAAUUUCAUAUGAAUCAUUUAAUUUUAUUUUAUAUUAUGUUCAGUUCAUUAACAUGUACAUUGGUCUACAUAUGGAUGAUGAUAGGUACCUAAGCACUUUAAAGUCAUAUGUGCGUAAUAGAACUUUUCUAGAAGGUUCUAUUGUAGAAAGGUACCUUGCAAAAGAAUGUACAACAUUUUAUUCUAGGUACUUGAAUGAUGUGGAAAUAAAGUAUAAUCACAAUGAUAGAAACUUUGUUGGUUUCAACACUAGAGGAGAUGAAAGGGGUUAUCUUUAAACAUAUUGGACAUGCAUUGGGAAAGCCCAUAUUUCAUUAACUUAGUUCAAAAGAGUGGUCACAAGCACAUUUAUAUGUGUUGACAAAUUGCGAAGAUGUCAUACCAUUCAUUGAGUAAAAAAUUUAUUUGAAUUUUAAUUAAAGCUCUAGUUUAUAUCCUUAAUCAAUGUUUUUUAAAUUCACAAGGAGCACAAGCAAACCAUCAAGGCUAGACCACAUAUACGUGUUUGAGACGUAGAUUUAAUUCAUAACAAGGAAUUUAUCAAGUGGUUUGAAAGACAUGUAAGUAUAUUCCUUAUUAUAAGGGAUUUAUUUCACAUUAUGUUUAUAUUGAAUCCAAACCUAUUAUUGAAUUGUAGGUUGAACAAUUACAUAAUGAAGGUCAUAUAUCUGAACACCUUCUCACAUUAUCAUGUGUUCCAAAUUCAUUAGUUACAUGCUUCAAAUGAUAUAUUGUCAAUGGAUUUAGAUCCCACAUUAAAGAACGUGAUAAAAAAGUUUUUAAAAAAAGACUCAGAAUAAUGGAAUUGUUGUAGUUGCAAAAACGUCAAGCUUUACAAGUGCAUGUGAUAUGAGUCCAAUUAUUAGUGAUGCUCUCUACUAUGGUGUUCUAACUAAAGUUGUUGAGUUACAUUAUCUUGGUGAAAAUAAGGUUGUUUUAUUCGAGUUUGAUUGGUGGGAUGUUACAAAUAUUGGAAAAUUGAUAAAAGAUGAUGAGUACAAUUACACAUUUGUUAACUUUGCAUGAAUUCUAACCACGAACGAACGAUUUGUACUUGCAUCUCCAGCAAAGUAAGUGUUCUAUGUGAAGAAUGCGAAUGAAUCAGAUUGGCAUACUAUCAUGGAGAUGCAACCUCAAGACCUCUAUAAGAUGAACGGGAUAGGAUCCAAUGGUGAUUUUGAACCAUUUCAACAAAGUGAACUACAUGAUCACUAAUAUAUCUCAGAUUUAGUUGAUGAAGAUAUAAUCAAGUGGAACAAAAGUGAUGUUUUAGGACUAAUCAUCCUAAAAAAUAUUGUAGUUUCUUAAAAAAAAAAUGAAAAUGAAGAAGAUAAUUGAACCUUUGUCAUACUUUAAAAAGCAACUAUGCAUUGUUCAUUUUGUAUGUUUUGGUUUUCUUCAUUUAAUUUCCUGAUUUUUGUGAUUCAAUGUCAUAUUAUUGAUCUUGAAAUAUUUUUCUAAUUUUUCAUUCUACGAUGGUUUCAACAAGGAUGACAUCAAGUCAAAAAAGGAAAUGUGGUCCCACACACAAUAUUGCAUUACAGGGAUUAAGGUCAGGGAAGAAGGUAAAAGUUGCAUUUAAUGAGUACAAUCAAUUGGUUAAACAGAAAAAUGGAAAACACUUAUCGAGCUACAUAGGGACACUUGUAUCUAACCAACACAAUGUACCUCUCCAAGCUAGUGAUUGGAAAAAUGUUCCAAAUGAUGCAAAAGAGAAAGUAUGGCCUUUGUUUUGGUAUGUUGUAUUUCUCACUAUAUGAUGUCAUUUCACUGUUAUUCUAUUUUGUGACUAACGUUUGAAUCAUAUGUAAGAAAAAUUUGAAGUAGAUAAAGACUGAAAAGAUUACAUGUUGGGUAUAGCCUCAAAUAAAUAUAGAAGCUAUAAAAAUAUGAUGAAUGCAAAAUACUAUGACCCUUGGCAUAAGGAUGCAUGAGGAGAGGUUAAUACAUAAAUCACCAUUUGUCUCUGAUGUUGAUUGGAAGUGGCUUGUCUCUGAUGCAUAAACCAAAUCCCCCACUGAAUGUUUGAUAUUUGAUAGCAGGAAAAACACACCCGCAGCUAUACACCUCCAUCAUUCAGAUAAUUAUAGUGGGGGAGAUGAUUCAUGGUUGCCCUUAUACCCUUUAUUUGCACCAUCUAUUGAGAUUCUUUAUCAUGGCCAGGUUUUACUGCAGCAAUAAGAUAUGGUGGCAACAAUUUUAUCUAUAGGUGCGGUUCCAGACCGCCUCCAUAGGUGCGGUUCCUGACUGCCUCCAUAGGUGCCUCUUCUUGUAAUGUUUGUUCUGGGAAUUACACUUGAAAGCCUUAUCGUGAUAAGGGAUUACAAACACUAGUUCAGAGGACAGCCAUGUUAAACUUCCACUAUGUUUGUGUCACAUUAUCAGCAGCCUAGUGUUUAUUGGUCAUGCUAUCUGCAACUAAUAUAACCCGGUGAACUUCAAUCUAAAUUCUGAAAGUACUCAUGUGACAGAUGGUGCCUUUCAGCAGAUAUCAUCAAUUUAAAAGUAGUGUGUGUGCCUAUAGGUGGGAAGGCCUUGGCAAAUGUUCAGUAUUCCGGUAAUUCAAGAAGGAUAUAUCUAAAAUAGAUUUUCUUCUUGCCCAUUUCAAUAGUUAAAAUUUGAGAAGAUUGUGUCCACAUCACACAAAUAUUAUUGGUCCUUCUGUUGCAAUUUACCUCUGAACAUGUCUUCCAAUUCCCACGGUCCUGUUACUCCAGGAAAACUAUUUCGGUCAUAUUGAAAAAAAAAAUAUUAAAGAAGGUACACAUGCUUUUAAGUGGACUGGGGCAUUCAUAUCAGGUGGUCUGUAUCCACAUAUGCCACUUCGUGAAAGGUGGAACAGCCUAAUCACUAGGCUAUUUAGUGUGGCCCAGCCACGUUAAUCAAGCACAAGUCUUCAUACUUAAAGUCAAAUGGUGUCUUUAGUCUCAUUACACAUCGCUAUUUGAAGAUUAACUCAUCACUAGUGUAAUGCGAUUAAGACAGUCCUAACUCAAUAUUUGUUCUAGUUUUGGAUGCAAAUGCUUGCUGGUUUCAUCAUUGGAUGGGAUAAAGGUGCAAUCAGGACUAUGAAUACGUGCAGUAAUACUUCAUUCUCUUUUUUCUCAAUGAGACUUCUUGGCACAAUUUUGCUGCUCAGCAACCUACCUUUCCAUGGAAAAUCAGUUGUGACUGAUAGUAAUGGAUAUAUUCUAGAAAGCUAAACAUAGAUAGCAUUCAAUAUUAUCGAUAUAACAUUAACAGCGUAUGUCUCAAUGCUCAUCAGCUACAAGCAAUGGACAAACACUUUGAGUAACUCACAGCAGUCAAAAUUCCUAAACAGGACAGACGUGACAGAUCUAUAUAUAGAACACUGCAUAUGAGUCACAGGAAAAGAUAAUACGGGUACAUAGAAGCUCUUAUUUUACAUAUUACUCAUACUGAUCAAAGUCGCUCAGUUGGGAUGGAUGGGAGAAGGAGGUUUGAGGGGUGGCUUGUGCGGGGAAGUUGGCAGCUUCUUUCCGGGAGCUGGUUGCUUCUUUGCUGGAGUUGAAGGAGGCUUAAUCUUCCGAGGUGGCUUGUAUGAGUCUUCAGCAUUCUCAGCAGGAGGGUGACCAGGGUUGUGACCAUAAUGUGGUGGCUUCUCUCCCUUAGGUGGUUUGCCAACUGGGGUUGGUGGCUUGUUUUCUGGGAGUGGCUUCUCUCCCUUGGGUGGUUUGCCAACUGGGGUUGGUGGCUUGUGUUCUGGGAGUGGCUUCUCCCCCUUGGGAGGUUUUUCGAAUGGGGUGGGUUUGUGUCCUGGUGGUGGCUUCUCUCCCUUGGGAGGUUUACCAAUUGGGGUCGGUGGCUUGUGUUCUGGGAGGGGCUUCUCUCCCUGGGGAGGUUUAGUGGGUGGCUUGUGUUCUGGAGGUGGCUUCUCCACCGGAGGCUUAUGCUCUGGUGGUGGCUUCUCGAAGGGGGGAUGCUCAGGGUAAUCACCAAGUGAGGGGGUGGUGAGAACCACCAUGCCAAGCAACAACACUAGCAAGUAUGUAGUAGACAUCUUUGGGUUUGGACUCAGACAGUGCAAAACUACGAGAAAUCGCUAGCCCUUUAUAGCGGCUCGGACCUAAUACUGACAUAAUAUAAAAUAAAUAUUAUAUUUUAUCAAGAGAGAACAGAGUGUAAUUUUAUCAUUAAUACCGAUCGAGGCCAAAGAAAGAAGACCCAUAAUCCAUUUCCCACAAGCAUACACAAUGCAGCUGUAAUUUUAUCAUUUACUUUUAUCCCUUGGACCACUGCAUUUUUGUUGAGAGACACAAUAACACAUUUUUAUCUGUCAUUCAACAUUUACAGUAAAGAGAGGGCACAAAACGCAAUUAGAUAAAUUAUGUUUUGCCUGCUAAAAAGAGGCAAAUAACUUUAUUUGCAACAUAAUUAUUUUGGUUUCUAGUGACCCCGGGGCCUUUCGGUUGGUUUGGGAUCGGAAAAUGAACAUCAUAGGGGGGGUUGUGCCCUUAUGGGCAUAUAUAUCUGAUAGCUUCAACUGGCCUUGUUCCUAGAAAGAAAUUGCCAAAGAUAUAAACUUAUUCCAGGCUGAAAGUAGAUGAGAGUCAUAAUGAACAUCAACCUUUGUUCAGUUUGAUUCAAUGCCCCCAUAGUGUUCAUUUCACAGAUCUGAAUGAUUAUAUCCGUUGAAUACAUAAAUUAAUGAAGACAAAUAUGAAACCCAAGAUACAUCUCUGCAUAACAACCCCAACCCUGGUUGCUAUGUUUCCCUUCUUCUAUUCACAUGAGGAUACUGGUUAUAAUUGUCAAACUUGCAACAAGCCCUUUGACACCUAACGUCAAUGGACGAAUUAAAAGUCUCCUUCAAACGUCUAUUUCACAGCAUGAAGCUUAUAAAGGAUGCUGACAACCUUCAGAGUUAGCGACAAAAGAUAAUUAUCAAGGAGAGAUAGUUCCAUGAGAAUUCCAAGGAGUCUGAAUCAAAGACAAAUUGCUCACUCAAGGGUUCUUAUUUUCUUUUAGGUACAAAUCUCUUGAGUGUUGUUAAAGAAACACGUCACUGUCAUUUUGAUUUGCAUUUAACAUUUCACUUUUGUUCUGGAAGGUUUGUUCCGGAAACAUAUCAAAUGAGCAUCAUUUUCUUCUUCGGUGACACAUGGUCGCGAGUACGUGGGUCCAUUUUCAUGCCACUUAGUUGAAAAGUUGGAAAGAAAAAACAUGCCAACAAGAAGAUAGUGAGAGAAGGGGCACUUCAAGCCUUUAACAUGAACAAACAGUAAAUAAAAGAUGUUUCUCCACUCAUAAAAGUGUGUUAGAUAGCAAUAUAACGAAUCACAUCCAAAAUCUUUACUAGGCUCAAACAUAAAGAAGACUCAUUUUUAAGAAAAGAUAAAAAUGGCAUUGUCUGAUAGUAUCCAAUACACGAGAUGGCACUUAAUUUGUACAAGAUCUGUCAAUGCUGACGCACAUUUUCUGAUUAAAAAAAAACUGAUCAGUCAAAAGCAAUGAAGAGAAGUGAUGACAAUGAAUGAUGCUUCCAAUAUUUUCACCCCUUAUAGUGUUCUUCAUGAUUCAGAUAUAUAAUUGGAAAUAGAACAACCCUAUGCCAUACAUUCGUCUAAGUAUGGUGUCUAAUUUUUUGUGUCAGCGGUUGCGAAUGGAGCGUGCAAAAGUCCAAAUUGGCGUCUCUCCAUUUCCACAUAGGAAGGUGACCUUUAUUGACAAAUACCCAAUAUUUGUAGACAUUCCUUAAAUAUCAUAACUUCUUGUUGAUUUGAAAAUCAUUUUUCAACUACCAUGUUUUAAUAAAUAUUUUUUAAAAUGUAUUUUUAUCAAAGUCCACCAUGAUGGAUAAUAUUCACCAUGCAAUAAUUAAUAAAGUACAAACUAAGCGAAAUGAAAAGCAUUUUCUUUGCUUUGAGUUGAUUUUGGUUGCAUUGAGUUGAUUUUGGUUUCAUGGUUUUUUCAACUCUUAUUUUGAUUGGAAGAUGUCAAGAAAAGAAAACAUAAAGAAAAAUUAAAAGGGAAAAAAGAAGAAAAAUAAAAAAAAAUAGAUUUAAAAGUUAAUAAAUUAUUUUUUAUAUUUAUUUUAAUUCAUUUCACUUAUUUUUCUUUUACUAUAUAAAAUUUAAAUAAUUUAAAUUUUAUAAUUAAUUUAAUUACAUUUCAUUUUCUUCUAUAUUUAAAUAUUGGAAAAAUAUUUUACUUAAUAUUUUUUUCUUUAAUUUCUUUGGCAUUUUGGGAACCAAACUUAGCCUUUAAAAUAAAAAACAAAAAAAAAAUGAAAAUAAGGAGGGAAAAGUGAGAAAAGAUAAAAACAAUAUGUAAAGGAUUUGAAAAGUAUUAGUUUGUAAUUACUAUUUGGAUUUCAAUAGUAUUUUAUUUGUCUUUCUAUAUUUCAUGUAAGAGAGAAUUUAAGAUAUUCCCCAAGGCAAAGCAUUAGUUACCUGCAAUCAGUGGUGAUAAGGCUCCAAGCCAAUUUUGGGCCCCAUAUCUUAAGACAGUACAAUUUCCAUUUCAACAUUUCUGAUUUCUCAGAUGUUUCACAUACCACAGAAGAACAUUGUUUGUGAAAAUAUGCAUUUAUGUUGGAUUUUGUAUGCUGUGGGGACUGGGGCAAGGAUCAUAUGGAAGAGUGGUUGACUUUUUCUGUACUUUAACGGUUGAAAUAGGAUAAGCACGGGCAUUUGUGAGGCUUAAUUGAUUUUGAAGCCUGAAAUUGCGUUUCUGUCAUUUUGUCAAAAAAAUGGCAGAUUCCAUACUCAUAUGUUUGGCCUGUGGCCAUGUACAGAUGCCAUUUAGUGACCAGUUUGUAACUGUCAAUCGUUGCGUUUUGACUCUGCCUCAACAACAUCUGCCAUUGACGGGUUUUCAUACUUGCAAAUCAAAUAGUCUUUCGUCCCAUCAGGAAUUUCGGUUUAAAUAUUAUUAAGCAUACGUUUGGCUGACAAUCAUUAUCCAGUUCAUGAUUUGGUUUCUUACCCUUAAUCAAUGGUUUCUAAGUGAAUAUAUGUAGAAGGAAAUCCGAAGUGUAGACAGUAGUAUCGAUAACUCUCAAUAUUCUCUAUAUAAUAGAAUAAACAGCGUCAUAGUGAUCGUCGCCUACAAGCAAGGUACAAAUACCAAAACGAGUGACUCACAUAGACAUCUCCCAACAAGAUGUAGUAGUGACUGACACAUGGACACAAUUAACUCGUAGAAAAGGAUAAGACCAUUGCACAGCAGCUCUUAUUUUACAUACUACUUAUGCUAACCAAAGUCAAUUAGUUGGGAUGGGUGGGAGAUGGAGGUUUGUGCGGUGGCUUGUGGGGCGGAGUUGAUGGCUUCUUUCCAGGAGCUUCUGGCUUUUUCAUCGGAGCUGAAGGAGGCUCAAUCUUAUGAGGCGGCUUGUAUGAGUCUUCUUUACUCUCGACAGGAGGGUGGCCAGGGUUGUGAUCAUAAUGUGGUGGCUUCUCUCCCUUAGGUGGCUUGCCAACUGGGGUUGGUGGCUUGUGUUCAGGAAGUGGUUUCUCUCCCAUGGGAGGUUUAGCAAUUGGGGUUGGUGGCUUGUGUUCUGGGAGUGGCUUCUCUCCCUUGGGAGGUUUAGUAGGUGACUUGUGUUCUGGAGGUGGCUUCUCCACCGGAGGCUUGUGCUCCGGUGGUGGCUUCUUGGUUGGAGGGGGCUUGGGGUAAUCAGCAAGAGAUGGGGUGGUGAGAACCACCAGUCCAAGGAACAACACUAGCAAGUAUGUGGGAGACAUUUUUGAGUUUGGGCUGAUCAGAUGAUGCAAAACUAAAGCAUUACGUGACCUUUUAUAGCAUGUAGCUCCCAAUACCCACUAAGUAUUGUGGGGUCCAUUUGUGCCCUACGGGGUUGAAAACUUAGACAAUUGGGCAAGGACCCACCUGACUAUGGAGGACUAGUGAGGUGUGAUCAUAGCUUUAGGAUUUUUCUUCCUCUGCAGCCGUCGUGCCGUUGGCAUGAUUUUCUUAAUCUUAAAUAAAGGCAUAGUUAUAGAGUUGUUUAAUCUCUAAAUGGGAUUUUAUAUAUAUCUUCAGAUAGCCAUUAAUAUAUUUGAUGAAGAAAGAAAGACAAGUGCAUACAACAUGUAUACGACUAGCUUUCAUGGAGUUCAUUUAUGAUCAGUUUUCCUGUACAUGUAAACCAGGAUCAUAUAUAUGUUUCUGUUCCACAACUAUUUUGGAAUCUUGUUUAUCAGUUUUUAUCAUUAUAAUGUCACAUAGGCUGCCAACUUGGGCGCUAAAAGAACCAGUUGGGCUAGUUCGUUUCAGAAUUUCAAUGUGGAUUCAGGAAUUGUUUUGUAAGAUAUGCGAAAUAGUAGAGGGAUGAAUAGUGUUUCAUUAAUAAAAGUGUCCUGUAAAUUAGAAGGUGUCAUAGAAACUAUAAUCAAUAAAUAACUUUUUUUCCCCACGGGUGGUGUUUCUUGUGGGGAUCAGUGACUGGUUUAGGUUCACCCAAAAUGAGUUCAGACUAAAAUUGGUUUGAGUCAAUGCCGUGUCUCUUUUUUCCAGAAAUCAACUAUUUUAUGCAUUGAAUAAAUCAUACAAAGAAAAUAUGAACGCCCGCAAAACCUAAACCCUGGUUGCUAACUUUCUAUGUUUCAGUUCUAUUCACGCAAGAAUAUUAGUUUAAGUUUGGGAAAAAUGGCAACUUACCUAGUGAUUACUUGGUUUUGGUUUGCGACUAUUUACGCAACCAACCAUGAGUUUGACUUUAACGUCAUGGGUUGAAGCCUCCUACAGGAAGGGAGAAAGCUCCACAGCUAGCUCCAAAAGAGAAUUAUCACAUUGAUAGCUCCAGAGAUUCCCAAGGGGACUGAAUCAAAGACAAGUUCCUCACUUUUUCUUCUUUUGAGGCCAAAUAUGAACCAAGGAUCACACAACCUCAUUCAACUUCAUAAGUUUGAUUUCAUGCAGUUGAACACUGGGUGAAGGCCAUGACAAGAAUUGAUUCAAAAAUUCUAUCACUCUUUUAAGUAAUGGAAGAUUAUUAUCUCUGAUUGGCAUCACAACAGCACAUGCUCCUAGAUCUUUCUAGACACUCCAUGCAAUGAAAGCACAAUGGAUCUUGUAACGAUAGAAACUAAGCCAUGCUACAGUACUAGAUGAUGAGGUAAAACUAGUAGACACGGGUGGCAGCCUAUAUGGGAGGGACACAAGUCUAAUUGAUUUGCAUUUCAGCAUUAUAGAUAGGUAUGUUUUGGAAGAUUUGUUCUGGAAAUACCGCACCAAGUAGGAUUCUUUUUCUCUUUAGUGGGUCCACUUGCAUGCCAAUUAACGAGUUGAAAAGUAUGAGCACCUACCUCGUGCUCGUGGAACCGAAGGUCAGUGAAGUGGGGCUCCUUUUGGCCUCGUGUAAACUUGAUUCAGAAGUGAAGUUAAUAGUCUUCCAUUCAGAUGGAUACAUGGGAAUUUUUCUCUUUUAUUUAUUUAUUUAUUUUUUUUUUGUGUGUGUAUGUCAAAGGAUAAUGAAUGAAGCGCGUUAGCUUGUUUUCUGACUGGAACCGCAGAUGUCCAAAUUGGAGUUCCUUCAUUUCUUACUUAGGAUUGUUACAUGUAUAAACAAGGUAUAAGAAAUAUGCCAACGUGUCUUGAGGAGUUAUUGAUUAGAAAUAACAAGUCACCCGACUGUAGAGUUCCAAGAUUUGAAUCUUCAGACCCUAUAGCAGCCUCUGGGGUACGUGGCAUCCUAUAGCAUAUUAAUGAAGGCUUUUUCGAUUUAGACUUCACAAUACCAAUUAAUAUGUAUGCACAAAAUGGAGAUGACCCCAAAAAAAACAGAAUCGCCAUAGUUUAUGAGGUUAAGGUGAUUCUCCACUUAAUAUCUACAUUAGCUAAUUAUGUAAAUCAAAUGAACUUCUAUUUUUCCUUUUUUUUUUUGGUUUAUGUCAAAUAGUAGCCCAUAAUUAACCCAACCAUUAGCCUGUUUGAAUUGAUUUCACAUGCACAAUGUUGUAGUAGUUCAUAUUUUGAAUUUUAUUUUUACAAAGGUAGUUAAGGAAAAUGAAGUAUAAUAAUUAUAAAAGCAGACUAUAUACACUACAAUAAUUGUUAGAAUGGUAUCUCAAAUUCUAAUUUAAAAUAUUAUUUUUUGUAAAAGAAAUAUUAUAUAGAAUAUUUCCUAAUUUUAUAAAUGAUUAUAAUUAGAUCUUUAUAAAAUAAGGAAAGUUGGUAAGAAUAUCUUUAUAAAUAUUUUAGGUCAUGAGAGAAAGAAAUGGGAUAAAAAUGUGAUGAAGAGGUGAAAUAAGAGAGUUGAUUAGGAUAUAGAUGUGAAGAAGAAAGGGAUUCAAUAUAUAUAUAUCUUUCAAUUACCACAUUAAAACCCUGUGAACCUUUUAUAUGGUUUACUUUAUUUUUAUAUUCCUCCUUUAAUAUAUUUACAUUAAUGCUUCCAUUGGCACAACAAUAACGAAUUACAAAUACAAGCAACAAGUCCCAUGUUUUAUUACCAAAAGCAGGUAAAAUCCACCUAAUAUAUUACAAUAUAUUCAUCCAAUAUUUUAGACCAAUUCUUCACCAUAAAUAUCAUAAUGUGGCUUUUGUUCUUUCUUAAAUUUAAAUUGAAUUGUCUUAUAUCAAUUUGUUUGUGAUUUUUUCAUUAACUUCACUUUCAUUUGGUUAUCUUUGGUUUUUGAAAAGUAUUAAGGAAUUAAUUAACAAAAUAAUGUUAAGAAAAAUAAUUUUCUCUCUUUUGAUUUUGAUUUUGUAGUAGAAAAAUAUAAUUAAAAUUAUUUAAAAAGUAUGUAAUUUUAAAUUAUUUAAUAUUUAGAUAAAAAAAAUAAGUCUAAUGAGUUUAAAAUAACAUAUAAAAAUAAUUUAUUUAUUUUAAAUUUAUUUUUUAUUUUCCAUUAUGUUCUCUUUCUCUUUUACUUUUUCAUAUUUUUUCUUACGAAGAAUCAAACACAACCUCAUAUUAUAUGUCAAGUGUUUGUCUAUAUUUGAGCAAUGUUAGAUACGGCCAUGGAUUCAUCAAACUAAACUGAUUUUAAUAGAUACUUCACAAAUUGAUUUAUACACUAAAUCAUUGGAUAGCAAUGAUGCAUUGGAAUUAAACGUAGGAUGAAGCUCGAAGAACACUGUUUGUGUAACAACAUAUUUAUGAAAUUAUGCAAAGGAUGAGCUUCGGGGUAGUAGUACAAGGUCAUUAAUGGAGAGCCGUGUUAAACCUUGAUUGUGAUUGGAUUCCGUUAUCAGCAACAGCAACCUUGUUUGUAACCUUGAAAGUCAUUCUGUCCACAUCGAAACUCCAAUUUGACGUUUGUAAUUACCAUUCCUGGAGUGUUCCUUGAUUGAAAUUUAAAUAAUAAUUGCGGCCCACAAGGAAUAUUUUCGAUUCUGUGGGAAUUUGACAAGGUUUGUUAGAGAAGACUGGUGACAUGUUGACUUCAAUGGUUCAAAUAGGAGACGUAUGUGGAUUUGGGGGGUUUAAUUGAAACUGAGUCCCUAUGGCUUUUUAAUAUUUGCAUUGAGCAGUCUCCAUGUGACUUCCUAAUUCCCACCAACCCUCCUGUCCAUGCUGUGAAACUAAAUUGUAAUUUAUCAGCCUUUGUCAAUGGUUUCUAAAUUAAAGAUAUAGACCAUGCAUGUACUUUAAUAAAAGCAAAUCUAAAGUGUAGAUAGCAGCAAUGGUGACACCCAAUAUUCUCCAUAAAAUAGAAUUAGAAUAAGCAGUGUUACAUUGUUCAUGAUCACCUACAAGCAUACAAGAACUUCCAUGAAUAACUCAUAGCAAUUGCCAACAGGGCGUCGUAGAGACUCAUACAUAGAACACUAUCCACCCAGAGGAAAGGACAAGACCAGUGCGCUGCAGCUCUUAUUUUUCACAUGUAUACCACCACUCGUAAUAACCAAAUUCACUCAGUUGGGAUAGGUGGGAGAUGGUGGUUUGUGGGGUGGCUUGUGGGGAGGAGUUGGAGGAGGCUUUAUUUUCUGAGGCGGCUUGUAUGAGUGUGCAGGAGGAUGCCCGGGAGUGUGACCAUAAUGUGGUGGCUUCUCUCCCGUAGGUGGUUUGCCAAAUGGGCUUGGUGGCUUCUCUCCCUUAGGAGGUUUACCAAUUGGGGUUGGUGGCUUGUGUUCUGGGAGUGGUUUCUCUCCCUUGGUAGGUUUGCCAAUUGGGGUUGGCGGCUUAUGUUCUGGGAGUGGCUUCUCUCCCUUGGGAGGUUUGCUAAUUGGGGUUGGCGGCUUAUGUUCUGGGGGCGGCUUCUCUCCCUUGGGAGGUUUGCCAAUUGGAGUUGGCGGCUUAUGUUCUGGGAGUGGCUUUUCUCCCUUGGGAGGCUUGCCAAUUGGGGUUGGCGGCUUAUGUUCUGGGGGUGGCUUCUCUCCUUUAGGAGGUUUGCCAAUUGGAGUCGGCGGCUUAUGUUCUGGAAGUGGCUUUUUUCCCUUGGGAGGUUUGCCAAUUGGGGUUGGCGGCUUAUGUUCUGGGGGUGGCUUCUCUCCCUUGGGAGGUUUGCCAAUUGGAGUCGGCGGCUUAUGUUCUGGGAGUGGCUUCUCUCCCUUGGGAGGUUUUGUUGGUGGCUUGUGUUCUGGAGAUGGCUUCUCCCCUGGAGGCUUGUGCUCCGGAGGUGGCUUCUGAAAUGGCGGGGGCUUGGGGUAAUGAGCAAGAGAUGGAGUACUGGUGAGAACCACCAUUCCAAGCAACAAUACUAGCAAGCAUGUGGGAGAC
RNAcentral lists this long non-coding RNA (91133 nucleotides) under Vitis vinifera (wine grape). RNAcentral's name for it is "long non-coding RNA (VVIN_LNC001392)". The record is from RNAcentral. Lineage: Eukaryota; Viridiplantae; Streptophyta; Magnoliopsida; Vitales; Vitaceae.